ACUGUUCCUUUAUGGGGAUUCUCAUCUAUCCGUGGAAGAAGGCCAGAGAUGGAAGAUGCUGUAGUGGCUCUGCCACGGUUUUUUAAAAUUCCUCGUCAGAUGCUAAUGGAUGGUCCUGUUUCUAAUGCAUUGAAUCAAUGUUUGUCAGCUGACUUGUUUGGAGUUUAUGAUGGACAUGGAGGCAGCCAGGUAAUUUUUGUGCCUUAGUUGUUUUUGUUGUCAACUGCUAUCGUCCCCCCUCCUAUUCUACCGAGGGUUAAGUUUUUUGUAGGUGUCAAAGUAUUAUGUGGUUCUCUGAUUAUAGUCUACUCAUGUUAACCAUCUUCUUGUAGGUUGCCGAUUAUUGCCGCGACCGCCUCCAUUUAGCUUUAGCUGAGGUGCUGAAUAUUGAAAGGGAGGACUUGCUUACUGGAAAUGGUGCAUGUAAUUGGAAGGAGCGAUGGGAGAGAGUUUUAUUGAGCUGUUUCCAUAAAGUUGAUAAUGAGGUGGGAGGUAUGGGAACUUCUGGUGCUAAUGAUCCUAGUCUUGUACCUAUUGCUCCUGAAGCUGUUGGGUCUACGGCUGUGGUUGGCAUUAUUUGUCCCUCACAUAUUAUUGUCGCAAAUUGUGGUGAUUCAAGGGCAGUCUUGUGCCGUGCAAAAGUAGCUGUGCCAUUGUCUAUAGAUCACAAAGUAAGGCCUUUGAUGUAGAACAUCUUUUUGUUUCUUUGUUUUGUCUUUCCUGUAGUCGUUCUACCUUGCUUUGGGUUUGACAUCUCUAAACAUUAAACUUCAGCCAAAUAGAGAAGAUGAAUAUGAAAGGAUAGAAGCUGCAGGGGCAGGGUCAUAGACUGGGGUGGAUAUCGUGUUUCUGGCGUGCUUGGAUGUCAAGGUCCAUUGGUACGUCUCUCUUUAAUGUACUUGAGAGUUUUGUUCUGUUCCAUUUGCAUGUCACGCUGAGCUGAUUUGGUACCGAACCACUGAACCACUGAUCCUAAUGGACUUGAGAGAUUGCUAACGUGUAUAGUUUCGCCAAAAUGUAAAUUUUCCAAGUUGGAUAAGCACCAACAAUUUGAAGAAUGCAAACUAUGAUAGUAAAAUUCUUAAAUUUCACUUUCCACAAUAAUUAAUAGACCUUCUGUACCAAUAGAUGCCAAAAUGCCGAAUAAAUUACCCUCAAAAGAAUAGAAUCCGUUGAAUUUGUUAUGACUAUAGUGACUGCCUGCCUGAAGGGCCUUGAUAUCUUAACUCCUGGGUGAGCUUUGUGAGACUGUUGUACAGAUCGAGUUUUUGUCCAUAUAAAUUCUUUUAGUCGACCACCAAUUGCGGUAUUAGUCCGAAGUCAGUAGGACGACUUCCAUUGCUCAGCAUUUGAGCAAUUCCGCCAACUAAGGCUGGAACGUUUGGACUCGCAUUGGCUUGAUUUGGCCGCCUUUAGUUCAUCAAACUUCGACUUUUACACACAUUUUUCAUUUGUGAGACUUUGCAGGUGAUAGAUACUUGAGGCCCUCUGUAAUUGCAGAUCCAGAAAUGACGUUUGUGCCCCGGUCAAGAGAAGACGAAUGCCUCAUUUUAGCUAGUGAUGGUCUAUGGGAUGUUAUGACAAAUGAAGAGGUCUGUGAGGUGGCGCGAAGGCGAAUCCUCCUCUGGCACAAAAAGAAUGGUGCUAGCCACCCAUGAGCGGGGUGAGCGAAUUGAUCCUGCUGCUCAAGAUGCAGCAGACUAUCUCUCACGACUUGCUCUCCAAAGGGGAAGCAAGGACAACAUCUCCGUGAUUGUUGUGGAUCUGAAACCCGUAAGAAAGUUCAAGAAGAAGACCACCUAGUACUGCCUAAUAAUAAUAAGCUACCUCUGUAACUGUUUGCGUAAAUUGUAUCUAGUACCGGAAACCUCAUCUAAUUGAUUGGUAACGUUGAUGAGACGGAGGGUAUCAUUGAAAUAUAGCUUUCUUCUUCUUCGUCGUGCAGCUAGCUUGCAAAUAUACAGCUGCGAACAUCUUAGGGAUUCCCAAAUUAUGAUGCGAUUCUUAUAAUAUGUGGACAAAAAUGAUGCUUUGUGAUAUUUUUUGUGUUCCUGUGGUCUCAAAUCGUUGAUUCCGAAUCUUUUGUACUACAAGUAUAAUACAGCUGCCAAAAAAGUAUUUCUUGCGAGAUUUUUGGGCGAUGUUUCGUUUGCAUCUGUGUCACGACUACACAACAAUCCCAGUAAUUUCAUGCCUUUGUACGCUCUCUGGUGGAAGCCUCGUUGAAGAACCCUACUCCACAUGAUUCAGGUCGGCAAAAGCUAAACCAAUCUUUGGAUGUUUUUUUUGAUCUGGUUGCAUGUUGAAAACUUUUUACUCACAGACGGCUCAGGCUGUAAAGCCACGAUGGACCAAAACGCACGAAAGUGGCAGAAGCGAAUGCGUGGCUAAAGCAAUCCAAACAAACAUGAAUAUAUAAGUCCCUUCAGAUCACAGGAAGAAUUCGUUAGCACAAAGUUGGGACCUGCUCUUUGAUACACGCUGCUUCGAGUUAUCAGAGAAAUGGACGAAAUUGUGAUAACAACGAAGCCCAAAAUGGCUUUCUACUCGUAAUCAUAUCUUGAGUUACACUUUUGUGUCUGGGUCGGCAGAUGUUACUGUAAUAACGUACUAGUAAUUUUUACAAGGGGCAUAACGGCCGCCGUAGGAAUCGUCCGGCUCAUUUUCGGCAACACCUUAAGCCAUCGAAUUAAUGAGUAUCCUCAUAGAUUCAGCUCACAAGUAUUACGAACAAAACAGAGCCAUUUCCGUCUUUCAAUGCAUACAUGCAGAGGUAAAUAUUUGAGCUUGAUACAUGAUGAAUAGGUGGGGAAUGAUGUACUGCUAUUAUCCUGCAUUUUGUGCUCAAGCAAAUUGUAUUUCAAUAUAAUAGAGUUUACAAACACUAGACGUCAACCCAACUUCCAAACCCUGAAUAUGAUAGCUCUGGAAGUCAUUUCUUCCAGCCACAUUCUCUGCCUGCCUGCCAGUCAACAAUUACUGGAGAUUUCAUCCGAAAUUCAGCUAGAUCCCCAAGGAUAGAUUCUCAAGGUGUCCGAAUUAGGCUAGCUCAAUAUCAAAAGCAGCAAAUACAAGAAGGCACAGGCUGCCAAAUGUCCCAAAUUUAGAGUUCUGUUAGUUCCAGUGGAAGAUGAGAUCAAUGAAUCACCCAAGAACAUUAUCAUAACACUGACAACCAUAAAAUUGCACACGAGCCUGCAGGCUUGAAAGGUAAUGAAGCAAUUUACUUCCAGAAACUCUCUUACCGUCAAGAAGGAAGAAUAAGAAGCAGAUUUCAGAUUUAUUAAGAUUAAAGCUCAUAAUUGCCAAGGGAAGCAUGAACAAGGGUUAAACAUUUGGUAUUAAAGUUCAAGACCAUUGAACAAAUUCCGAAAUCAAUUGGCACUGAAAAGACCAAGAGGAAAAAGGAGGAAAUGACACAUGAAUUCCAUCAAUUUUGGCAUUACAGGACACAACGUUAAUGACACUGCAAGGUCUAGUAACAAGGUAAACCAGUUUUACUUGUGCAUGCAAAAAGAGUGUGUGUUUCAACAUUCAAGUGAAAAAUCAUCUCCUCCCAUGCCCACGACAUCUUCAACAGACAAUUAAAAUGACAAGUACAGAUGGCAAUAUUAAUCAGCUCUCCAUUGUUUUCAAUUAAGGCUGUCUAGAUCAGACUCCAUUUUUUUUAGUAUCAGCUGGGGUGGGGAAACAGUGCAUAUUUCCUUAUAGGUUUCGAACAUGUAGAAAAGAUGAACAUACCAAGAAUGAUUACAAUGUUGCAAGUGGUGACCGGCACUGGUAAAGUAAGGAGCAAGAUCAAUAUCCAGAUCUCCAAAUUUACUUAGGAAGGGGUGCGUCUGAAUUCAGCAAGAGAAACUUAGCCAUCAUGUGUUAAUGGAAUAUAAUUUUGAAGAAAAAAUUGUAAAUACUACCCAUACCAUGAGUUCAUUUGCUGACAGCCUAUCUUUUGGAUCUUUCUGUAUACUGAAAGAAGAGAGCACAGAUUCCAUACUUGUGUGUUUAAAACAUUAUAUGUAUGUUAUGUCCUAUAGCAUAUAAAAUGAAAUACAGUUGAUUAUCUCAAAUGUAAAACUCCAUGAACGUGCAAAAUUGACACAGCCAACUCAAAUGUGAUGGACAGAAGUCAGAUUAGAAAGAAGAUAUGAAAUCUUAAGGGCAGGUAAUUGUAGACAACUAGGUAUAACCUGUAGCAUGUUUGAUCCCAAAAUAAUUUCUUUUCUCAGAUGUAGUAGUAGUAGUAUAUUGGAGUAAAUAUGCAUUGCAUAUGACAACAAAGGAACCACGGCUUGCUCCAGAAAGACCAGAGAGUAAAGAUGCAUAGAAGAUAAUUGACUGUUUCCAGCUCAUCAACAACCAAUUUUGUUAAAGGACGAUUGACUGAUAAAAAGUGCAAUCUUUACCAUGCAGAGAUAAAUGAACAGAAUUCUGGAGAAAAUAGAUCAGAAGGUGCACGAGGGCAGGGUGGUCAACAAUGGUUUCCAUCAGCUCGUACACAUUAAUCCAUCCUUCCCCAGGCUGUGGGGGGAAUAAGGGAACUGGCCUGUUGCACACUCAAGCAAAACCAAACCCAGACUCCAGAUGUCACUUCUGUAGCCAUAGUGCUCCCAACGAUCCUCUCGGGCUACAGCACAAGAAUGAAUAUAAGCAACAAAAACAACAAAAAUCCAUUAAGAGAAACCAAGAAAUUCAUCUGGCGAUCCUGUUUGACUAAAGAACACAUUUGACUACAAUCACUUAGAAGCCAAAUCCAAUGCAGCAGGAUAAUGAAAUAAUACUCUUAUCUUACCAGAUAAGUCUAUUUGGUAGCACAGAAGGAAGCUAGUCAGCAAUAUAUGUUUAGCAAAGUGAGACAAGUACUCACAGACAUAUAAUUGUAUGUGCCAACAAAUGUAUUAGCCAGUCCUGAUGUGCUUGCUAGUAUUGCACUGACACCAAAAUCAGUGAUCUUGACUUCACCUCUGUGAUUUACUAGCAAAUUGGAAGGUUUUAAGUCCCUGUGUAUAAUGUGCUUUUCAUGGUGAAGAUACCACAAGCCCUUCAGCACCUAAAUUGGUGGAAAAGAUUGACAUUAGAGGUACUAAAGAAAAUAUCUCAUGUUCAGAACACAAGUUAUGUGUAUAUCCUACCUGCUUGCAGAUUGCAGCAAGAUAUGGCUCCGGAAUGGUUCUGACUUUCUUUAGAAAGUCUGCCAGAGAUCCUCCAUCCAUAUACUCCAAGAUUAUGGAUAUAGCACCAUUAUCAUAGAAAGACUGGUAACACACAACAACAUAGGGACAUUGAGAUGACUGGUUGAUUUUCAAUUCCUGUGCAAUGUGCCUGCGAGCAGACUCUUCAAUAUUCAUUUGAAUAACCUGAAUGUAAAGAUACUAUUAGAACUCUCUCUCAAACAACAAAAGCAAGCGAAAGUCAAUAAAGUAACGAAAACACAGAGCAAUGAGAAAAUACAUGUUUCAUAAGUCAGAGGGUACUGACAUGGUAAUCAGAUACUCAUAUGCAUGGUUUUAGCAUGAAUGGUGUGCAAGCACACAGGAAAAAAGUGACAAAGCACAAAUGUAUCCAUCAUGGUGAGGUUCAAGAACACUGCCAUGAGUUUCUAAACAGAUUCGCAAGUUGUAGGCAACUCAUGAACUUCUUCUUGAUGGUGGCAUUUCUUUUUUCUAGAAAAGGAAUAAAAGAAUUCACAAAUUUCAGUCCCAAGUUGUACAGUACCUUUAGGGCAAAAAAUUGCCCUGUCCAUUUAUGUUGGACCAGGCGCACAAUGCCACCAUUCCCUUUCCCGAUGACUUUAACUGCAUCAAAAUCUGCUAAGCUCAACUGGUUAUCUGACGGCCGUAUAAGAGAUGGCUGGGGAAGAAGAAUAAAGAACAUCAAAAAAAUAUUUCAACAGAUGCUGCAGUUGCAAGCAGUUAGGUUAAGAAUUAAAAAACAUAUAUAUACUCUCAACAACACAAGCCAAGAACAUAUUAAUUCAAUAAGGCAUACCUAAGAUCUUAUAUGCAUAGAAACCAGACAUAAUAAAAAGUAAAAAAGAAAAAAUUCAGCUCAAACAUCCACGCCAUUUUUCUGUUUCUGCUGAAAAGGAAAGCUUUAAAGUUAAUAACUAUAAAGACGUAAAAGAUUAUUCUACCCAUCAUUAUUUAGUUUCUAGUUGAGAUCCCCAGCAUGUUCAUAAAUGAGUAAUGAGUUUUGGAUUUCAAUAGGCUUUACCCAAUUAAAUUGGGCCAUGGGCAGAGCAACGUAGAGCACAUUGCAAUUCAUCUCAACUAAAGAAAAGCCCCACCUACUCCAAGAAUGAAGCUAACAGGAAUGGAGCUGCAGGAAAUGCCUACUCUAAAGAGCAAAAUUCUUAUUUGCCUAAAAGAAAAGGAUUGUACCUGGUCUAGGGUGACACUGCUGACAAUGGUGGUUACAAAGCAUAAUGCAUUACGAAAAAAGAGCAAAUCUUUAAAAAUAUAUGGAAAUGAUGUGCUGCUCCACAUGUUAUGAACUGGUUUUGAGUUGGAUCCGCAUAAACUCCAUUAAACUACUUGUAUUAGCAAAACCUCUUUCCCACACAAAUAUGCAAUAAGCAUACGGAUGUGUGAGGAAUAUUUAAAAUGCAAGAGGUGAAGGUGUCUAGCUAAUUUCUUUAGGAUAUACCACUGUGGGAUGGUGGAAGUUAGUUUGCAAAAACUGAUUCGACUAGUUGAUCAAAUAGGAAUCUUAUACCCGUUUUAGAAUCUGGUACCUGAGUAAAUGGAAAAGUUACUUUUACUAGUCACCUUCUAACCGAAUCUUACUUGUUCUAAAAGGCGUUUGCACACCAUGUAUAUACCAUAAAGCAUACUCCCUCAGGCCUCAACGUUCAUUUAAAAUAAAUUUAAAAAAAUAAUGUUUGAACAAAUUUUAUAUUUCUAUGUGCAUGUAAAGUUUUGAAAUAGACAUCCCUAAGAUAUAAUUUUGUCAUUGGAAGGUAUCUGCGCUCAACAAAGGGGGGAUUAAGUAGCAUGUAGCGAAGAAGAAACGUAAACUGGACAAAGGAGAAAAUGAGAAGAAAUUUUUUCAGAACCGACUCCUGCAUCCAUGACUACCAAUGUUUUCAAAUUUACGAUAAAAAUAUCAAUAAUAUUACCGUAACAAACGUACGAGCCGAACAAACCAAACCAGCAAGGAAAAUAUGAGAGCAAUUUUUCAUUCACCCCAAUUUUUUAAAAAAAAAAAAAGAAAAGAAAGAACGAAAGAAAGGAAAAGGUUAAAAGAGGAAAUCAGAAAAAGCUUACAGCUUCAACUUGAUUCUGAGAAACAACUCUAACCCCAUCUCUGUUGACCAAGAGAUCACCAUCCUUGAAGGUCCCCGAUUCAGUCCUACCCAAAACAAACCAACCCUGACAUCAGAUCAGACAAAGAGCACUAAAUUUAAUCACAUCACCACCACCUGUUCGGGUGAGUUCACUUUGUACGAAUAUAAAAAGAAGAGAUGAGAGAUUGAGGAGGAGGAGAAGGACAAGUACAAGAAUUUAGAAAGAGCAACUUCAUCAGGAGGAGGAGGGACAGCUUGAGAUUAGGCGCUAAAUUCCCCUUCUUCAUUCCUUCUCUCUCAGAAUCUCUCUCUCUCUCUCUCUCUCUCCUCUCUAUUUUAUUGUGGUUUCUUUUUGCGUCCCAAGGCAACAGGAUUACUAACCACUUCAGUACUAAUGCUGCUAAAAAGUAAAAUCCCCCUCCACCAGUCUCCACCUCCAGACACAAAGUAGCACUGCUACCGUGGAAGUAAUUAGUAACAGCUGAUGCUACUGGCUUAUAUUGAUUUGGGAUUCGUUCAAACAAAUUUGUAGCAGUAAAAAUACUACUAGUAUUAGAAUUCAACCAACAGACAAAAAAAAAAAAAAGGAAGGGGGUGGACCUGGGGGAAUCAAUCAUCAAUGGAGGGAGGAGUCUCAAGGAAUUACUGCUUGUAUUAUAUGGAAACCGGGGUUAAAACUUUUACUGCUUGUAUUAUAUGGAAACCGGGGUUGAAACUUUUUUAAGUCAAAGUCUAGUCUUCUUUGUCGUGCUUUAUUAUGCGAUCCAGAGUCGUUCGCAGACUCGUCGUAUUUUUAUCGGUUGUUGGUCAGCUAGAACGCUUGAAAGUGGGCGUCAAAAACCCAAAAUGACCACCAACCCAUUUCCAUCUUCAUUGUUACACCUUUUCCUCCACUUUCGUUUUUGACAAUCAAGCGGCGCCCUCUUGCAGACUUUUCCAAUUAAUCAACCUCUAAUUUUACUCGGAGUAGGCUCAACUUUUACUAAUCUAUUUUGCGUUUCUGACAACAAACUUUUACCUGUUGACUUGACAAACGAACAUAGAGAUCCCGCACCUUCCGGUCGUACUUCCUGGUACAUUUUUUUUUUUUUUUAAUCUCUGAUGUAGCAGGAUAAUUUCUCCAGACAUAUUAUAAUAACAAACUAGGAGGCAUGAACCGGGCGGUAAGCCCUGUGAUAAUUUAUCAUGCAUGCCCAUAAAACAUAUGUAGUGGGUAUAUAUAAUUUUGAAGCAAUUGUUUUUUGAGUAUGAUUGUGAAUUCACCUUACUUUUCGGGUAUGUGUGAUUAAUAUUUGUUGAAAAGGUAUAUAUAAUUUUGAAAAUAAAAAGGACAUUGACUUUAUUAUUAGAUGUAGUAAGUGGGAAUAACAAAAGUAACAGCUAGGACAGAAGGAAUGUUUGUUGCUUAAAAAACUCCAAAGGCUAAAGAACUAUACAAAGAUCUUAGGUUUUAGAUACGCAGAAACAAAACAAAGUCUAGUAAUUGUCCAGUGAAUGAAUUGUCUAAAGUAACAAACAUGUGGUCUACAGUCUACAUAUCACUAUUCCAAAUACUACUGCUGCCUAAGAACUCAGCCCAAGAAGAAAGGCUCUGAGCUGGCAGCAUAACAGAGCAUCCCAAAUCAAAUUUUUUAAAAAGAACAGAACCACUAAAUACUACUAUUAGUAUCAACAGCAUAUAAGCCUCAAAACUAAUACCGACGCCGCUACAAGCUCAAAGAAGUUCACGAGCUGACAAAAUUUGCACAAGAAAUAAGCAUCCAAAAACAACCUCUCUAAACUGGUAGCAAGCAACAACAGCGUAUUUAGUGCACGUCACUUUGUUGAUCACAUCGGAUGAACGCUUAAAAUAGCAUAGGAGCCUGGUUCGUUCAAUUCGACAAGCCACACGAUGGUACAACUUAAAGGUCUGCAAAAAGGUUGAAUCGAAAUAAAGUGGCAAUUCAAGAAUCCAUGUAGACAAUUCAGACCAUUAAAAUUGCAUAAAAGAAAGUUCAUUAAUGACAAAUCCAAAUGACCUGGCUACACAUAGCCUCAUCGUCAGCUCAGGUAUCUAUGCAAAUCUCCAAGUUCAGGUAUCUAUGCAUGAGAAUAGAGCAACACAUAGCCUCAUCGUCAGCAGCCUCAAACAUGUCAAGCGCGCUUACACCAAUUAGCUUCUCAGCUUCGACACCUAAUGCAAUAACGUUUACACACCCAGUAUCAUCAUGAAAAGUGACCCAGACCCAUGCUCUAUAACAAAAAUAACAUUAACCACCAAAAAAAAAGGAAACCAAGGAAUACAUAGGUUUUUUAAAAACUAGUAACUAAUAACAAAUCCACGAUGCACCUAGGGAAAUCAUACAUUCCCUGACCUCAAGCAAGGUAUAGAAUUCCAAGGGUGGCAGAAAAAUCAUAUAGCUCAUAACAAUGAGGACAGGCCAUAUGCCAAAAAGUGAACAAUGGCCAAGCAACUUCUACACGACCCUUAAUCCAUGCAGUUUCCCAAUCAUGAUAUCCAAACAAAAGCAUUAUCAAACAAGAACAAAUAUAAACAAAGGCAGUACCUGAAAAAAUAAAGUAUACCAAAGCAUCAAGAAAUAGCAAAGGCACUAACAAACGCAUCAUAGGACAAAACAUAAUAGAUGGAGUAAUAGUCGAAUCAUGAACAGGGGGGUGCAAGACAGCAGGGUUUGCAUAUGCACACCCCUCAAAAACCAAACGAACCAACUUAGAGACAUUAUCAUUACACCUAAAUCAGAAAAGAAAGCGAGAAUAUAUGCAUCAAGACGAGACAACGGCGCAAUGGAGGAAAAUUAACAAAAGAAACAUCACUAACCAACUAUCAAGGAGGUUUGCCUCAACAUCAGGAGAAACAAGCACAAUAGAUGAGAGAUGGAUCGACAGGGAGAGAUCACGUGGGAGGCAAUACCAACACCCGAAGGAGUAGCAGUAGCCAUUCCUACCGAACAAAAAAACACAGGUUAAACUGCCAGGGGCCAACAACCAAGGUGACCUUUGGAGAAAAAAAAGGUCAUAAACAGACCGUUGCUAAGAAAGGCAGAAAAGACAGCCCAAACCAAAACUCUUUAGUACAAUAUAAAAGCUUAAAAUUGCAAAUCAACUAAACAAAUCCUAAACUGAAAAACCUUAAAUUAAGCAAAUCAACAAAGAGCAUGAAAAACCUCCGAAGGUGAUUCCAAAAGAAGGGAAAAAACACAAAACGAACCUUUGCUAUAGAUUCCAAAGCCGAAUGCACAAGGCUAGGAUGAAAACCAGUAAAAUAACCUAAAUCAUAAAAACGCCAAGAACAACAUCAACAAAGUACAGUAUGUAAGAGAACAUAUAACAAAGAAAAAGCAAAGGAAAGGAAAAGUCACAGGAGAAAACCUACAGCAUUUAAUUCACCAUAGUUGAAGACAUACUUAAGAACAACUAAGGUACCAUAUAUUUCCUUUUUUCAAUGAAUAGGCAGCAACAAACAUACGGAGUUAUAAAAAAUCAAGCACACCUCAUACAAAAGAGAAAUGAAAGAGAAAAGAAUUCUUUCACAUCUUGAUAAAUACUUCAAAUGUAUACUAAUCCUAUGAACAACAUUUGCAAAGCAGGCAUCUUUAAUGGGUUUUAAGUGGCUUUCAAAUAGAGCCAUGAAAAAUCAGUGCUAUAAAAUUUAAGACCAUAAUUACUCAAAAUUCAAAGGAGCAACAAUACCACAAGUUUUGAAGCUUUAACAAAACCAAUGACUUUUCAUGGCCUUCAUAGUCAGUCCCAUGAACAGCAAAUUCUACUUUUGCAAGACGAUUCCAAGAUUUGUAAUAGCCAUGAGAAAAUCAUAUAACACAAAACAAAAUCUAAACCUAAUCAAAGAUUCCAAGUUAGUUCCUUUACAUUUCUUAUCAUUUUCUUUAAGCUUCACCAAUCAUUUUCCCAUUUCGCAAACAGAACACGAAAAUAAAGAUCAAUCUGCAAAUGCCUUAUAUAGUGCAUUUCCUAAAAUAUUAAAAAAUUAAAAAGGACAAUUUUUUUCAAGUGAAUCACGGUGAUAUACCUUGACGGAGAUUUUUCGGUCGCUCUGGGGUUGCUUGAACUUCUUGACCCUUUUCUUCACUGUCUUCUUCAAAAGCAAAGGCACCGCCAUCGCUGCUGAUUCUUCUUACGUUUUCCCUCCUUAACCUGCACAUUUCACACACAAAUCACAAUCAGCUAUCCAUCUACAAGCGUCUGUAAAGAAUAGCGCAGCACGGAGAAGAAGAAGAAAAAGAAAGCUGCGGCGCAGCUGAAGGUUUGAGAGCUUACUGUGGAUUAGGGUUCUGCGGAGCCGCCCAGAUUUGGAAUGGAAAAGGUUGUUUGAGACCACAUUUAAGAGAAAAUGAGAAAUUCGGUGGCCUUCACAAGCCAACGAGAAAAGCAAAAUCAAAGGAAAAAAGGAUACGCAGCAAAUACGCAGAGGAAAAAUGCACCAGUAAAAGAAACUCGGGGAGACCGAGCUUAAAACGCACGAAGAAGAUGAAACCAAGCUCGCAAUCAAGCUGGCCAGAGAAGGCGGUGAGAGGAAGGAGCUCAAAAAGGGGAACGGGUUCAAGGGCACAACCAAUUUCAGAAAAUGGAAAUGAAAAAAGCAGAUGAGAAAACCCUAGGAAAAAAGGGCACAACCAACCCGUCUUGGAAUUCGGACGACAUCGGAAGACACAGCCAUGAUAAAUCACACCAAUUACCAUUCUUGAGGAAGCUCUACUGUUAGCUCUGGACAAUGCAGCUGUGAGAGCUGGGAAAGGAAAGGAACUGUACGGCCAUCCAUUCCAAAGCAGAAAACCCAUGGGCGACCCAAUUACCCGAACCAUUCCAAUGGAGCAUUUGGAGAAGCGCAGACUUACACAGCUCACGUGCGCGGCACGUGACGACGACGAAACCUCUUGGUGCAUUGUAUGUUAUGUUGAUGAGCAUGUUCUUUCACAUGCUCAUAAAUUCCACUUCUUCUGUUGCAACUAUGAACUUUAGAAAAAGAAAAAAUCUUAAACUCAGUCUAUAGCAUUAUGCAGGAGAACGGAGCAAUACAUGAGUCUGAGACCAUCCAUAAAUACAUAUUGACAAGAAAGAGAGUGGGAAAAAAACAAAACAAAAAAAAAGAGAUCCAGUUCACAUGUACAAGUGAUUUGUAUAACUGUACGUCAUAAUCCUAUGAUGUAGUUUCUAAUUGCUGCCACACUAUAUCAAGGAAAUUUCUAGUGCAAAAAUUUCAGCUCUCUAUGAUGUUGAAGGAGAAUUUGGAUAGCAGCUGCGGUACUCCUGAUAUUAUUGGUCCGUAAGUCUACAUAAAAGAACCAUCAGAUGCAUUAGUCCCAACUUAUGACUCAGAAAUUGUACAAAUAUGGCUGUAAAACAGGCUACAACAUUAUCAGGGCUUGAUUUGGACGCGGAGUGGCUCACUGAGGAAUCCACAACGGAAACUUGGAAUUUCUCAAAAUUUUCAAAUUCGUGUGUUUUCAAAAGUACGUGGCAGAAUUGUUCCUCGUAACUACCUGAACGUAUCAAUUCCAUAAAAUUCUACUAUUACACUAAUGUCUUCAAUAAGGAACAAUACCUUGUGGUUUUCAUGAAGUUGACAUAGAGGUACUGCAAGAAGCUUGAGAUUCCUGGUACGUGAAUUUCUGACUCUCAGGCAACUUCACAAGAAAGAGUUUUGUGCAUUCCUAUAGAGGCAGACGUCAGAGUUUAGGUACUUGGAGCUCAAGAACUUGUACCAGGUAGGUAACAAAUCCACAGUCCAAUGAAAAAUACAUCAAUUACCUUUGGCCUUUUUAUAUUAGGUGGCAGAUAGGGAUAAAGUAAUGCAUCAAAAUCAGGCCUCCACCACAUACCAAGGCAUUCGCCCACCUGAGCACUCAGCUAAUUAGUGCACCGAACAAGUAUAUCUAUCAAGUGAAUGACAAGCAUUGCAUACCUCCCAAUCAGGCGCACUACAAUCUCCAACAGCAGAUAACUUGCUUGAUAGUUUGCGCUUUAAGCAUUGUAUAUCUAGAGCAUAACAAAAUUAUACAUAUAACCCUUGCAAAUAUGACGAUUUUAGGUCAAGCUUUGAUCUCCAUAUAUGCAUAACUAGAGUUAACAGAAUAUCCCAGAACAAAGCACAUACCUGAUUCACCUGUCCUCAAACGACCACCUGGAAGCUUAUAGAUCGAGUUCCGUGCUUGCAACAGCAAUACGUGGGGGUGCUUGAACAAUUCAACCUGUAACAGUUACUUUAUCUAUUCAUCAAUAAAAGAACUAAUUACACAAGUAAUCUAGGUCAGGGAAAGUAAAUGGCCUCAUACUCCAUCUCUCGCAUUCAUAGAAACUACAAAUUGCACUAUACAUAUAGGAAUCAUACACUGAUGGAGACACAUUAACUAUGAACUCUAUUAUUCCACAGGGGUGCAGACUAUCAUUUCCUAAACCAGCAUUUUGACCUACGGUAUUUGCAAAGAAAAUUCCAAAUCCUCCUAAUUGUAGCUCAACCCCUUUUAGUCCUGAGAGAUAUUCAGAUCAUAAUAAACAGGUCCAACAACAAUUUUAAUUUCAAGUAUAUCUAUAGAACAUGCUAGGACAUCAGGCUUGACAACAGCCACUUUAUUAACUGAAAAAAGGCUCAAUCAAGCUGAGGACUGCUACCCCCAAUUCAUCAAUGGGCCUCUAAAACUUGUUUCCUCACACAGUUGUAUAUAACAAGAUAUCAACAUAGAAUGUUACCACAUUUUUCCUCAAAAUUGAAGUAAGUAGAAGAAACUGCAGGAAAGCCAUAAUCUGUUGCUUCUAGUGAACCAAAGAAAAGUUGAAAGAUCAUUAUAAUGGCGCAAACCAACUAAGGACACUUAAAAACAGAUUGAGCCUCAAUCUUUCAUUGAUACUGGGAAGUGAAGAUCAGAAACACAAACUUUAGUGCGAAAGACUUGGUGCGGUUCUGAUGUUCAGCUAUGAAUAAAGCCUAAUACUUGUCUAUUUGGAUAUGAUUUUUUCUGACGAGUGCCUCCAUUUAGUUGUUGGUUCACAUAUAUAAACCAUUACAGUUAAUCGAUCUCACAGGGCCAAACACCAUGACAUCUUGUGUAAAAAACAAAGAGAUACUCCAAUCAAUGCUUAAAUUUCAGCAUAGGUCAACUUUCCACCGGCCAUUCAACAGUCAAGCUGAUAAAUAGGCCACUAGAUGGGGUAGGUUUUCUCAGUAUAUAACUUGUAACUCACCAACAUAAGCGAAAAUGCUUGAUAACAGACAGAACUAAUUUUGCUGACAGUAUCACCUUCUUCUCACUUUGUUCUAUUUUCCUUUUUGUUUCUUAAAUUCCUUUACCCGCCAACUCCAUAUCAAAUCCUUCCUCAAUGCCUCAGAUUUUUAACAUGAUUUUGUCGGAAUAAAGUCUAUUUUCAGAAAGAGUAAUGUUAGUAAUAUUUGCAAAAAUCUUACCAGGCAUGACCCCUUAUUACAUUAAAUUUUUUAUUAUUAUUAUUACAUUAAAAUUAUUCCUUCAUUCUUAUUCACAGUUUAAAAAAAACAUACAAACAUUAGCCAACGAAAUCUCAGAUAGUAUCUCAAGCUCCCCCUCUCCCGGGGACAAAAAACAAUAUUCACCUCGAUCACUUAACCAAAAUCACGAAAUACAUCAGCUGUAAGUAGAAAAUGCAAAAAAAAAUCAUUGAGUAAGUUAAGAAAAUGCAAAAAUCACAAAAUACAUCAGCUGUAUCGAUCACUUAACAAGGUCUAUCAAAAAUUCACAAGCAAUUGUAAAAGGAGAAGUUAAAAAUGCAGGAGUUAAAUGGAGUUCUGACCAGCAUUACAGCUUGCACACAGGUCCUUAAUCCAUGAGCAUCAUAGCUGAAUUUCAACAAUGGAUAGAAAUUAAAUUAGCACCACAGCUACAGACGAUUAAAAUUGUUGAAACUAAAUUUGCUCUAUCUAUCAUCGUACUUGAAUUUCAUUCGAAGGAUACGAUCGGACGUAGUCUCGUCCUUAAACGGAACAGCUUCUUUGGAGCCAAAAUAGUAGCAGUUCAGCGGGUAAAUGUCCAACACGUUACCGUAAUUCUGCACGCUACUACUGUUUUGUACCUGUGGUAAAUCAGUCUGAUGAUCCCUACUCAUCUUUCUAUAACUUGUAUUAUUCAAUCUGCAAGCGGUUGGGAGGACAAAUAAAAAGGGAGAAGAAACGACCAGGUAAAGUACCACUACUUAUUAGCCCCAGCUGCAUCGGUGAAGGAGCUUGGAGGAUAGAAUAUUGUAGACUAAUCUUGUCAAAGAGGAGUGGGAAAGGAACGUGGCCAUUCCUGAGAGAACCGGAGGCUGAGAGCGGGAAAAAAAAAAAUAAUAAUAAUACUCGCUAGUAACAGUGACGUUUGGGCCUAUCGGCCCAGAAGUUUCCAGAUAAGUGUACUGUUUCACUUCGAAAGUGGAGGGGCUGGUGCAGAUUUUUUGCUAUAAAAAAAAGAGUUAAUCUUUCCUGACGGCUCACCAUAUUGCGCCACCUCAUUAAUGAAAAUUGGCAACCUGUUAUAACCUGUAACCAUUACCUAUUAUCAAAUAAAAAUAGGUUAUUCACCUCUUUUUUUGCCUCUUCCUUCUCUUUUUAUUGUAUUUUCGAUUUGCAAUCAAAUUCCUCCGCUAAUCAACUCAAAGUUGGGAUCACAGGUUAGACUCCUUUAAUCUCUCAUUCUCUCUCUCUUUUUUUUUAUAUGUAUGAUGUCUUUUAUAAACCUAAUUUUACUUAAUUUUUACAAAGUGUAAACCCUAAUUCAAUAUUUGUGGAAAAAGGAUUUCAAGUAACAAAGGAAACAGGGAGGUGAUCUAGGAUCAUUUCAAGUCUAUUGUGGCCCAGGAAGUCGAGUAAAUCAAUUUCAUAUUCUCUGAUUGCCGAAGAUACCUCCUUCUUACCGCAUAGAGUUGUCAAAUUGUCAUUGAUGUUGAUCGUACUUUGUUUUGGACAAAAAACCUCAAAAAUCACUAAACUAUUAGUCAGAUCAUAUUUUGACCAUCAAACUAUUUUUAGUUAAUAAUUGACCACUAAAUAAUUUAAUCAAUAAAUCCGUGACCAUUUAGUAAAUAAUUGCUCUUUAUCUGUGAAAUUAGCAAUACAUGUGGUAAAGCAGGGAGGCAAUUUUGUCCAAUAACUACGUGACCGUAUUUCAUAGAUUAACUGCUAAUUUCAUAGAUUAAGAGCAAUUUAUCAACUAAAUGGUUACAGGUUUACUAAUGUCUAAUGUCCAGUUACUAACGAAAAAUAGUUUGAUGGCAAAAACAUGAUUCGACCAAUAGUUUAGUGGUCGCUAAGAUUUUUUACCCUAUUUUUUGUCUUCUUCUUCUUCUUAUUAGCUAUGCUAUUCAACCCUAGCCUUAGAUUUCUUAUAUUAUUGUAAGGAAAAAUCGUUUAAACCAUUCUUUAUACCUUUGCUAAAUGAAUAUUUUCAACUUUCAUUUUUUAAAUAUUAUUUUUACGUCCUUUAUAAAUUUGGUCUCAACAUAAAUUUUCAACCACUUUUAGUUUGAAAUCACCACAAAACUCAUAUGUGAUCAUUUUUAGGUACAAAAAAGUCAAAUUUCAUUUGUUUAGGAACAAAAAUGAAUAUAAUUUGGGUUAGGUCUUACUUUUUUAGAGAAAAAAAAUGAAUAUUUAGUUCGGAUCAAAUUUCAUUUUUUUAGAGGCAAAAAAAUGAAUAUGAAUCAGGUUAUUUGUUUUAACUAUAAAUGAUAUAUAGUUUUUUGCCCCUAAAACUACGUGUGAAUUAUGCGACUGGUUCAAGGUAAAAAGUGAUUAAAAACCUACAUCAUGACCAAAUUUUCUUGAUUUGAAUUUAUUAGAUAUGUAAAAUUAAUAUUUUAAAAAUAAAUGACAAAAAAAUUCAUUUUGGCAAAAUGUAAAAGACAUUUUAAAAGAUUUUCCCUUUAUCACAGUGGAUAAAAAGAGACCAUAAACUAGUUACUGGUACAAAUAAUAUAAAGAAAUGUAACCAACAUUUAUUGGAAAAUACAACCCCAAAGAUUUGGGACCAAAAUCGAUUAGCGGUGACCAUUGAAUAAAAGAUAAAAACUUUUGUGUGCAAGUGUUCUUAAACCUGAAUCUCUCCACGACUCGACCUCUCUUUUAAUCCACAUUAGGUGUUUUUCACAAUAACACAAUUACCACUUGACUCUUGGUCCAGAAAACUCUAGGAAUUUUUAAGGUAUCUCUUAAAUAAAAUAGAGGGCAUGCUGAGAGGCCCACCAAAUUGUUGGGUAAUAACUGUAUUUUUUGAACAAAUCGAGAACUACAUUCAAUAUUUUUAUAAAGUUCAGGUACGUUGAAUGAUAUUACAAUUAAUCGAAAUGGACUAGUCCUACAGUAAGACAUUUGUCAUUAUAAAAAAAAAAGAAAAAAAAAACACAUUUGUCUUCUUCUUUAUAUUAGACCAGCAGUAUUUAUGGCGUCCUUUUCAAAUUUUCUUAAUUCUGACCAAUGAAAAACAUCACAAGAAGUCUACUUCCACAAUUCCGUUCAACACUUUUCUUUGUCAGGUGUAGGGCCUAAUCGGCUGCGCGGGAAGAAAAUAAUCUGAGUUCACAUGUGCGAAAAGGAAAAUAAUAAAAGAUUGAGGAAGCUAUAUACAUGAAAUGUUUAAGCUGCUAAGCAAAAUCAAUCAUAAUUAGGAAUUUGGAUUGGUUUAGUUGGAGAAUCCAUUUAUCCAAAUCCAGUUUCAAUCAUCAAAACUAGAGUUACAAAAGAAUCGAACCGCUCGUAAGUUGAUCGCGAGCAGCGCGAGUUCGAAGUCGAACUGACCAAGUUGAAAUCGAUUUCGAAUUCGAUUUUAAAAAUACUAAUCUCGUUAGCUCGUGAGUCGGUUCAAACUCGAUUAUAUAUAUAUAUAUCUUAUUUUAAUAGUAAAAUAUAUAUAUAUAUUUCUAAUAUUUUAAUAUUUGUUAAGAAAAAUUAUUAUUAUUAUUUAUUUUUAAAAAUAAAAUAAACUUUUUUAAAACUCGAUCUUGACAUUUUGAACUCGUCGAGUUCAAGUUUGAUAAAAUUAUAUUGAGACUCAACUCUAUUAGACUGAAACUCUGUUCGGCUCGAUUCGUUUACAUUCCUAAUCAAAACUAUCCGAAUGACAUGUUUUUCCUACUAAUUCAUGCAGUAUAUCCUUUGUUUGUUCCAUUGUAGAUUUGUAAGUGUACGUAGGAUGUAUUCGGAUAGGAGAUUAAUUGAAAAAAAAAAGUGUUUGAAAAAAUACUAUAGCAUUUUUUAUUAUGUGAUCUAUGUGAAAUAAAAAAAUAAUUAAAAUUUGUAUUUAUGAUAUAAGUUAAACAAUAUUUAAAUUUUUUAAAAAAUCAUGCUAAUUAGACAGAUCCUACAUUUUGUGACGAUGGGAGGAAAAAAACAGAAGCAUCUUCUGACGAAUUUCCACAAUUCGGCAAUAUAACAAUUUAUGGUGGCUGGUAUUCACAAUUCAAAUUGUGUUUUGUCAACUAAUUGAAAAUGAUUAGUAAACUUAAGAGAAAUUUUAUUUAUACUUUUUUUCCCUUGUAGCAAUGUCAUUAUUUUUUCUCUCAUAAAUCCAAUUGCUCCCGGAGAAAUUAUCUUAAUUAUACCACCUCAAAAAUAGCUAAGAGGACAAGAAAAUCAUAAAGAGGGAUUAAAAAGUUUCAGCCAAAAGGAAAAAAGGAAAAAAAAACAUAAAAGCAUUCAAAGGCUGCCGUAGAAAGACGGGAGGAAAAGAAUCUUCUUAAUUACACUAUUUUAUUUUUUUUAAAAAAAUUCUAAAUACACUACUAGUUUUACGGUUCAGGAAAAAGUACAAAAUGAAUUUUGCCAACCGAUAGGCCCUGAACAAGAACCAAAACAAAGACAAAAGUCAAUGUGCAAUUCGUGGAAAUAACAGUAAAACUUUUGAGAAUUUCCAUUUCUGUUAUUCAGCUUUAAAAGUGAAUUUUUGUAUAUCAUUUUCCAGUGUUUUUUUUUUUACUAUAUUAACUAUUCGCAAGUCCUAGGUUCGGCUUCAGCCGAAUCAAAUACGUCAGCUCGUGCUUAUGCAUAUUCCUAAGGAUACUGACUUCAGUCUUCGGAUAAAGUAUGGUGAUAGCACAACAAUUAUUGAGCAGUAUACAAAAGUUUUCCUAAAAAAAAAGAGAACAUACAUAUAUAUUUUUUGUUGUUGUGGGGUUGUUGGGGGGGGGGGGGUGGAGAGCAUACUAAAGUAAAUUAGUUUACAAGACACUUGUAAAGCGUAUGGUAUCCUACAAUACUUAAAUCACUUAAAUUACAUUAUUGUAUUUUUAAAUUUUACAUUAUCAUAUAUCACUUACUCUUUCUAUUUUUACGUCAUUAAAUUAAAGUAACCUUAUUUACACGACAUUUAUAAAUUAUAUCAUAUUAUUCAAUAAUUUUUUCUUUUUAAGACGAGCGAGAGAAUUUAAAUUCAAAGAUCUCUUAUUUACAAUCUCUGUCACCUUACCAUCAAAUACAACUCUCCCCGGUAUCACUCAAUGGUUAAAUCACUUUUAUUACAUUAUUGUACAUGACGUGACCUGCUCUUUUAUUUUCCAUUAUUAAACUAGUAGUAUAAUGCAGAUUUUUUGGAUACAUCCCAUGUAAAAUCUUAAAUCAAAUUUAUUGUGGCAUUUUCUUAUUCCUUUUUUUUUUUUUUUUGUCGAAACGAUAGAUGUCCUAUAACCUAAUCUAGCCUAGUCUAAGGGGAAGGGGAGGGGGUUCGAUGUGAGUACAGACUCCAUCGAUGAAGGUCAAUUAAGACCGCCACAAAUUGUGGCAAAUUUGUGGGAGGCAGGGAUUGAACCCCUAACCUCCAGCAUCACCUUUAAUAGUGAUGACCACUGGACCAAAUGGCCAGUGGCGGCAUUUUCUUAUUCCUCAUAUUUGAGUUCUUUUUUUUUUUUCCCUCUUUCAGGUACGCCGGAGAAAAGAUUAAAGAUGAUGCAAAUGAAGAUUUUUGACAAUGCAAAAGUUUCUCUCCCAAAGCAACUCUGACAAGAACGCAAUUUGCGUUGAAGAAUUGACCGUAAUUCAACUUCUUUCAAGACCAUUGGGGCUGGUCUGGUUGGCCAAGAGUUCGAAUCUCGACACAAACAAGAGUUUGAUAUAUUUGGCUCGGCCAUAAGAUAAGAUAAGGUUUUUUUUUUCCUUUUUAAUUUUAAUAAAGUGCAGCAAAAUUAGAGUCCGAAGCUCACAAGAAUAUUUCACUCAACAACGGAUCAUCGGAGAGGAGAGUAGGAGGCGGAGGAGGCCGUUACCAAAGUCCUCUAUUCGAAGUCUCUCAUUCAAAGUCAGUCCAAAGUUUAUGAUUGAAGAAAGAUACAAAGCUUUCCGUCCCAUCCACUUCUCCUAUGCAUAAUAGUCAGCGUCAACAAUUAAUUUUAAACAGAAAAUAAAUCAAAAGAAAUUGGACUCUUUCGUCUCCUCUUCCAACUCCAAACGACCCCGAGUCUCCUGUCCCUUCAUCACGAAUUGGAGCUCAACUACUCCAAAUAGCCGCUUCCCCAGCUCAAACUCCAUAAAGGCAGGUUUUCCCUUCUUUCUUUUUCUUUUAAUCUUGGUUUUAUUUGUAGAUAGAAAAUGGUGGGGUUUUUUAAUUUUUUGGGGCGGUUAGAGGUGGUGGGGUUGAGGAGGCCGGGGAGGGUGUUGGUGCUGUGUUCUUUACUUAAUAUGUUUCAUAAAAUUUGGUAUUUUUCUUUGAGGACUUGUAUCUUGAAUUGCUUUGUAUUGAAGUGAAGUGAGAUGAUUCUAGAUUUUGAUUGCGGUUUUCAUUUUUUUUUUUCUUAAUGGGUUUCUUUGGGAUUUAGAAGUUUGAGCAAUAGGUCUGAUAAAGUUGCGAAUUUUUAAGCUUCACUUGGUAAAACCUGAAAAGAUUGACAAUGCAUGAUUGAACUUGGUCGUAUGAUUUCAUGCUCUCACUUUUUAGUGGAUUGUUAAAUCGAUGCUUGAAAAAUUAGAUGUUGAUGAUGAAUGAAAAGAAAUAGGUGAUGUUGUCAUCAUAAUUGCUUAUGCGCCUGCGGGGUAUCAUCUGGUUAUUGUAUAUCAAUGUUUGAUUGUUCUGUUACUAUGCUCUCUCGCACUACCCUUGACUUAAAUUGGUUGUUGAGUGAUGGAAUAAUAGUGAAGUUUAUGUCUCUCUCAUUAUAUCAGGUGUUGUAGAGGUGACAACUGACUGUUAGGCGAUUUUGCUUUGGAAAACUACACAUGGAUCAAAGUGAGUGCCUUCAGUUGUUAAUUUGUUCUACUUCAUUUCAGAGUUACAUAUUUGAUACCAAGUUCUUGAGUAUGAAUGUGUUAUCAGUAUAUGUUCCGAUUUUGAUAAUCAUGCGGUAAUAAUGGUAUAUCAUACUGGGAAUCCAGAAAUUGUUGACACUCCUAUGAAAAGUCUUUGAUCAAACAACGAGUCAUUGGGGAAGGAGGAGAGGUAAUGUUAGGUUAGGUCGGGUGGCAUCACUUCCUCUAUUGCGUGCAUUGCUCUUCAUGGUGUUGUAAUAGGGUUUAGGAAGUUGGCAUUUGCUAAUGCAGUUAUGCUUUAGAAUUUGACAAAUUUAUUGUAACUCAAACCGGGAAAUGUACUGUUAACUUUUGUCCGGGGUUUUUUUUUGGGCCCGGGGGGGUGGGGUGGGGGAGGCGGAGGGAAGAGAUUGGUUAACUUGAAUGUUGUGGUCAAUGAGACAUGCCAAUUCAAAUUUAAGUUCCAUGAGUGUAACCUCAACUUGGCAACAGUAUGUUUAUUAAAUCAUUGACAUAAGGAAAUUUUCAAGCGUGAUGGCCUUUUAACGACUAAAUUGGGCUUGUUGAUGUUACAGAUAUUACUAUCGAGGAGGGAGAUGUAAAAAGUGGCCUUGAAUUGGUGAAAUCAGUUUCAGAUAAGCAUCUUGAUCUUUUGAGACCAUCAGCCCGAUAUUAUUCAAUUUUUAAAGGUAGUUAUUCUGUUUGUGUGUCAUUGUUAUGAUGUUCUUGCAUUUUGAAGUAUCGUCCAUAUAUUUGUUGUUUCUAGAUGUUUAUGUCUUGCACAAUGUCUUUCUAUUGUUUUACGAUUUGGAGAUGAUAUAUCUCCUGACAUAUCUCUGUGCAAUAUGUACUAAGUUCAAAAGGUUCACUUCUUGUAGCUUGGGAUGCCUUGAGGAGGACAUUAGGCUUAUACUUGCCAGUUUAAGUUUAGAAAUAGCUAUCUUGUCCUGAUAGUGAUCGGUCAAGAUGUAAUGAUUCUAAAAAACAAAUAAGAUGCAAAUCUUCAGCAGUAAAACCAAUCAGUUGAUGGAGAGCCACCCCUGAUAAAGAAGUCAGAAAAUAGCUAUCCUGUCAAAGUGAGGUCACUCUAGGAUACAUCAUAGUGUCAGUUGAUGGCAGUUCUUGAACCUGGCAUCUCUGUGUGUGUAUCUGAGGGAGAGAGAGAUGAGGUUUCAACUUUUGUUGGCCCAAUGAUAUGAGUGCAAGAUUAUUUCGCAUGCAUUCACAUCAUCCAUCUCCCAAACAAAACCUCUCUGUCUGUCUUGUUGGAUACUUGCCUUUUCUGAAGCUCUGAUUACCAUUGCAUAGGAGUUCAACUUUUUGUCCUUAUUCCAUUUCAAAUUUUAUUGCAUUAAGACCUUUCUUCUAAUCAAUCUCCUGACCAUGUUCCUUCCUUCUUAGGCACUUCUGUUCUUUAAUUUGAAUAAAACUUCAGCUGAAUGCCAUAUUCCCCACUUGGGCCAUGAUAGGUCUAGUGGCUAAGGUUGAGGCCUUAGGACUGGGUUCUAAUCCCCCCUUCCUGCUCCCCACUUCUUAAAUCUCUCCCUCUCCCUUGCUUAGAGGGAAAAAAAAAAAACUCAUGCAAGUCUUUAGCUUGAUUACACACUUUUACAGUUGUAGACUGAUAAUUUCUUUGUAGUUUUUAUGAAAAAGAAAAUGAAUAUGGUAAUUACGUGUCUUUUAAUGAUAGGGCAAGUGGCAGAUGCUUCUGACCGUGAGAAGGGUAAAUAUACCCUGAUCAGAGAUGCAGAUGACUUCCAACCAAGCAUAUAUGACAAGCCAUUACCCUGUUUUGGCUGUGGAGUUGGGUGGUUUUCGUACGUCUCUGAUCCAUAUUUACAUUUUUCACGAUGCUUAUCGCUGCUGCUAGGGGUUGUGCUGUUUCCUUGUGCAUCUUUGUCUGAUCACCACUUUAUUUCUUCAGAUUUCUAUUAGGAUUUGUUUGCCCAAUAAUGUGGUACUAUGCCACAUUGCUGUAUUUUGGUAAUUACUACAAAAAGGAUCCUAGAGAACGAGCUGGGCUUGCCGCAUCUGCAAUAGCUGUAAGUACUCCAUGCUCUGCUUAUGCACUUGCGCUUACAUAGCCUACACAGGUCUUUACAUGUGAAUUAGCAACCAAAAUGCAGCAAUGGCAGGUCUUAUAUAUGCCGCUCGAAUUUAUUUCUUUACUUGUUUUUGGUGCAGGCAAUGGCAUUUUCUGUUUUCUUCUUGAUCAUCUUAGCUGUGUGGUUCUACUUUUUUAGCUCCCGCCUUGACAGUUGCACGUGCUUUGGAGGCAUUUGUGGGCAAGGGCGUUGUGAUCUUGAUUUGGGAUUUGUAUAUUUUUCCUUAACUCAGCUGCUAUUUCUGAUGUAGAUAUGAUUUCUUAGAAUCAAAUCACACAUGACUCCAUUUUUCCACCAAUCACUAUACAGGGGACAAAAAAACACUAAGGCAAAACAGUAGAAAGAAAGAAGGGAAAUGUAACCCGCCAUCGAAGAAACGACUACAAAAUGGGCUAAAGCUCUGUUAUAGGAACCGUGAUUUGAGAGAUUGUAUUUUAGGAACAAUAAUACUAUGUUGUUGUUGAAUAAAUCAUUUUUUUGGUGCAAUGACGACCAUGCUCUACUGUUGGAGAUGUUAGCAAAAAACGACUUUCAUUGUGGAUGGAGAGAGAUACAGACUUACAGAGAGACGCCCUUGUUCAUAUGGCAAGUCAGAUAUUCACAAGGGUCCAGUCACAAAAGUAUAGCAUAAAAAGACACUCGAGUUUCAUCAUGUGAGCUCCCCUUUCCUUCUUCAUAUGCUGAUAAAGAGCGGUCCGAUAAAAAACGUCUAAAAUUCAGGCUCUUCAAAUUAAUAUUGGUGCUUUACCAUUGAAAGCGCCAGGUACUUUUUUUUCCGCGUCUCUUUGUACAUACAAAUGCAAAUGUAUACGCAGGACAGAGGAAUCCGAAUUCAACGAUUAGCUUUAUGCUUUACACCACCAAUAUCUCACAAAAUUAGAUUACAAGUCCCUGACGGUUUACCAUCAUAGGAGAAGGCUAAGUACAAAAAUUAGAUCCAUAGGGCUCAAAAACUUUUCCGACCGGUACUCGUGCAAAAAUGCACCAGGGACAACAAAAUAUGAGACUUGUUCCAGUUCAGCCUCAAAUAAAAUGGGUGAUCAAUAGUUUGAUCAAACCGAAGCAAUACAGCAAUCAGAACUCAUAUUUUCAUGAUGGGUUCGCUCUACACUCACACAUCUGUUCUUAACUUUUCACUGCUAAUCGUACAUACUUGCCAUCAAUAUCAAAUCUGGAACUGGAAUUGAUCUGCAGAUAGUAAAGAAAUCCCAAUAAGAUUAUGCUUCAUAACAAGAAUAGGAACAAACAAGUCCUUAAAAGCAUCAGUUUACCUUUUGCUGAAGAAUUUCAGCAACUCUGCUUUCCUCAACUAUUGAGCCAGAUUCCUUGAGAGACUUCAAACAAGUUUUAUCAGUUUCUUGAAUUUCAGUGAGCCAUCAGGAUUCUGCCAGCAUGCAGGAAAACAGUUUUACGUAUGGAACAGAAAUUUCAUCAUACACUCUACUGGAAUGAGAAACAUUGGACGACGACGACAAUGACGACAAUAAUAAUAAUAAUAAACUAGUGGGAUGGAAGAGCUAGAGGAAAGCAAUACGCACAGAUUUCAGGGAUGAAGUAAUCAGCUUCUUCCACUUUAUUUUCUUCUUGUCAUCUUCGUUUUUAGGAGAGGGAUUCACUGACUUCUUGUCUUCAGACACAACUUCUUCAUCUUUCUUAUCCUUCUCUUUCAAUUUUUUCAUUUUGGUUUCUCUAACAUGGAUAAUUUCGCCAUUGCCCGAUUCAUCAGGCAUAUCAACCACAGGUAUUUGCCUGGCAUCGACAUUUUCAGACACCUUGAGCUUUCUCUUCUUACUCAACUGCAAAUUAUCAUUUUCUGCCACAGAGUUGUCCUUCUUCGCAGCAAUAGUAUUAGACGGCUUCUGUUCUUUUUCUUCCUCAGUGGCUUCGACAGCUUCAUUCUUUGCAUUGUUUUCAGCUGGAACAUCACUCUCCAAAAGGUUUCCUUCACUCUGUUUUGGCUGCUUCGCUGCAUGAAAAGCUUUUGCUUUUGCUAUGUGCUUCUUCCCUUCUGCAUGGAGAAGCAGGGUUUGCUGACUAGUAACAUUGGUAUUACACAGACUGCAAAAUAACACAUUAACAUUAUGAAAGCUCAGAUCUAACUUAAAAAAAAGGGCAUAGAAACCAAAAUAUCUUAACCUAAGCCAAGAUCAAAUAAGGCAAACUGAAGCAACAAAUCCAUCUACACAGAAUAAUUUACAGCAGGCACAAAGUUUCAUAUCUCAUCCACAACUGAAGAAGAUAACUUAUUGAUUCCCCAAUGAAAGGCUAAAAUAUAACAAUCUUUGUAACUGUCUCAGCUUUACACAUCAUCACCAGAUCUGAAGGAUCCCAUUUAGCGGGUCUAGGGUUGAGUAAAGCUCAUAUUUUUUUAGUUCAAAUUUCAUAGUAUGAGCCAGAAACAAAAUCUCUCAAAAAAUAAUCUAAACAAGAAUUGGAAGCAAAAGAUGGUCUCUGUACUCAAAGUACUUGCAAGCUAAAAGCAAAAGCAUUAGGUGUUGCAGAGCAUAUUCCUAUCUUAGUGAGGCUCUGGACUUCAUAUCAUGCAGCUAUACAUUAUUGCAGCCAAGUGGUUUUAUUUUCUUUCCUUGAACAUCUCUUAUGUCAAGAAUUGACACAAUUUUCAAUAUAGGUACACGGGAAGGGAAGUACCUGCAAGACCAUGGGGCACGUUGAGAUAAUCCAACAUGUAUAUCAAUAUCUGGUUUCUGUUUUGAAGCACCGUUAGGCUUAUUAUUUGAGCCAUUAAUAGCUUUCCCUUGUCCCUUUGGACCAUAUUUUCCUGAAAAUGAGAGUAUCAUAUCACUUUCAAUCAGUCAAGAAUGAUCAAAGCUUAUAAACACCAAAAUAACUACAUACAAGUUAAUAAUUAGCAAACAAAGUAAAAGAUGAAGGCUAAAUUCAUCAUAAGAAAGUUUCAAAAUGAGGACAGGCAGUACCUCAGAAAAAUUCAUAUCACAAUUGGUUCAUAUUAUUUGCCAGAUUACAGACACACAUACUCUAGCUCUUCCUGAAAAUAGCACCCUUUUUGAAUGAUUCUCAUAUAUCUUAAUCGUUCAUAUCUAUGUCUCUUAACAUUUCCACUAAAAACUUUAAAUUACUAUGAGCAUUCCAACCGAAAGUCAAAUUUCAAAUGACUUAUGAUGUCCGUGUAAUGCCAUACUAAUACUAUACCCAUAAUAUGGUAAUUGUUUGAUAUGUCUAUCAAUUCUUUUGGUCCUGAACUACUAAUAACCCUCAGUUUCAAGCCUCAACCAAUGCAUUGAGUUCACAAGAUUGUCCAAAGAAAGUACACAUUUUGGCCAAAUCAGCAUAGCAACAGUCAAAAAUAUUGCUUUUUCUACCACAUCAAUUACGGUUAAAAAAAUCAUAUUGCCAUUAAGGUAAUAUGGGAAAAAAAAAAGAAAUAUGAACAGAUAAUCAAGAGCUUGUAUAAACUCAAAUAAUAGACAAAAUAACAAUUAAAAAAAUCCAAAAAAAGUAAACGGAUAAAAUAAAAAGGACAACAAAGAAUGAGAAGGGCUCGAAACAUACAGCUUCUGUGACGCACUGGGUAUGGCUUUCAACAUUUUGUCGCCCAAAUAUUUCUCCACAGUCAAUGCACGAUAGCUGCACAAAAUUCACCGAAAAGAAAAGAAUGAACAUUCGAGUAGAUUCAAUUUUGAAGCAAGAAUCAGCUGAAUCCAGUUCAAGAAAUUAAAUUUACAAAAUUCACGAAAAAACAAGGGAAAGAGAGACCUUGGAUGCAGAGCAGGUCCUAAAGUGGUUAGGCAGCUUUGGUUUCUUCAAGUUGUCUCCACAGUCAUCACACUGAAACCACACCAUUUCUCUCGUGUGUGGAUGUUUACCGAUGAAGAAAUUUCUGGAGAAUGAAUUCCGCCUACAAAAUUGUCGUUGGAGAAUCUUUUGCGGUAAAAUCCAGUCGAAGUAUAAAGGGCUUCCAUUUGUCAGGGUUUAAGGCUUUUUUAAGUGUUUAGGGUUUUCGGUUUUGGGCUAAUGAAAGAAUUCGUAGACCGCUUUUAAAAUUAUUAAGCCCACAUUGUGAGAUAAGUACCGACGAAUGUUUGCAGCAGGACUUUGUUUAGAACGCAUUUUAACAAAUAUUAUUUUAUUUGCAUCAUAAUUAUGAUUAUCAAUUUUUUUUAUAUUCUUAAUAAUCUUUUUAUUUCACAUAUAUUAUAUCACAAAAAAUGACCUCAAUAGAAAAUUGAAAGUAAUGGCAACAAUUGAUUGAGUUCAAUAGUUCCCGUAUAAAAUUAUUGACUCUAGAGAUAUAAUAAUAUGGAGAAGACAAAAUUGUUUAAGCACUGACAGAAUUAGAAGCACCCUCUUUCAAAGAGAGGAGGAUGGGUUAUUAACAUUUCAUUCGAUCGUUAGUCAUUCGAUCUGAAUGCUACACGAAGAAUGUAAGCCAAAUGAUAAAACGGAAAGACUAGGAUGCAGAAGAUUGUAAAUGAGUCAUUCGUAUAUUUGGAUUCAUAUAUCCACCCAUGGGGUACUAAACUAUUUAUUCCUAAUAAUAUCUCAAAUAAUUUCUUUUCCAAAAGCUCUAUUCGCGGCAGCUUCUAAGUUCAAUUCUAGUUAAAAUAACUUGAAUUAUUCAAGUAUUAAAUGCUAAUUCAAAUGUAAAAUUUAAAAUUUAUUUCUUGAAUGUGAGUUUAAACCGUCUAUACUUAUUUGAUUAUGAUUUGAUAAUUGAUCCAUUAAUCACACAUACGAUGCACCUGUAAGCUUGGUUUGAAAUCUUACUUAAGAAGAAGAAGGGAAAAAAAAAAGCUUGGUCUCUUUGAAUUCUCUAUUUUUUGAAAAACAAUUUUUUCAUUUACAAUGCUACAAUAAUACACAACAAAAACAACACAUUCAUACAAUAUAUCAAAAAUAAUUUCAAAUAUAUAAAAAAAAUUGAAAAAUAAAAUUUACACCAUUUUCUUCAUCCAUCUAUUACCACUGUCGACCACCGUCACAGCCACAAUCCUCUCCUUCCCAUUUCUCCUUCUUUUCCAUCUCUAUCAUCACUCUCCUUUUCUCCUCCAUUUCUUUCCUCCUCCCUUCUCUUUUCUCUCCCCUUUCUCGUCACAUCCACCCCUCUCCUCCCUUCCCUCCCUAGUUUGGCUACAACCAGAGGCAUCAAUUUGGCAAAUGAGGUCUAAUCAAGGAGGGGGGAGGGAAGGUGGGAUGUGACGGGAAAGGGGAAGAGGAGGAUGAAGGUAGAGGAAGAAAAAGAAAGAGAGAGAGAGGGGUGGUGGGUGACAGUGUUAAUUUUUUAAAAAUAUAAAAAAAAUUUUAACCUUUAAAAAUAUUCUAAAAUACAUUCAAAAAACACCUUAAAAAUACCAUUAAAAAUAUCUAUAAUAAAAUUUUUAUAUGCAUUAUUAUAGUAAAAUAUUUCAAAAACAUCCCAAAAAACUAAUAAUUAGCGAUUUUUUGUAGCCGUUGCUAAAAUCACACACUCUCAAGGACACUUGCGAGAACGGCAAGUCAGCAGUCGAAGCUUAGCAAGCUGAAAAAGGACACGAUGAUCAAUAAGAUGCCUUUUGCAUUAUUAAUAAACUGGAAAAGUGACAAUUAGUGCUGAUUGAUGGCUACUAGUGGUAAACCAAUCAUAAAUUUUCUGUUGAUCUGACAAUUUAAUGUUAAGCACAGCACUUACCAGGUGUCACUACCCCUUGGUUUUCGGGAGGAAAAAAGGAAAAAACAAACAAAAUGUCACUACGAAGUUGGUUUCCUGAUUUUCCGUUGGCGGCAAUUGACUACUCGAUAAAUACAAAGAUCUACCACUUUCAAUUUGCUCCACGGCAAAAUGAACAGUGACUUGUGAUAAUUUUUGUUAUCAAAUUCAUUGGCAUUACAGGUUUGUCAAUGCAAGAUGUAUAUGGAUCACCUACUCUUUCAGAGAAUAGUUGAAUGGCUUUCUCGGUGCAAAUGGAUCAGACUUCCGAGACAGGAGCCUAGCUUGCUGGAUUGAUCAUUGAAUUCUUGAAUUUUGCAGUUGAGCUCAAUGUCUGGCUAUCAUUCUGCUUCUCUGCGCAAUUAUAAUGAGCUUCAUCAACCUCUUUUCAGAUUUCAUGCAAGAACAACAAGAGAGGAAUUCACACAUGCAUUUGAUAUGUAACUUGUUUGAAUUGCUAUUUUCUAAAAUUUUCAUUAAAAAAUGUACGGUAACAAAUUGAUGUUUAUGAAGUAAAAAUACGCACUAAAAAAUGUGCUCAUCAAAAGUGUUAAAAUUUUGUGGAGAGGAACUGGUGCAGCAUGGUGCUUAAUAGCCUAUUUUAGGUAGAUUAUCGUUCUUCUUCGUAAUUAUACCAUAUUUCCUCAUGAUCUGUUCUUACAACUAUACUUUUACCUCACAUCAGAAAUUAGAGGUCAUGCAUGAAGAUUAUACUAACAAGAACGUCGCCAGACAAAUCAGUGAUAGGUUUGGAAACUAAAAGGAUGCCUACUUAAUUAUUCGAGCUGGAUGUCGGCCCUUUUAUAAUUAAGUUAUUCCUAUACUAUCAUUUUCUUUAAACUUACCUUGCUGACACAUUCAAAGAACUUGCUUGCUCGGGGACCAGUUGGCUCAAAAAUUCAAUGUUACAAGAGGAACCAAGACCUGAGUUGUUAGCGUGUUACUGGCUUAAUGCUUUGAUUGUUUCUGGUGUAAAGCAAAGCAACGCAUGAGAGGCACAUCAGGAUAAUGAUCAGAAAAGGAAACAAAAAUUACUUGUACCAUUAGAGGACGGAUCUCAAGUCUUCUCUAUUAUAAUCCAAUCAUUGCUUGCAAGAGAUCUAGUAGCUACGUAGCAGUACAAGAAGAUUUCCACGAACUGCAAAGACUUGCGCCACCUAUACUGCGAAGUCUUCUGCCAUUCCUGCGAGAGAAUUAUUGACAGACUAUUUUGCAACUGUCCAAAUUCGCUUCUUAAGCGGACAAGAAUAGCUAAUUGGACAACAACAUAAAAUCCCACCUAAUUCACGGUAUGAGUUCACUUACAGGCGUAGAAAAAAAGGCAUUUUCAAUCAACAAUAAUUAAGUACAAACAGGGAACUGAGAAGGACAAGGUGGUGUUUCAUACCCUGAUCAUCCGGCCCAUAACUUGGCUGGUAUCUAAAAAACAGGUCAUUGUAUCGACUAAGAAAUACGUACUAUAAUGGAUAUUAUUCUCUUACUUCUCCUUUAAGUUAGUUAAAAAGGAUCAACGUCAAAGUUCUACAGCCUGAUUUUCCAUAAAACUGCAGUCUUGAGCAUUAUUGUGCUGGUAUUGUGGCUUGGCGCAGAAGUCUGAGAAACUGAAGCUGAAAAAAGGGGGUCUGACCUUAUUUUUAUAUAGAAAGAAUCAAUGAUUGAAUGAGCUGUUAAAGAUUAUUAAUGUACUUUCUUGGCACUUGCCCGAAACCCAAAACUUUGCUAUGGAAGGAUAUUAUACUCAAAAAGAAUGGCCGUAAUACGUACAGGUGAUCUGCAACAAAAUAAUUUCUUCGAUUGGGAUAUUUCUAAAGAUCGGCUAGCUAGAUGCUUUUGAGUUCGGAUUGCCCAAGAACAAUUCAGCAAAAACCCAUUAAGAAAACAUGGAAGCAUUGUUCAGACGCCAACAUACACAAAUACAUUUGCUAUAUAUAUGGAGUUGGUUGGCAACGGAAACGAUAAUAGUUGUUUAAUUUAAGGUAAUCAGUUCUUGAGACACAAAUUUUCUUUCCGCGGUUUCAUUUCAUAACCAAGUAGUAGCUGAUUUCUGGAGGUAAUUAAGCACGUCAUCGGACCAUGAGUUUCUUGACGGCUAUGGAUCCACCAUCGAGUUGCUAUUUCAAGGCAUUUGACGUUUUGCGUUAAAAUACAGCCACAAAAAAAAGUACGUAUUGUCGGUCAUCAAAAUGGGAAGUAGGUAUGCUGUUCCUAUACACUACUAUUCAAUAAGAAAAUUAUUUUUGAUCAAGGAAUCCCACUCCUAUAUUUUUUAAAAUUAUAAAUAUUUAUUGUUAGCAUACACAAUAGUUUUGAUACGAAAAUGCAUGAAGCUUGGAGCCCUUCAAGGGCUACUUCUAUUUUUUUUUUUUUAUUAAAUUGAUUGUUGUUGAAAAUCAGAUUUCUCCUAUGUAUCCUAGUCUGAUCUUAGAAAAGCUGUUUAAAUCAAUGCACAAGUAUUUGACUUAAAACUACAAUAAAACUACUGAUUUUGAUUAAUUAAUGACAAGUGGCCCUCGUACACUGCAUGGAUAGACUCUUUUUUUUUUUUUUUAGGUAUUUUAGUAGUUUUCUGAAAGUAUUGAUGGUCACGGUACUUUCUCGUCCGCCAAAAAAAAAAGAAAAUACAAUCCUUGAUAUCAAAAGCAAUAAAGAAUAACACAAAAUAGAAUUUUAAAAAUAAAAAAUCACACCUUAGAAAUGAUAUGAGGAAAAAGCCUGAAUAACCGAACACAUCAUCAUCAUUUCCGAAUUACUAUAAGAAAGAAAAAUGAGUAAUUUUCUGUUUUGUUUUAAUCUAAAAAAAUUCGUGAUUAAGGAGCGUGAUUGGAUUGGAGCGGAGAUUGAAAUGUGACGCUAGAGCCUAGAGCUAGAGGAGGAAGAACCGGCCAUCAUGGAUCGGGUGGCUGCCUCAUGCUAGCUGUUGGCAAGCCUUCGUGGCCGGGGACAAUGGUUGUCAAUGUCCAACCUGUCUCCAUUCCCAUCGAUCGUAUUUAUUCCUAAAAUAAAACUAAAAGACCCUACAACCGGUAUUAGUUGUGAUAAAUAAAACAAUCAACAAUCUCUCUUAUACUUAAUCUGUGCUUAGGUGGCGCGUGGAAAAUUAAUCACAUUGUUAAUUGAAGUUUAUCUUCCAUAUGACUUUUCGUUUCUUAAUUUGUAGUUCAUAAUAAUAAUAUCGUUCCCUUGUUUAAAAGUAGUAUGUUGAAUUGUAAUCAUCCAGCACCGAGAAGGACAGGAUAUGAGUAUGAGGAGGAGGGUGGGUCAUAACUCACAAGUCAUGGGACCUUUCCUUUUUUAAAAAUGUGUUUGAAUUAAAUUACACGCAUGUUAUAGGGGCUGGCCACGAAUGAAUGAAGAUGGUCGAUGGAUUUGAAGUCAUGUCUUGUAAUUAAGCUCAAAUAAUUUAUGCUAGUAUUAAUUAUUUUUCCUCUGGGGAUUAACUUAAUUCUAAUUACAACUGUAACACACACUGCCUGCAUCUGCACUACGCCAGCAUUACCAAAUUGAUCUCUCUUUUCUUUGCAUAUCAAACACCUAAAGAAUAUAUAUAUAGAUUUCUUAAAUUUUGAAUCCAGAGUGAGAUUUGUAAUUUUUUUUUAAAAUCGAAACGAGGAAAAAGUCCAAAGAAAGAAGGGUCUUACUAAUGGUGCACUAACCAAAAAAGUAUAAUUUUUUUUUUUCAUUCCAUUUAAAUGUAACUUUAAAUCAAGUGCAGCGUAACUUUUGAUCAAGUGCAUGGUUGUUUCUUGCUGCAUCAUCAUCCUCCAAGAGAACUAAAAGCUCUGAUGAGUAAUGAAUGGUGGUUUUUGACACUGCAAUUCAAAAGUUCUUCCACCGAUUGGAUUUGGAUUGCAUUUUCCGUCAUUUUUUAUGGAAAAUUACUGCAGCGAUUUGAUAUAUGUGAGAGAAAAAGGUGAUAGGGAAAUGUGAUCACGGAAAACGACAAUAUUUUUCGACGGAAACAAGCAAUCUAAGCAUGGCCCGGAAAGUUUAUGCUUUUGGAUUGCAAUUUAAAAAAAAAAAAAAAAAUUUGCUACGUUUUUCUUUCCGUGGUAUCACUUUUUUCAUUUCACAUAUAUCAAAUCAUUACAGUAAUUUUUCUAUCAAAAAAUUCAGACAAAUGCAAUCAAAAAAUUUGCGGCAGGUGAAGGAAUGAUCGAGGAAAAUUUUGCCAUAAUUCGGCACAGCAAGAGCCUUGAAGCUCCGACAAACAAAGGAAAUGCAACAUGUUAGCAGUAGUAAAGAUGUAUACAUGGAUGGGCUGGGCGGGCGGUAGCAGCCUUAGGUACUUUUUCUUUGCUUUUGACUGAGUUGAUUACUAUUUUAAAGUUAAGUGCUGCGGAGCACUUCAAAAGUUGCCGGCUUUUGAAGUGUCUUCGCAGAGUCCAUUUAUCGAAACACUCAUACAAAAAACUGUGAGUUAUGAAAGGGGGGAUUACUAUUUUAAAGGUGUUUCUUGGUGUUUUGAUGUAAAGGGAUUGGAGGUUUUAAUGAUUACAGCCACGCUCCAAAUUUCCAAUAAUACUAGCCGUGACCUGUGUCCGCUAGCUUAGCCGCUUGCUCCCUCCGCCUAAAGUUAAACGUGUCUUUAACUUGAUCCACCCCCCGUCCCAUCAAAAGAACCCGGCACAAUUAUUCUUAGGGAUAAUUUCAGAAACCUCCCCUGAGGUUUCUGACAGUUUCACUCCCCUCCCCCGUGGUUUCUGAAAUUCCACAAACUUCCCCUAAAAUUAAAUAGGCAAUGUCAAAAUAGACCCAAUUUAAAAAUACAAAUAAUAAAAAAUCACUAGUUGGAGAGAGAAACAAGUGUAUACCACAAAUGCCCUUAUUAGCUUGCAUUAAUGAGCUAAUCUCAUAUGAAGAAAAAGCAGGAAAUUUAAGAAGAAUGAAACUUGAGGGGUGUAAGUGAGACCAAUGCAUUCAUUAAGCUCUGAAUGUCAGUAGUGAACAAAAUGGAAGGCAACGGCUCUUUCUGGCAAUCAGUUUUAACGUCUCAUAUGCAACGGCCAGUUCAGAUUAUGAGAGUAAAAUGCAGCAGCAAGAGAUGCAACAACAACAACAAACAAAUGUUAAUUUGUUUGACUCAACUGAAGUGCUUGGUAUUGGAUGCAACUGAAGUGCUUGGUGUUGGAUGAACGGCAGCAGCAACAAACACACGCACAAAUGGCCAGUUCAAGCAGCAGAGGUGAAUUCUGGAAUUCACCUACAUCAUUUACAAUUAGAAAUAGAUAUUGUAGAUGUAAUCGCAAGGCAACCAUUAAAAUUUCUGAGAGUGAACGGAAUCCACACAAACUGUUCUUUUGCUGCACAAAUUGCAGAUUCUUUGAAUGGUAUGAAGGUCCAGAAGAGGAAGAGGUAAGCAGCCAAAGAGAACGCAGACAUUCAUCAAUGCAAAGGGAAGAACAAGUCCAGAUUGGUUGAUCAGAUCAUGAAGAUGGUUAAUCAGGGGAAAGAAUUACACCAAAUGGAUAUUAAACUAGCUGUUCCUAGAAUUAAUGCCUCAAACGCUGCUAAAUCAGAUAAUGAUCAUAGUUCAUGAAAUGGCUUCUAAACUAGUCUACUUUUGCGAUUAAUACUUCAACCGCUACUACUAAAUCAGUCCUUUGGAUGAUCAGAUCAAGAAAAGAGUCUGUACUUAAGAAUGCCUCGUCAUUCCGGAGAAACCAGUGCGAAUCCAAGAUUUGAAUCAUUAUCUGUUGAUGAACUAGGCUUCCUUAAGGACCAUAAUCUCACAAGCAUGCCUGGUUGCAGCUUAUUAGUGGUUGCAAAAUCCUCCAAUCAGGACCAGAAAUGGUGACGGAAAAGGCGUUUGUGAACUUGACCUUAAAUUCUCUAUUUUCUGGUUCUUGAAUUGGCGGCCCAAUCAAAGUAAUUCCUAGAAGAAAAGUCUCGAUCUCACUGUGUCGCAAGAAAUCAUUCUCGAUAUCCUUUUUUGGGAUGGUGAAGCCUCCACCGACAGUUAGAUCAGUCUUGUGCAGUAUCCUUUCCAUGACAAAAAUUAUCUCUGCUUCUUCUUCUGAUGCUGCUCCAAAACCCAUAAUCCGGGCCCUGAUUUCCUCAGGAAUUUGUCGAGCAUUCCUCAGUCCUUGAAGCUGUUAAUUGAAAUCAAAGUACAUCAUUAAUCAAUAUUCAGCAAAUCUUGGACGCAAUUCCCAGAAGAACAAGAAUAUAUAUAUCAAUCUCCUAGAAAUUAACAACAGACACCUUUUCUUGAGUGAGUAUAAUAAGUGUAAAUCCGAGCUGUGAAGAUUCUUCGUGCUUGAAAGCCCACAAUUGCAAUUGAGUGCCUUGUGUAAGUUUGUACUUGUCCAUAAUGCGAAUCCAAUCAGUCAAACCAUAGGAGCCUUUGUUCCUCUUUUUCCUGAGAUUGACUGUGAAUUUGCCAAGGAAUGCUACCAACAAAAGGACUUCCAUAUCCACUUCCUGCUUCUGUUCUUCCGUCAAGAAACCUUCCCGGUUGAGAAUCUUGGACGGUAUGAUCACGUCGUGCUGCUUUCUGCUCACAUUGUCCUUAGAUAAAUUAGGACUCUAAUUUAUCGUUAAUUACAUUAAUUGUGUUUAUAAUUAACUUAACUAAAUUUUUCCAAAUAAUCACGAAAUAUUAGCAACCUUGUGAGGGUAUUUAAGUCUUUUUAGCACCAAUGAUGUAAGAAAUGGGACCUAAUAAUUUGACAAGGGAGAUUUGUGGAAUUUCAGAAACCACAGGGGAGGGGAGUGAAACUGUCAGAAACCUCAAGGGAGGUAUCUGAAAUUAUCCUUAUUCUUAUUCUUAUCAACCAAAGGGCGACUAAUACUACUAGUAUCUGUUUAUGGGAAACUUCUACUAUACGAUUACUCCAUUUGUCUAGAAAUGAAAAGAAAAUAAGUAAAAGUGCAACGACUUAACUUAAUUAGAGCAAAAUCAAGUAUGGCCCUCAUUAAGAUCGGAUUGGAGGUUCACAAUUCAUUAUUGAUUCAGUGGUAAAAUUAGUAACAUGUUAAAUGCAAAAUGUCCUUUUUUUUUUUUGAAGAUACUGUACAACAGGGUUUGUUUGGAUAGGAGUUUAUUUGGAUGAUUUAUUUGACUGUAACAUUUUUUGUAAUGUGAUAUGAUACAUGUGAGAUAAAAAGAUGAUUGAGAUGAAAAGCGAUUGAAAUUCAUGAAGCAAAUUAUUUUACGUGAAAUCAUCUCAAUCCAAACAAAUCCCUGCAUCAAUAUUCUUGAUGCGCAGUUGUUGAGAAAACAGUAGCAACAGCUUAUUGCGAUUUAAAAUGCGGGACUGGGUGCCCAGUAUGUAGCUCCUAUAACGAAGCAUCAAUGGACGAGACACACCAGAGCAAGAUUGACUUCCAAUUAAGCAAACCCCCCUCCCUCCCUUUGCUAGCUACCAUUUGCUACCUUCCUACCGAAAAUCGUCAUAAAAUACAACAUUUGAAACUUGGGUAGGAUUAAAUAUAUGCAGCACCAAAAUUAGUUUACCCCAUAGCCAGAUUUCGUGCGAUUUUGCAAUGCAAUGGUAGUAGUAUUUAAUGUGAUGCAGUAUAGACUUCUGUUGCAUGACGCUUUUCAAACGGGAUAUUUGUUGUAAAUUUUUAAUCUCCAUCCGGGCUUCAAUCAUACAGGUUACCCCAAAACCUAAUAGAAGCAUGUCAGCAAAAGAACAUAUAGUAGUAUUAAAAUGUUUGGAACUUUUUAAGUCAAGACCCACAACAAUCUUUUCUUAUUUGGCUAAGCCAACAAUCAGACGUAGGACAACCCCUUUUUUUGAAAAUACAUUACUGAAUAGCAAAGACAUUGCCCUUCUAAACUAAUAAUGGGAAACCUUAGGUCCCGUUUGGAUUGUAUUUUCCGUCAUUUUUCAUGGAAAAAUUACUGUAGCGAUUUGAUGUAUGUGAGAAAAAAAGGUAAUAGAGAAAUGUGUUCACGGAAAAUGAUAAUUUUUCUACGAAAAACAGCAAUCCAAGCAAGGCCUUAGAAAAUGGCCAUUGUUGGUGAUCUUCACUAAAUUAAAAAUCUAGUACCCUAAGCUAAUGAUUAAUGCUAAAACAUUUAAGUACCUUAAUUAUGUAUACGUACAGGAGUGUAUCCCAAUUCCUGUUGCAUUGGCAUGGGAUUUAAUUAUGGAUCAUUUACUAUGAUUCCAAUCAACUCUCUUUUAGAUGAGUUAAGGUAAAACGUAAGGUGUAGAAGUAUAGUAAGGUAUAAAAAUACAGAAGAGCACUUCUUUGAUCUAGAGAGACGAGAAGGGAUCUUCUCCCUCUAAUCCUCUUGGCUCGGUUGGACCGGAGGAGCAGGAGUUGUUGAUUAACAAAAAUAAUAAAGAGAGAGAGAAGAAAAAUCCGUAUCUACUGUGUCAUGAACUCUCUAUAUAGGCCAAGCCCCUUUUCUUUCGUCCCAGAAAAGAAAACAAAAGCUUUGCUUUAAAAGAAACUCUCUUCCGCCUAAAAGCCAAACCAGAUCAUAAUUCCAUGGAACAAGAUGGAGACUCACCACCUUUCUGGUCCCAACCUUCAACCAACGCCAUCUUCCAACACCAACGCCUUCGCCGCCGACCACCCUCUCCGAUCUUUAACCCGGUUUCCCUUAUCCUCCUCCUACCGAUCAUUGCAUUGCUCGUUAUAUUUUUCUUACUUCCUCCAUUUCUCACCCAUACAACUCAAAUCCUUCGUCCCACCUAUUCAGUUAAAAAAAGUUGGGAUUCACUCAAUAUCCUUCUGGUAAUCUUUGCAAUUCUUUGUGGGGUUUUUGCGAAGAGAAACGACGACGUUUCGGCGGCGGAAAGUUCCCAUGAUGAUGAACGGGUUGCUGCUGCUAGUGAUACAACUGCUCAGCAAGCUGAGAGCAGCACCAAUCAAUGGUUUAAACUCCUCUGGUUGGAUUGGGAGGGACCGGGGUUAACCGGUUGAGAAGGAGCAGUAGUUCUUAUCCGGAUUUAAGGCAAGGACCGCUGUGGGAAACCGGAGAAACGCGCCACCGGUUUACGGAUGACUUUGAGGUGAAUUUAUACAGGCAUUCGCGGCAAACUGCUACCGAAGAACUUCACCACCGUCCACGGCGGAGCGGGGCGGAGAGGGAGGAGACUGAUGUUAAAGUGAUCCCGGUGGAUACUUUUGAAGUUCAUUCAGCUAGGCCUCCCUCACCUGAACCGCCGCCGAAGCCAGCAACACCACCACCUCCUCCUCCGCCGCAACCGCCUCCACCGGCGAGAUUGAAGCGGAGGCGAUCACUUCACAGCGUUCCACCACGUAAAGAAAAGUUGGGAAAGCCACGUGUGGGGCCUAAGGUUACUGAGGCUGAGUUGGAAGAAAGCCCGUUACGACCUCCCCCAGCUGCUCCUCCGCCUCAGUCAUUUGCUCCUCCUCCUCCGCCGCCGCCACCACCACCUCUGGAGUUUGAGCAAAUUCCAGAGCAGAAGCUCCAGCGGAGAAAGAGCGGAACGGCCAAGGAAAUAACAACAGCCCUCGCUUCUUUAUACAAUCAGACUAAAAGAAAGAAAAUUUUGAAAAAAAGAAACAAUUCUGAGAGUUCCAGUGAGAGCUCUCCGCCUUCUGUACAUUCAUCCGUUCCACCACCAACGCCCCCGCCGCCACCUCCUCCUCCUCCACCACUUCCUUCUUCUCGGUCUUUCAAAAUCUUUUCAAGAAAAGUAGCAAAAAUAAACGUAUAUAUUCCCUUUCCGGCACUGCACCACCACCUCCGCCUCCGCCACCGCCUCCUCCAAAUUCAAUAUUCAAUAACUUGUUUAAAGGCGGGAGCAAGAGUAAGCGAUUUAACUCGACAUCAUCAGCUCCUCCUCCACCACCCCACCUCCGCCACCUCCGUCGUCUAUCCUGAAUACACUUUUCAAGCACGGAAGCAAAAGCAGGCGGUUCAAAUCAGAGAGCUCAUCUCCACCACCACCACCGCCGCCGCCGCCACCUCCACCAAUGCAACAAAUGACAUCAAACCGCAAGCCGAAAUACACUCAACCUCAAACUCCAACAACAGUACCUGAACCUUUCCGGCGACGACCAUCGUCCACCAGGAAGCCUCCGUUGCCGGCGAAAACAAGUAUUUACUACGAGGAUUACAUAAAUAGCGGCGCACAAUCGCCACCAAUACCAACGCCGCCUCCGCCACCACCGCGUUUCCAAUGCCGGACUUCAAAUUCGUGGCUCGCGGAGAUUUUGUUAGGAUAAGGAGCGCUCACAGUUCAAGGUGUAGCUCCCCGGAACUGGAAGACGUUGACGUAAUGUCAGUCAAAUCAUCGGAAGCAAUGGACGGUGCAGAUUCAAUUGGGCAGUCAGUGUUUUGUCCAAGCCCGGAUGUGAACCUGAAAGCUGACAAUUUUAUUGCUAGGCUCAAGGAUGAGUGGAGGCUGGAGAAAAUGAAUUCAAUGAAAGGGAAGCAUAAGACGGACCAUGGACCAAGCCCAGAAUUUGUUUGAGCCCAGUGAUCAACAGGCAUAAGCUAUGCUGAUUUUUCUUUUUCUUUUUUUUUUUCCCUUUUUCAAUUUUCCACUUAUACAAUUUUUGCCAAUCACAAAGGAGACCAAAUUACUUAGUUCCACUAGUUUAUGGUUGAGAGUAUGUAGAUUGUGUGUCAUUCAUGGGUUGCAAAAAAAAUUGUUGCUCUGGUUGUGUUUUUUGUUCUAAAUUGGAGCAACUUCUUGCAGAGGAUGCGAGUUAUAUCUUGAGCUGUUUGGUUUGAUUGAAUUAUUGAGACAAAAGGACUACGAAUUUGGUACACAAUAUAUAGUGCUACAUUUGACAUGGCUCUGAUUGUGUCCCCCCCAACCCCACAAAUUCAUUUCAGAGCUUUGUCAUGGUUGGGAUUAGUUUAGGGCUGAGUUUUGCUGCAUGCAUGGAAUAUUGGAUGUGUAUAUGCUUUUUUGCUGUACUUAGUGAAUAGAAGCAAUUUGGUGUUUGGUCUUUCCUUUGGAAGGAAAGGGCCUUUGUUACAAGACUAGAGAUUUGAUUAAUUUGUGAACAUUUGCAGGGUAAAAUGGUUUAGGGGAUAGGGGGUUAUGGCUACCAGCACUUUUAAAAGUUGAACAGGUGAUAGAGGGGUUUAAGUGAUAGGGAACGGCGGGAUGGUCAUAUGACACAGAAAUACUCUAAAAGCUAAGGCCCCGUUUGGAUUGCAUGUCAUUUUUCAUGGAAAAAUUAUUGUAGCGAUUUGAUGUAUGUGAAAAAAAAAUAAUAAGAAAAUAUGAUCACGGAAAACGAUGUAAUUUUUCGACGGAAAACAGCAAUCCAAACAAGGCCUAAGCUUCUGGCCGCUGAGCCAAUCCUAGUAGUUGAAGAUCCAACUAGUAUUAAAUGUUACUAAUAAAUGCACUAAUCUUUUUGCUCGGGGCUGUGACACUGCAUCUAGUGACCAAAUUAAAACAGAAAAAGAAAAGCAUCAUAAGUACAUAGACUUUUCCUAUGAUUGGGAUGGACGGAGAGCUGAUGGAAGACGGAGUGUAGAUGGGACGAGGACUCUUCGGUUUUUGUUUUCUUUCUUUAAUUCAUGAUUCUGGAGUGACAACAUUAAGUUGAGUAGGCGAUGCUUGGCAGGGUAAGAAAUGAGAUAGAGAGUGACACAGAACAGGAUAUGCUUAAUUAUCUACUUUUUGGCUUCAGCGUCUCUGCAUUUUUUAAUAGCUGUUUAGUUCCUUGAGCUUACGAUUAAGAGCCUAAAAAAAUCUUCCUUUUCCUUUUGUCCUUUUUGGUUUUUGUCAUUAAAUAAAACAGAAGAGAAAGAAAUGCAGCAGGUUGACCCUGGCUGAUACGCCGCCUACACAAUGAAAGGAACACAAACUAAAUCGCAAGAUUAUAAGAUUGUGCAUUAAACUAUCUUAGAAUCAGCAUUCAACCAUAUAAUAAAAGCGGAAAAGCUAAGACUUUUGCAAAGAGAGGCAUACCUCUUCGCGAAAGAACAUACAAAUGAACCAAACAGGCUAUAAUAAGUUAUCAAAAGCAAAACACUUGAUGAGUUUGGACUUGAAAGCAUAAGCAAUCGAUCACCUUCUGCUUUUGAGUAUGCAUCAUCCCAAUCGAUCCCGCUGCAACUAUAGAGCUUAUUGGCCAUUGCUUUGCGGAAACACCAUAUGUUCGUAGGUGCCUUUAAACCAUAACUAAAUGCCCUUGGCUUGUUAUCAAUCAAGAGCUUGGAUUCAUCAUGAUAUUUGAAUAAAUUUGAUUAAAAUCUUCGUCAUUUCUCAUUUAUAUACUUGUCAAGACUAUCUUAUAGAAAGUUUUAUAGCCCCUUUAAUGAAUCAUUCCCCUAAUUUUUGUCCACUCGCUAAUUGCCCCAUUAUUCAACGACGGUAGCGAUUGAUCUACAUUUUAAACGAUUGAAAUUAUUGCAAUUCAAGGGUCAAAAUUUCUUGUUCCAUCCUCCAACAGUGAGGUGCAACCUAAGAAAACAAUACCGAGAAAAAGGGACCCUAGUAUCUCCCGUUAUAUAAGAGGGAGACUAGAACAUAACAUUUAAUCACUGAAUUCAUGUUUUCACCAUCUCUUUCGAUCUACGCCCUGUUUGGUAAACUAGUUUUUUGCCAAAAUUUUCGCCUACAAGUUUCUUGAUAACUUUAACUACAAUAAUUUCAAAAAAAAUCAUCAAAAUUGUUAAAAUACACAGCUCAAAAUAUAUAAAAACACAAAAAAAUUUCCCUUAUUUCCUUUCUUCUUCCUGCUCCCCCCAUCUUAACCCACCACCAUCUCCACCGCUAGCCAACAUCGUCUGGCACCUCUUCCGGUGCUAACCACCUCUUUUUUUUUUUUUUCCUUUUCUUUCUUUCUCUUCUCUCUCUCCUCCUUCUUCCUCCUUCUCUCCUCCUCCCCUUUGCUCCCCUCUCCCCGCCACCUCCUCCCCCUCUCCCUCCCCCCGCCACCCUCCUUCUCCCCUGGUGCAAUCCGGUCGACCGGAUCGCUUGAAAUACUAGAUGGGAGGGUGGGGUGGAGGGAGAGUGGAGGAAGGAAGAGAUGGGGAGAGAGAAAAAAGCAAAAAAAAAAAAAAAUCUGUUGUUACCGGCAUCAAUCGCCAAGAGACGUUUUGGCGUCGACUAACAGUAGGGAUGUAGUGAUAAGGGAGAAGAAGAAGAGAGUUAAGAAAAGGAAAAAAUGUUUUACGUCUUGAAUUUUUUUUUUUUAUAUAUUCUACAAUAAGUUAAAAUGAAAUUUUAGACAAACACUCAAAAAAUUUAUUUGUCAAACGGGACUUACAACACUGAUCACAUCCUCAUUGCUUUUCACUUGCACGUUGCACUGAUUGAAGCAUAUUAAUUAGAUGGCCAUGAGUAGUACUCAUGAUGUAUGCUUCUUUCAACUUUCAAGUGUCAAUUGUGCCUCAGCUUUGCAAUUUGUGUGGCCUCAUUCUUGAUGAAUUGGGUCAGAAAGUGGGUUGGAAACUUGGAAAGUCAUCAAUUCACAGUCACUGGCUGAAGGAACAGACAUACAUUAGAAUACUAGGAUUACAACACUUCGAGAGGCCUGGAUUUGUUAAUCUGUGCGUGUACACUGAGCAGGAAGGACCACAAAUGAACAGAAUCCACAACAGUUUUGGAGCAAAUGUUGAACAUUGCGUGUCCACGUGGAUAAUCCCUUGCAUUGCAUGGGAACCCCUUCUAACAUUAAUUCUCUAGCUGCAUAGAUGAGAUCAUUCGUAAAUCACGAACUGGCAUAGCAUAUUGCCAUGUAGAUUGGUUAUUUCUACCUCGAAGAUACACUUCUGUGUAAUCUUUGGGUACCUUUUUUAGGCCUGCUUUUAGUUCGUAACCUUCUUGCAACUUACCUGUAGAACAUUAUGAGAUGUCUCCAAUAAUUAACUUGUUCUUUUUGAAGGAUUUAUCACGAUUCACAAUCUAGCUUAGUCAAGUUAAGCUCGAAUUAAUUAAAUAAUUAAUUAAGUGGAACAAAAUACCAUUAAUAAUUUUUUGAUGUGAUACAUUUGAGAAUAAAGAAUGAUUGAAAAAUGAGUUGAUGACGUGAACAAGUAAAUGUUUGUAAAUAAUUCACUGUCCAAAUAGACAGUGCCCAGAGUUUUUUUAUUUUUAUUUUUAUUUUUAUAGAAAAUCACUGCAGUACUGCAUCUCGUCCGUCCAUAACCUUUCUCUGCUUUCCUCAAAAAAUAACCCAAAAAAAAAAAAGCAAAACCCAUCCUUCCUUUUCUUUCCAAAAGUUUCAAUCCCAAACUAGCCCUUAAGCCUAGGGUUUAAGCUCGCCACUCCGACCAAAUUCCACAUAACGGCACCAGCAGCACCACCACUAUGAAACUAACUUCACCCGUGAUAAUCGAGAACGCCCACGACGACUCCAUAUGGACGGCCACGUGGACACUAGCCCCAGAAGAUUCUGCCCCUAUCCUACUUACCGGAUCGCUCGAUGAAACCGUUCGGCUCUGGGACCCCAAAAAGGACAGUUGCAUCCGGACUAACACCGGCCACUGCCUCGGCGUUGUCUCCGUCGCCGCCAAUCCCUCCUGCAGAAUGGCAGCCUCCGCCUCCAUUGAUAGCUUUAUUAGGGUUUUUGAUGUUGCUUCCAAUAAUACCAUUGCCACCCUUGAAGCUCCCCCUUCUGAAGUCUGGCAGUUGCAAUUUAACCCUGAGGUAAAAAAAAGAACGGCCCUGUUCUUUCGGAGUAGAAAUUUUUUUUUAACUUAUUUUGGAUAAUUAUGCAAAUAAUCCAAUUUAUAUUUUAUGAAGUAUUUUAUUAGUUUACUGAAUGGAUAAUGCUAAAGUUGGAGUAGGACCUAACUUUUCUUUUUUAUUAUUAUUAUUUUGGAAAAUGUGGUUUUUCGUUUGCCAAUUUUUUUUUUUUGAUAUAAUGAGCAUUUUUAGCUUAGAAAGUCUGCCUAUAAUGUUUUUAGUUCUCAUAAAGCUGUGUCAGCUGUCAGAGUUUUGCUUGUAAUUUUAGUUGAUUGCAGGUAAAAAGGUGAAUAGUACCAGAGUCGUAUUCAGAACUUAAAAAUGGGGAUUCUAGGGCAUGCGUGACAACUAUUGAAAAAUUUCAAAUAGUUCAGGCAUAUGAAUUUGAGGAAAUUAACCAUUAUUAACAUGUGAAACCGCAAAUAUAAUGUAUUACUUCACGUAGUGCAAGAAUGUUCUGAAAGGUUCACCUUUUCUUGUUUUGAGGGAAAUAAAUGAAUAGAGCAAAAUCAGGUUUUAUGCUGGUUUAUAGCAUUAAAUGUUUCCACAAGAAUUGACUUAAAAAAGAGAAAAGCCUGUGGAAGAGAUUUAGAUGAAGUGGAAAUUGAGUCAGGAAGUUACCUACAUGGCUCAACAACAAUAAUGCAAUGAGGACUCUAGAUUUCAGGGUACCUGUAAAUUGGCUUUCUUUUCUACAGAGAUUUCUGUCUAAGCUAGUUCAUGCUUUCCAUAGCGACAUUACAGUUUUGUUUGUUCCUAUAUACACUUUGCAGUGUCGGCCUUCUCUUGCAGUAGUAUUACUUUUGUUGAUUUCGCUUAUUGUCUUUAAACAUGAUUUCUGGCUAGCCAAAGCAUAUAUAUGUUGCAUCUGCCUUUGGUAUUAUAUGUCAAUGUGUUUCAAGCUAAUUUGAAUUUGUUGGGCUACUCCGGAACGAUUAUAAAGGCUGAAGAGUCUAACAAAGCAUGCUAAAGAGCACUUCUUUUUCUCUGUCCCUUUGUGUGUGAAAGAGAAGGACAGAUGAGUUUUAAAACAAAAUGGAGCUUUUUAUUAAGCAAGUGUAGCAACAUCUAGAUUUAACUGCUUGUUCCUGAAUAUUUGGCUAUCAUACUUUCUGUUAGUCUAACUUUUUGUUUCCCAAGUUUAGUGUAAGUAGACAACAGAUCUUAGAAACUAGUGUUUUUUGUCACAUUGGGGCUACCAAAGGCAACGUAUAUUUCCAUAUAAUGUAGCCCACAAAACCUUUAGUAUAUCAUUUUUUUUUCCAGUUCUCUUAAGAAGAAGAAAACUCAUUGUAGUCUCAUGUAAUGGCAUUUUAAAGAAAGAAGUUCAUAUGUUCUGCUUGUUACCUGCUUAUGCUAAUUUAUGCAUGUGAUAUAUGCAUUCUUCGUAUGUGUGGACUAUAAGAAUUUGAGGUUUUGCUUUCUCCUCUGAUGGCUAGUAUUAGACAUUGCAACAUUAAACAAACUUACUUUCUUGUCAGUUAUGGUUUGCUUGUCGUCUUUUUGACCUUUGAGUAAUGUCUUUAUGUUGAAUCCAUAGUUACAUUGCUUGCAUUAUCAUCUUAGCUGCUGCCAUUUCCUUGGGUCUGACUAAUAGUUGAGUAAUUUGUUUUAUAUUUGGCUAUUUAAAUACUCAAAAGGAAGUAAACUUGGCGCCAAGUUAGUGCAUUAUAGGACAUUUGAUAGCCCAAUUACUGUGGCUACACCUGGAGAACCCUUUUAGCAGCUUUUUGAACUUCGUGACCUUUAGGAAAAGAUUCUUCAUGCCAUGAUUUGGCUAUUGCAACCAAUUGUCAUAAUAUGGCAAGAUGUUGCCACUGGUGGAUGUUAAUGUGGGGGGAUAUUAAGUGGAUCAUUUUCAUUGAUUGAUUUCUUUCUUUUAGCUGCUAUUUGUUACAAACUCAAGGUCAUAUUUCUUUAAAUUCACUGCACAUUCAAGACUCGUGAGUAUUAUUUGCUUUCUUCAAAUGUUUGGGUUUUUCCUUUCCGUCCUUUGGUCCUUUUUCUGUUUGCCAUUGUACCUUGCUAGCAAUUCCAUGAAUGUAUCAUCAGUUGCUGCCUUAAGAUGUUUAUCAGUUGUUGCUUUCUUAACAAGCACCAGGAUCACUUAGCUUUGCACCGUUUCUCCUUGCAUCUUCAGGGUACAAUCUUAGCUGCAGCUGGAGGUGGCAGUGCCUCAGUCAAGCUGUGGGAUACAGUUAAAUGGAAGGAGAUAGCUACAUUGUCAAUCCCUCGUCCCGAAGGUUUGAAGCCCUCUGAUAAAAGUGGCAACAAGAAGUUUGUUCUGUCAGUUGCCUGGAGCCUUGAUGGAAGACACGUUGCUUGUGGUUCAAUGGAUGGAACCAUCUCUGUUUUUGAUGUAACACGAGCCAAAUUUCUACAUCACCUGGAAGGUCAUUGCAUGCCUGUUCGCUCCCUUGUAUAUUCACGUGUUGAUUCUAGGGUACUAUUCUCUGCUUCAGAUGAUGGCCAUGUGCACGUGUAUGAUACUGAGGGGAAAACCUUGAUAAGUACCAUGUCGGGUCAUUCAAGCUGGGUGUUAAGUUUGGAUGCUUCUCCGGAUGGAGCAGCAAUUGCAACAGGCUCAAGUGACAAGACGGUUAGGCUGUGGGAUUUGAAGAUGAGAGCGGCUACACAGAUACUUUCGAACCACAAUGAUCAGGUUUGGGCGGUUGCAUUUGGACCACCAGGGUCCUCUCUGCUUGCAAGUGUAUCUGAUGACAAAAUGCAUAGCAUUUUAUCAGUACUCUUGAGAAUUGAUUUUGCUCAAAGCAGCAGGAGGAUUAAAGCUUUAUGUUAGUUGUUGAGUCCGCUCCACGUCGCUUGCUGUGAUGAUCAGAUUGUAUCAUUAAACAUAUAGUUUGAUAUCCCAAAAUUUUAGCUAACAAAAUACAAAUUCACUUGUGCAACCCGCGUAGCAUCUCUUUCAUUUAUGCCUCCGCAACUAAGCGCCUUAAUUCUGUCCUCGAAUUUAGCCAAUUGUUUUGCCAUUGGGACGGGAUAACAAGAUAAACCCGUCAUACAAAGAACGGCACUAGUCAAAUUCUUGCAUUUCUUUUAACGUAAUUUGGGAACUUUGAUAUGUCAUAAGCAAUCGGGUUAGUAAAUUUAGCGUCAUUAUGCUUGCUUACCUUCAUUAUUUGGACCAAUUGAAACUCGUGCAACCGAAAAUUACCGUCUGCAAAUUUCCAACUCAACGAGUUUCAAGCAGUGCCCCGCCAACAAAGGAAAGCCACAUCUAUUUAAUUUCACAAAUCACACCCCACUUCUUAGCUCUUGUUUCCUACAGUUGUAUAAUCGCUCCGCAACAGCUGUCCCUCCACAAUAUCCCAAACACAGCGGAAUGUCACAUUGGAUGCCUGUUCUUUACCUUAAAAGACAGGACUUCCGCAAAGCUUUAAGACCGAAUAUGCUAUUGCUGGGUCCUUUCUCAUUAAAGAAUUCCACAGUAUGGUCCUUAUCUACUAGUAGUCGCUACGAAGACAGCAUGCACGUGAAAAAUAUGUACAAAAAAAAAAAGGAAUUCCGCGUUAUGGUCCUUUUUUUUUUUUUUUUUGCAGUCUAUUUUAUAUUUACUCCUACUCCUACUUUAACCUAUUUCUAAUGGAGGGCUUAACUGGGCCAAUGAGAGGACCUAACUGGGCCAAUGAGAGGACCGACGGGAAUUGAACCACUAUCGGAUCAGACGAAUGCACAAUAUAUCUAUCUGAAUUUUUUAGAAAGUCAUUUAGUGUAGUAUUUAGUGAGAGGCAAGAUUUGAACCUGGUGGUGAUCGAUACUACUAGUAGUAACUACGAAGGACAGCAUGCACCGCAAAUGCAUUGUCCGUCAGCUUACUACGAUCCUUGGGUGCAGCCUUUCACUAGCACAUAGUGCUAAACCAUUUGACUACAGAUCAAAGUGCAGAUCUCUAAAUAAGUCGCUACAAAUCUCCAAACAAAAAUUUCAGUUUAGUGUCCGUAGACUGGAUUAAGAACAAAUUAAACUAUCCACCCCGCCAUUAUUCUAUUAAACGUUUUGGUCGUUCAAAGGGCCAAAGUUGACAAGUCAUAAGCAGAAAAAUACUUCAUUUUGUUCCAUCUUGACCGGCUGCCGGAACAACUUUUUGAAUUUUGCAAGAGCUUUAACGUAUACUGGUAGGAUUAAUCCAUACCAAUUAAACCCCAAAAAAACUGGAAUCUGCAAAAAACCGAAGUAGAUACCACAUAGAAUGUCACCAUCAACGCCACAAUUUACCGUACUAAACUUCACAUAUUUAAUAUCUCACAUAUUAAAAGUCCAUUAAUCAGAGAAACUGUACCACACUAGUUCAGAACUAGGAGGAAAAACAUAUGACACGCAUAUCCUACUCCUACUAAGAAGCUCUACUAUCUAAGUAGUUCUUCAAAACAUCCAUGACAGCCCCAAAAUCAGAUUUCACUUGCACUGGAGGAUUCGCUAAACGGCAAGACAUGUCUUUGAUCUGUCUAGAGUGAUAAUCAAUCUUGGACUGAGUAAAUUUCAAACCGUGAGCAGUACUCACCACAACAGUUCUGUCGGUCGGACCAAUAAUUCCACUCUUCCUAAGCUUUGUCAAAGCUGUUAAUGCAACUCCAGUGUGCGGACAAAUAAACAUCCCAGUAGAAUCAGCCAAAGCCAUAGCAUCCAUCAAUUCCUCCUCGGUAGCCUCCUCCACAAUCCCAUUUGAAUUCUUCAAAGCAAAAACAGCUCUGUCAAUCGAAACAGGGUCGCCAAUUUGUAUAGCAGAAGCAAAAGUGGUGCUAGCCCUCACUGGCUGAAACUCCUGCCACCCUGAUUUAUAAUACAAAUACAAAGGAUUUGCAUUUGCAGCUUGUGCACAGACAAGCCUAGGAAUUCGAUCAACCAACCCCAAUUCUUGGCACAUGUUGAACCCUUUAUAGAAUGCAUAGAUAUUCCCUAAAUUCCCGCCGGGAACUAUUACCCAAUCAGGCACUUCCCAGUCAAACUGCUGCAGAAUUUCAAUGGCAGCCGUUUUUUGUCCUUCCAGCCUCAAACUAUUCAAUGAAUUCGCCAAGUAUAUAGGUAACUCUGAGGUGACUUGACGUAUCAGUUUCAUGCAUCCAUCGAAAUCAGUAUCAAUACUGAGCACAAAUGCACCAUUUGCUAUGGGCUGAACCAACUGCGCCAUGGAAAUCUUGUUAGCGGGCAGAAAAACAAUGGACGGAAUAUUCGCAGCCGCGCAAUAAGCCGAUAAAGCCGCCGAGGUGUCGCCGGUGGAAGCACAGCCCACCCCAACCAAAGGACGUUUCAUUUUUCGUAACCUGUUCACUUGACUAACCAAAACUGUCAUGCCCAGAUCCUUAAAGCUGCCCGUGUGGCUAAUCCCGCAAUGCUUCACCCACAAAUCAUACACAUCUAGAUGUACUUUUCCAAACCGCUCAGCCCAGAAAAGAUUGGUAUUUCCCUCGAAUGCACUGACAAUAUCAUCGUCUGAAAUUUCAGGCAAAACCCACUCUUUCUUGGACCAGACACCCGAACCGUAAGGCCACGUGGUUUUGCCAACGCGGGAGUCAAACAAAGACCUCCAGUAUUGACCGUCGAAUUGUUUCAGGGCGGCCAUGUCAUGCUGCACAUCAAGAAGGCCGCCGGUGCGGCUGCGGUAGACGAUUUCAUCGAGGGAGUAGGAUUCUGCGGUAGGGGAAGAGUCAGAGCUGGAGGUGAUGGCAGUGAAGGGGACGUACUUGGCAGAGAAGCUGAGGGACGUACUUGGAGGUGACGGGGCAGCGGUUGUGGGUUUGGGGAGGAAUGAAUUGAACAGUGGUGAAGAAGCCAUGUCAUUUAGAUGCCCCAGUUUAGUGCUUAAGGAGGAGAGCCGAUUUUGGGUAGUUGUGGGCUGAAUUCGGCUUUGUUAAGAGGGUGGCAAGUGGCGGUUAUGGGUUGGGGAGGAGGAGGAACUGAGAGCUGGUGGGGUCAGUGAGUGGGGGAUUCGGAAGACUUUUUGUUUUUUUUUUUUUUUUUUGGUUUGAUAAUUGGAAUGUAGACUUUUUAUUGUGGCAGACGAAGACUUGCAUGCAAGCCCUUUUUAUCUUGUCAUUCCUUUGUCCGAGGCAUGAUGGCGGCAUAGUUUACACGUGUCACUUUAUCUUCCGAGCCAUGCUGGAGGCAGGUUUCACACUUGUCAUCCUGUAUGGACCAGGGAGUUGGACGGCCUUUCAUUCUUUUAGGACUUCUAUACUGAUAUUCAGUGCCUCAAAAAUAGUGUUAGUAUAUAUGCCAAAUAACCGGAGGUAUGAAUCAGAGACGACGAACAAAUGAGAACGGGACGAAUGACUUCUUGAGGCUAGACACGAAACAAAGCUGGGAGUUGACCUUUUUUGUCGAUAGCAUUUUCUCAGCGAUGGGAAACUUUCUGAUAAAUCUCUCAUACAUCAACGAACUAGAAAAGGUACUUAUGUAGGGUAAAAAAAAAUUUAGCCGUCAUUAAAUUAUUAUCCGUAUCAACUUUUGACUAUCAAAUAAUUUUUUAUCAUAAAUUAGCUACCAUAUUAACUAAUCAGCACCCUCACUGUUAUUUUGUCGAAUUUUGCUCUUAAUUUAUAAAAUAAUCAGAAUUGUGCUUUGACCAAAAAAAAUACCAGUGGUGGACAAACAUACUCUUACAUUUUGACAUAUGUUCUGAUUAUUAUGUAAAUUAAGAACAAUAAUCGAAGAAAUGAUCACGGGUAUAUUAAUUAAUUAGUUUAGCAGUUAAUUUGUGAUGAAAUAUUGUUUAAUGAUCAAAAGUCGACAUGAACAAUAAUUUAAUGGGCGUUGAGAUUUUUUGCCCGUUUAUAUAAGACCAUUAACUGACAAAAUUCCAUAAAUAGUAAACUAUCAAAUCAUACUAAUAAUAAAAAAUCACAAUUAAAUAACAAUGAAAUAAGUAGUUUUUAAACAAAUAAACUAGUCCUAUAAAGACUUGGUUUAAACAUCCUACAAACCGCGAAUGUAUUAAUCGUACCAUGCCCCAUUUUGAUGCUAUAUUCGUUUUAUUCAAACCAAUGGAGCUAGAUUCAUCUAUAGGAUAACCGUGCCGUGUCAUAUUACUAUAAAGCUAGACUUGUUUAUAAGGAGCUAGAUUCAGUUGUAGAAAUUUUUUUUAUUAUUAUGAUUAUUAAAUUUGUUCGUAGGAAUUACUUACAGCGGAAUUAUUGUGCUUAUAAACCUAGAAUAAGUUUGUUUGGAUACCAUUAUUAUUCCAAAUAAUAUUUCGCUUGCAUCAUAAACACAUCUUCCAACUCACCUUUUUAUAUUUCCAGUCAACUUUUUAUCUCACAUACAUCACAUCACAAAAAGUGUUACGGUAAUUAUUCCAAAUAAUAUUUCAAAUAACACUCUAUCCAAAUAAGGAAACAGAGACAAUUAAGAAACGUUAUUCAACCAUUCAAUAUUCUCACCAAUUGGCAUGCUGCACCGUAAAAGGAAAUAGAGCAAGAACAAUCGCUAAAAUUUUGUACGAAAUUGAGCGACAAGACAUUUUCCUGCUCCAUUACUUUUUUUCUCUCAUUUUCUUAAGCGAACUCAAGAAUGCGUAAAGAAAUCUAAUCCUCGAGCAAUGUUCAAAAGCCGGCAACUUUUGAAGGCACUCGAGGGACUUAUCUACCCAUCCCUAAACCCCCAGUACUGAUGUGGGAAAGAAACCCCCACAGGGGCAAGUCCAACUGGGCGGCCUCUACUAGGCCCUAACUAGGAACCCACCAACCCCCGUAUGGCACCCCCAUAAUUGUUUUUUUUCUCUCAUUUUCUUAAGAGAACUCAAGAAUGCGUAAAGAAACCUAAUCCUGAGCAACCUUCAAAAGCCGGCAACUUUUGAAGGCACCGAGGGACUUAUCUACCCAUCCCUAAAUCCCCAGUAUCGAUGUGGGAAAAAAGCCCCCACAGGGGCAAGUCCUGCUCCAUUACUUGGUUCGGCAAAUUUUUUUUUCUCUUGCCUUUGUGGGGCAGAAUGAUGAUGUCCAGUUUAGGACAGCCCAGUCAUGAUUGCUGGCAUUUUAAUCCAAAGGUUACAAGUAAGAGGAGAAGGGAAAAAAAAAGAAAAAAAAGUUUCCAAGCUAGUUAAUCCUCCAUACGUGCAUUUGCCUUGGACAUAAUUAAGGCUGACUAGUCAGUUAAAAUACUAGGCUUUGAGACCCCACAUUAUUUGAGUGAGAUAUGGUUGAUAUCAAUCCACCUGUAGGGCAGAGCAACUGAGAAUCUUUUCCUGAUAGUACUAAUAAGUUACUAACUUAUUAUGACAAAAAUUUUUUCACGGUAAGUUGGCAGAAUCUACCAGCUAUCGCAAGUUAUUCUGCGAAUAGGAUUGAUACGAAAUAUAUAACAUAAGCCUUGUCCAAAAAAAAAAUGCCAUACAGCUUGAGUAGUACUACUCUACGAGAAUGUCAAAUCUGUCAUGUACAUCCACAAUCUUUCUCAUCAUACAAUUAUUCUGAUGAUCUCUUACAUUGGUUGGACCAAUGAUUUAGCAUCCAAGCUCCCAGUUAUACAAUCUUCUCAUUAUUCGUUCUGUUAUUUUCUCUGCGAGGUUACAUGCGGAUCUGUGGCAGAAAUAUGCAUUGGAAGGCUUUAAACUUUUUUUUUUUUGCUUUUCCAUGUCUCCUCUCGUAUGUUUGAUGGCACAAAGUUAGGUAGUUUAACAUCACCCGAGCUUCGACCGAAGAUCAUUCUCGUGGUUUGUUUGAAAUUCCUUUGGGUGAUUUGUUUCUUUACUCUCAAGCUCGGCCAAAUGCCAGCUUACACCGAAAACAUAUUAACUUUGUUUGGAUGGGAGUGUUUUUAAAAAUUAAUUUUUUAAAUACAAUAAAAAAUUUUAAAAAGUACUCUAAAAAGUAAUCUAAAAAUUAGUUUAAAUUUUUUAAAAUUUUAAAAAAAUCUUAAAAUAUAUUCUAGAAACUCUUCUACUCUUAAAUAUCCCAAAAUAUAAUCUAAAAACUCUGCUACAGCAAAAUUUUUCAAAAGCACCCUAAAAACAGCUAAUUCUAUAUUUAGGUCAAUGUUUCCUGUGAAUUUUUAUUUUGGGUACUUGCUAAUGUUCCAUUCCAACUCAAUAAUGGAAAUGGAGUAGAGUAAGCAAAUUAAAUGAGAUCCGAGGCCCAAUUCAAAACGAUUUGUAUACUUUUUACUUCAUUUGGUGUAAAUUGUUCUAGUUUUCGUGUAAUAGUGUAUUGUACACCAACUAAGUUGUAUGAAUUGAUAAAUUUAUACUCAAUUUUGUACGUGUUUAUACUAAAAGUUGUAAGAAUCAUAUCAAUCAAAUUCAACUUGAUAGAACUCAACUUAUGAGGUCAUAUCCAAUUACACACUUACCCUAUGCCGGUAUAUGUGGUCUUAGUAAUCGUAGUGUUUUUGAUGCACCAAAUACUCUAAGUGGCCUAAUUUGAAUAGCUGCAUGUAUCAUGGGAUACAAGGUAGAAGGAGGAAUGAAUUGAAUAAUAUAAGAGUAGGAAAUACAAAUGAGAGAUUUCGACUUCAAACAGCUGCCAUCCAUACUAAAAUACUGUUUAAUAUGACAAUUUCCAAUUGUUCCCAAACUCCAUAUAAUUUGUUGAUGUGCACGAAUUUAAUUAAUUGAUGAAAGAUUUCUCAAACAAGUUAUAAGUAGAAUUCCCUGUGACUUACCUAUACAUUUCACACUUGCUUUAUUUUUCAAGGGAUACCUGUAUAUAGUCAUGGGACACAUCACAUUUAGGUGCUAUAAAAACACUUCCUAUUUAUUAUCCGUUUGAAUUAACUAUUUUUUGGGAUGUUUUUAAAAAAUAUUACUAUAGCAGUGUAUAUGCAAAACUUUUACUGUAAAUAUUUUUUGAAAUAUUUGACAUAUUAUACGAAUGAAAUAUUUUGUGAAUUAUUUUUAUUUGUGUAUUACUAUAACAUUAUAGUUGAAAAACUUGUUUUUUUUAAAAAAAUGGCCAAUCCAAACAAAAGUAUUUGAAUUAAUUAGUGAACUGUUUUUUUUUUAUUUUUUAUUUUGGGGGUAAGGUACACACUAAGGUAAACAAGAAUUUUAGCAAGUUACGAAACAACUUGUAUGCUCAAACCUGAUUGGUUCACGACAAAGUCAAUGGCUUCUUUCUUAAAAUUUCUUAUUUUUUAAGUCCUAGUCAAUCCAAUAAAAAGAAAAGAAGUCCUAAUCAAUUUUAUGACUGAUAUUCCAUGAACAUCCAAGAAAAUUUGUGGGGUAAGAAGAUGUAUGUUUAGGAAGAUUUGGGUGUGUCUUAGAAUUUUGUUGGGCGACGAAGUCCUUCCCAUCUCUCCCCGGAAUAAAGGUAAAUAAUUUGUGCGCCAUGACCGGAGGAUGAGACUUGUCGGAAGACAUUCGCCUGUAAUAUACCUACCUGAAAUUUCAUCUAUAUAUCAAAUCACCCAGCAGGUACUAAUUUGUUCGCCGUGCAUUUAACGUGCUAGGUCUGAUUGGGGCGUCGGGCCGGGCCGGAGUGGGAUUAGUCGGGCCGCCUUUACGGAAUUGAUCCGGACACCCACUUCGUCGACAAAAAAAAAAAGAAAAAAAAAGGUACUAAUUUGUUCGCCUGUAAUUUGUUGGAAACAUCUUUGUGAUCUCCUGCAAAUCAAAUGGUUAACUUCAAAAGCAAGCUUAGGCUUUGGAGUAGAGCAUAGACCCCUCAUUUUCUAUCAUAAAACGGUUUUAUUUCCCGCGAAAGUCUUAUUAAUCUAGCGAAUAAAAUUGAAACGUAAAGAUGUUAGAGGUUCUGUUUAAAAUUUUCCUUUCUUAAAUCUCACUCAUUCUUUGCUAAAAAAAAAAUUAAAAGGGUUGUACUUGUUAAUUAAUAAUUGUGGCCCAAAUUUUUUAAAUUAAAAACGGAAAUACACUACUAUUACUCGAUUCAAAACAAAAUCAAGUACGAGCAUAUGAUAUAAGAACAUCAUGAGAUUCCUGUGGGGUGAUUGAUGUAGUAAGAACAUGCAUGAUAGUGGUCUUGCAUACACUUAUUAAUUAACAUAAUAGAAAAAAAGAUAUUGCAAGUUAAACUACACAUCAAUCUUUUUAUUAAUUUUUUGGACCUCUCUUCUUCUCUUUUUUAGCUUCAACAAGCAUCACCAAGGCUGACAUUUUGAUUUGCAAUUUUUUCUUCUUUCAUUUGAAUCUGUUAGCACCAGUAGUUUCUGAGUAAAUACUGAUCAUUAGGGGAAAAAAAAAAAAGAGCGGAAUAAGGAAUUAGAAAGAGAUAGUAGAUUAAAUAAAAUACGCUAGCGUAAAUAAACAAAAGACAAAAGAUGAGUUAGUUCUUUUCUUUUAUCCUAUUGUUGUUCUUGCUUAUUUUCAUUAAAAAAAAAUGUUAAAUGAAAAGCUUCGGUUGAUUGCUUUUUAUGCUAGUUUAUUUUGGAAGGAUUACAACAAGUUUGCAACAUUACAAAAAAAAAAAAAAAAACUAUCCAAUCCUAUUUUGCUAAUUAAUAAAUUGAUAUUGCUAAUGAGUUAGUCACAACUCACAAGCAUCGAGAAAAAUAAAAUGAGCUAACAAAGUGUUUGGAUAGGAGGUUAUUUGAAAUAUUUACUUGAAAUAAUUACUGAAACGUUUUUUGUAAUGUGAUAUAUAUGAAAUAAAAAUGUGGUUGAAAAUUGUGUUUAUGAUGUAAGCAGAACAAAUUUUUAAAUUUUUUUUUUCGGCAAAUCUUGAUAACCAAACAUAAGUGAAGGAUGAAACUAACAAAAUAGUCUCUAAUCAUAUCUGUGUUAUAUGUUUGAACGGUUGGGUAUGAAAGUAUUUAUAUUAUUAUGAAUUUUGUUUUGCAUAUUAUAUAACCAAUUAUCUACCUUCAAAAUAUUAUUGUUUUGUUUUGGUAAGUAGGAGCUAUUAAGUUACACCUACAAAGUACUGUGGCUAACUAGAUUCCUCCCACUUAACAUCUAGCCAACAAAACCACUUGAUGCUGCUUACUAGAAAAUGAUUGUUAGCAAUGAACUUAGCUCCCAAAAUUACGAGGAAUUUGUACAUUUUUUACCCUCUCUUUAAGUACCUUGAUUAAAUCUCAAGGCUUUGGGAUGGCCAUUUUACACUCUUCAACGAUAGCAAGGCCAUUAUGUGAACCUUCGAAUUGACAAUUCAAUAAAAUCAAUUUCUACCCUUUUUUUAUAGGCUUUUUUCUUUUUUUUUUUUUUUGAAAGAGGCUAUCUCUAAUUUUCUUUGUACCGUUACACUCAGGCGGAUGUCCUUAAAAGGACGUUAGGAUUAUAAAUCCGGUAAAUUUUAAAUAUUAAUAUCUGACAGUAACGCUUGAAUUCCCGCAUUCUAGGGCUAAAUCUGGUAAAUAAACCUAAACACUAAACCAGGGGAGAAAAAAAACCCAGCUUAAUUAGCCGUAAUAAACUAAUCCAGCCUAGCCUUAAUGUCGGUUUUCGUGUUAAGCACCUCCAAUUCCAACUCCAGCUCUCUCUCUUGCACGACAUCCUUCCUAUUUGCCCUGAGUGGGGUCCCACACCCACCUCUCACCAGAGCCGGCCCCACCCAGCCACCACUGAAUAACCCAAAACCAGCUUCAAAUUUUAAGACAGAGAAAACAAUUACAAAACAAGCAAACAAAAGCAAAGUUUAGAGUGAGAAACUAAAACAAAAGGCAACAAAAUUUACAACCAUUUCCAGUUUCCACUUUACCUUUACAUUCAUUUCUUCUUUUUUUUUUUUCAAAUAUACUGAGAAUUUCAUGAUAUUCUUAUUUUUUUUAAAAUUUUUUUUACUUGUAUUUAUUUUAGAGAGGGAAAGCUAGAGAGCUUUUUUGUUUGGUUAGCUUUUUGAAGGGAGUUGAAUUGAAUCAUUAUUAUUGUUAUUAUAGCAGAUAAGAAACUUUGUUGUGUUUUUGUUGCAUCGGCGUCGCCGAAAAUUCCGAAGCUUUUGAGCCCCAGUUGGCUCCGAUCUGAACUCACUGAGUCGGAGCUCCGUUUGGUCGGUCUCUUUCUGCUUGAUGAGUUGGAGACGGCAAGGAGGAGGAGAUCGAUAGUUACGGAAACUCUUCAAUGGUAAGUCCAGGCCGUGACCACGGUUCUUAUUGCUGCUUUGAAUUUAUUUUGACUGAUUAUUAAGCUUUUCUUAUUUUUUUGGUUGCCUCGAGUCAAAUCUGUUCAGCUUAGUUUCUACUAACAGUAGUAUUCCCUUUUUUAAUUUCCUUAUUUGUUGGAAGUUUGUAUUUUGUUUUUAUUAAAUUAGUCUAUUUACCUUUGGUACGACAAAAUUGUCCAAAUGUUUAUAUUACGGGCACACAUAUAUGCAUGCACAUCUAAUUGAUCGGAUACUUGUAAAUAAUUCACGAAUUAUUGGAGGAUUUUUUUUUUAAUUUAUCAAAAGGUACUUAAAUAUAAUCGGUCAAUUUUUAUCUUAUUCUGAAUUGGAAUGAGUACUUUGUUUUUACCUUCCACGUAGGAUUCAAAUGCAAUCGUUAGUUGGUUCAACUAGGAUAUUAAAUGUCGGGAAAUAAAAUAUCCAGAGUCUUUCGUAAUUGUAGUAGGAAAGGCAUUGGCUAUGCCUUAAGAAGUGUUAAAAAAAUUAAUUUUACGCUGUCAAAGCAAAUAUAAAGGGAGAAAGUAAAUCAUGAUCGUUAAGACUCUCAGAUUAUUGUACUUUUUAUCUGUUUAGAGUCUUGUAACUGAAAAAUUGAGCCCCAGUUGCAGUUAAAUUGAGAAAAUAAAUCGUCAAAGUUCUGUAAAAUGAGUGGCCUAGUCCGAGUAAGUUUAUUCUCAGCAUGUUUCCUGCUUAGUUAUGCAAUUGUUAAAGCCCUCUUUUUGCUGCCCAACCUUCAAAAGCAACUGGUGGUUUAGAGUAGGUUAUGUGGCAGAGAGUGUUUUAUUGAGUCCUGUAAUGAUCUAAUGCUACCAAAUGUCACUUUCUCCUUAGUUUCCAGGAAAAGCAGAUUUUAGGCCACUGUGAGUGGUUUUCAUUGUUUAUGUAUUUGGGUUUCUUUUAAAAUACUAUGUGUGAACAUCUUCAUGAAUUUGUUGAGGCUUCUUUUUGAGGACUAACGGACAAGGCACUUGAACUCCUCACUCCCCCAAAAUAAUAUCUUUCCCUUUUGCAUCUAUCAAUUUAGUGCACUUUGCACCUAAACUUUUCUUUACAGAUCCAAUUUCUGCUUCAUAGCAUACAGUGAACUGUAUAGCAUACUAGAGCCAAUUUUAGUGGCAAACACAACAAUGUAGCAAGAAAAAUUUCUCGAUAGUGGAAAUUGAUGCACUGUGUACCAUGCCGAACUUAAAAGAGUUCAUAUUUGGUUUUCAAGUAACCCCCUUUCGCAUUUUCAAAUGGUACAUAAGAUUUAUGUACAUUGCCACAAUUACAAGGUACUGACUUUCUGCCAAAAAGUGCUUUAAGAGAAACUAACAUGGAGGUACUGACUUUCUGCCAAAAAGUGCUUUAAGAGAAACUAACAUGGAAUAAAUUGGUGAAGUAAGUCUAAGGAAAAGAAAUGACUAGACAUCUCUUACAAUGUAGAAUUGAUAUGUGAGUUAGCAUUUGCGUGUCAAAAGUUAUUCUUGUACUCUAAGUAGAUUGGCAUUGAAUUAGCUGUUCACUUCGGUGUAUCACAUGCUUUGGGUUUGUAUUCUGAAUUUGGUGUUCAAACAGCACUUCUGUGAAGCUUUUGUUUGUAAAUUCUCUAUUUAAAUUAUUGUUAUAUUAAUUGAGGUGUAUGGUGUUCCAAUUGUUGGGCUUUUAGAUUAUCUUUCUUGCACAUUCUGCUAGACUUUAGUUCCCAAUGUUCCUUGGAGAACUAGGCAGGAGGUAGCCUUUUAGAGAAACAAACUAAAUUAGCUUUAGGAUCCAGUGAAUCUAAUUUCUUUGUACCUGUAUGAUUUGUUUAUGCUCUGAUUGGCUGCAGUAAGAAUUCCUUCAUAGAAGAUGAACAGUUUAUCUAUGUUGAAGUUCUCUACUUUCUGAUGCUCUUUCUUUGUUUUUUACAUUUCUGUGUGUUGGGUUAUACAAGUUGAUACUUGUCUUAAUUAUUAUGAGUUUAAAUAAUGUUGUUGUGAAUUUAAAUCUAUUAAUUUAAUGGUAUUGGUUCUUUUGCAGGCAUCGCCAGUUAAUAUUAUUGUUGGCUCUCAUGUAUGGGUUGAGGAUCCAGUCUUGGCGUGGAUUGAUGGGGAAGUAACUCAAAUUAAUGGUCAAGAUGUUCAUGUUCACACAACGAAUGGGAAAAAAGUGAGUGCAGCUUUGUUCAUAGCUAAACUUUUUCACUGUAGUCUCUUGUUAUGGUGGUGGCUCAAAUGGUGUGCCGAAAUGAAAGUCUUAAUAUGUGAUAACCUGCUGUUGGUAGACGUUAAGAAUCUCGGUGUGUCCUGUUUGAUGUUGGAGCAAUAUAUUUUGUGUCUCUUGUAUGAUCAUGCAGUCUUCCUAGAUUUGCAGUUUUUUUUUUUUAAUCUGCUUCAGCUUAAGAAUCUUCCAUUGGUAGUUUAGCCUCCUGUAAGCUUAGCCUGCAUAUGCUGGUACUUUCCACUUAUAGUUGAUACCAAAGCAAUCCUGUAUAUGGUACUAGUGUGGCUUGAGCUAGGGCUGUGAUGGCUGAUUGUAAUGCUCCAACAACUAGUUCAAAAUGCAUAGGUGAAAGAUAUUUCAAUAGCUUCUAAGAAUUUAGACAUCUUGCUCCUAGCUGCUUGGGCUUAAGUGUUUUGAGCCGGUAACUUAGGCUCUACGAAGUUGUUUGACAGGAAUAGUUAUGGUGGCCCUGUAACAUUGUGCUGCAACGGACUAUAAUAGUUAUUGGUGGCCCUGUAACAUUGUGCUGCAACAGACUAUGGUGGUGAUAAGGUUUUUUGAUUGUGGCAGAGGGCCAAUGGUAGUAUGCCACCAUGGUCUUUCACCUUGGGCAAGCGGGUAGUUAUUGAUGAAAAAGCAAACUUACAGGGUAGGCAUUUUAUGUUCAGCAAAGUAGACAGCAAUUGAAAAGUGAUAAGUGACAUUUACAGAACUUCUAUUUUCAUGUAACUUCUGGCAUUUCUUAACGUAGAUCAAAUUCUUCAGUAGCUGCCACUUCUAUGUGCAAUAUCCUGAUACUUCAUUGCCCUGCAAUUAGGAAAUUUAGCUUUAUUCUACUUCACUUUGAGCCUUUAUCAACUCAACAUGAGCUUUAACUCACUUUGCUUUAUAUGCCUUUGAAUGAUAAUUGGUAAGUGGAUUAGAUGCCUCAAUACCUUGGUCGAAAAUUGAAAUGGGGUAAAAAGCCAUGCAAAUUCAGCUGUUAGCUGUUAGUUGAGUUUUAGCUUAGAACGUGGUUGGAUGCUUCUGAGAAGCCACUCUUUUACAUGGAAUUUGAAGGUUCUUAUGAUUGAAAGUUGAUUUUAGGUUGUUGCAAACAUUUCAAAAGCAUUUCCAGAGGAUACCGAAGCUCCUCCUGGAGGUGUGGAUGACAUGACUAAGCUCUCUUACUUGCAUGAACCAGGUGUUCUGCAAAACCUGGCUACCAGAUAUGAACUCAAUGAAAUAUAUGUAAGCUUCAGAAUUAUCUUUUCAGGACCUUGCAAAAUGCUUGUUGAAGAAAAGUAUAAUUGAUGUAAGAACCAAUCUUCUCAUUUUUUUUUUUUUCUCUUCAAUCUAUUGCACAGACAUACACAGGAAAUAUAUUGAUAGCAGUGAAUCCUUUUCAAAAAAUACCUCACCUGUAUGAUAGUAACAUGAUGGAACAAUAUAAAGGAACAGGAUUUGGAGAGCUUAGUCCACAUGUAUUUGCAAUUGCCGAUGUUUCAUACAGGUGAGUACUCAAUAAUCUUUGAGUGUUUUUAUCUUUUGAUGGGAUUUUUCUUCCACUGUCUUUUCCCUUACUAGCCGCUUCUCAACAUUUUAUUGCCUUUAGGCAAAUGAUCAAUGAGGGAAAGAGCAACUCAAUUUUGGUUAGUGGUGAAAGCGGUGCUGGUAAAACUGAAACAACGAAGAUGCUCAUGAGAUAUCUUGCAUACCUGGGUGGUCGUUCUGGAGUUGAAGGGCGGACGGUCGAACAGCAAGUUCUAGAAGUAAGAUGGACUGUUUUCUUCUCUUUUUCAUCUUCUCUUGCUCGUAUAAAAGGAUGCAAAAAGCUGUUUUCAUUUCUAAUUGUCAUUUGGAUAGGCAUUGUCUCUGACUUGUUUAUGCUAACUUUACAGUCCAAUCCUGUUCUUGAAGCAUUUGGAAAUGCUAAAACUGUGAGGAACAAUAACUCAAGGUGAGAAAGUUUAUGGCUAGAGUUAUUUACUUGGUUUACGUAUACUUUGAUUCAUUGUAUCUUAGGGUGUCUAGUGUUCACACAUCAUCUUGAAAUGUGUGAUAAUACUUUUUCUGAUCUUUUGCUUGUGAUUUCUCAAUGUAGUCGUUUUGGUAAAUUUGUUGAGAUACAAUUUGAUAAGAGCGGGAGGAUAUCUGGGGCAGCUAUACGAACUUACCUGCUGGAAAGAUCUCGUGUAUGCCAGAUCUCUACUCCUGAGAGAAAUUACCACUGCUUUUAUCUUCUUUGUGCGGCACCACCGGAGGUAAGAGUUAAUGGUUUGUCCUAUUUCCGUUGGACGGGUGACUUUUACUAAGAUUUUACCUCUCUUGUACUAAUUAUACUGGCUAAAUAAUGAAAAUGAUUAUUCGACUUUAACUUGCAGGAGAAGGAGAGGUAUAAGUUGGGAAAUCCAAAAAUAUUUCACUAUCUCAAUCAGUCCAAUUGUUAUGAGCUUGAUGGAGUUAAUGAUGGUGAAGAAUAUUGCAACAAGAAGGGCUAUGGAUAUAGUUGGAAUUAAUGAGGAAGAACAGGUUUGCCUGCCAACGAUUUCCUUGAGCUUUUUGUGCAUAUUCUUUAGAUUUCUUACAUUACACGACAUCUUUCCAGGAGGCAAUAUUCAGGGUUGUGGCUGCAAUUCUUCACCUGGGUAAUGUUGACUUUGCAAAGGGGCAGGAGAUAGAUUCUUCUGUGAUCAAGGAUGAGAAAUCUAGGUUCCAUCUUGAUGUGACAGCUGAAUUGCUCAAGUAGGCAUAUUCGCCUUUCAUUCUUGAGUAAGAUUUUUAAAUUGCAAUUAGGUAUCUAAAAGGCAGAAACAUGAUGGAACAGGUGUGAUGCUAAGAGCUUGGAAGACGCACUCAUUAAGCGUGUGAUGGUGACACCUGAGGAGGUUAUCACAAGGACUCUUGAUCCAGAAGCAGCUACUGGUAGCAGGGAUGCUUUGGCUAAGACGAUAUAUUCUCGUCUAUUUGACUGGUAAGGAGUUCUAAUUUUUCUAAUUAUUAUCAAAUAUUUGAACGCUUUUGGAGUUUGACCUUGUCUAAUUUUAGUGACUAUUAUCUAUUUCCCCAGGAUUGUGGAGAAAAUAAAUAUAUCAAUUGGUCAGGAUCCGAACUCAAAAUCAAAAUAGGAGUUCUUGAUAUAUAUGGGUUUGAAAGUUUUAAGCAGAAUAGGUAACCCUUACAAACAUCUUUUGGGUACAGUGUUUUAUCUGGAGUACAGUUUACAGCCUAUUCUCAUUGUUUUUUUUAUUAUGUGUAAUUAGCUUUGAACAGUUCUGCAUUAAUUUUACCAAUGAAAAGCUGCAGCAACAUUUCAACCAGGUUAUUGCUCUGUUUAUCAUAUAUUGGUCAUUGCUUUGACUAAAAAUUUGGACAUUCUUUUCAUCAAUUUGUUUGACAUAACAUUUGCAGCAUGUAUUUAAAAUGGAACAAGAAGAGUAUGAGAAGGAACAAAUUAAUUGGAGCUACAUAGAGUUUGUUGAUAACCAAGAUGUUUUGGAUCUGAUUGAAAAGGUAUGCUACCUUAUUGAUUCUUCAGAUUACAGAUUUUUUGCGGAUGUUUUCUUAAUAUGAGAAAGUCACUUGUUUGGCUAUUGUAUCAUAUGAUUGUAGAGCUAAUAAUCAAAUGGUUUCUUCUCCUUUUUGUUCAUCAUGUAGUGCCUUAGCUUUUUUUCCCCGCCUUCUCUGCUAAGGGCCUUGGCUUCUUUACUUAACUUGCCCUAAAAUGUUGCAGAAACCUGGAGGAAUCAUUGCACUUCUGGAUGAAGCAUGGUCUGUAAUUUUCCUUUCUUUUCUUUUUCUCCACCUCUAUUGGAAAUUGAUUUUCAUACUUAAUGCCAUUCAAUCUUGGUUGCGGGUUGAUAUUUACGAUAACUAUUUGUUGUUUGCUGUGUCAUUAUGGCACUUAGAACUCAUCAGCAAUAUGGACAAGCUCAAAUUUGUUUACCCACUUACACGACUUUACUUCUGCUUUAGUGCACUUUUGAUAUGUUUUGCUUGAUGCAGCAUGUUCCCCAAAUCGACCCAUGAAACAUUUGCUCAGAAGUUGUACCAAACAUUUGCAAAGAAUAAGCGCUUCAUCAAACCUAAGCUUUCGCGCACCAAUUUUACAAUAUCUCACUAUGCAGGAGAGGUAUCAAUGUGCAUCCUAUAAGGUUCUGUAUAGAGCAGUUCACUGCAAUCUUAUGCUUUACUUCCUGUAUCAUUUGCAGGUUACAUAUAUGGCAGAUCUGUUUCUGGAUAAAAACAAAGAUUAUGUGGUGGCAGAACAUCAGGAUCUUCUGACAGCUUCAAAGUGUCCCUUUGUAGCUGGUUUAUUUCCUCCACUUCCUGAAGAAUCAUCAAAGUCAUCCAAAUUUUCUUCUAUGGGUCCCGCUUUAAGGUACUUGCUGUCUUCGAUUGCCUUAUGGAGAUGGCAAAUUCAUUCUUCAAUUUACUAGCAUUACUGAACUGCUAUACAUGUGAAAUACAGAGAAUAGAACCCAGAGAGAUGUAAAAUUAAAUAGUCUGACUGUUACCUUCAUAUAAUCUAAUUUAGCAGGUUUUACUUCAGGAGUGGCCAGUAUUUUAUUGUAAGCUGAUGGCAAAGUUUGUUGUUUGCUUGCCUAUUCUUUGGACACCAUGGUCUAAAUUUAGUAAUUUGCACGCCACAAUCUGCAUUAAAAUGAAACAUGUAGUAGACAAAAACCAAAUAGAACUAUGUUGCUGGACUAUUGUGCCUAUUCUGUGAAACAUGAAAUCUUGACUAAAGUUAUGGUCGACUGAAUUACUAUAGAAAUCUUGUCGAUGUUAAAGUUUUAGAUCACAUGAGAUGCCAUUAUGAUAAAAGUCAUAUCUGUGAAAGAAUUCUUGUAUUGCUGUGUUAGCUCGCUUCUUUUUUGCUGAUUUGUAAGCGUUUCUGCCUAUGUUCCUGAAGCUCUCUGUUUCAGUAUGACACUGAAAGAUGGGAUGGCUGUACACUACUUUCAGUAAAACUGUGGAUCUUGCUAAACUUUCAGACUUAUGGUGGUAGUUUGAUGUUGACUACCAAUUAUGGGUAUUUUAUGUUCAAUACUGCACUAGAGUUUAGAGUAUAGAGAUUCAUAAUGAGUACAGCUUUUCACUGGUGCAAAGAUGACUCAAAUAUAGGCCCCAAAAAUUCCAGGGAGCUGUUUACCAAAAGGUGACUGUAGUUCUCACACUCUUGGGCUGGACUUAAUUUCCAUGUUACUGGAAGAGGGUUAAUUAUACAACUGGGUUUGGGUUUUCAGCAUAAUCAAAUUUGAUGUUUAAGUUCAUCUUCCAAUGAGAAUUUAAUGUUAGGAACUUGAAUUUCUGGAGUUACUGUUAAGACACAUUCAAGAGUUUGGCACCUCAGAAUCCUGUUAGUUGAAAUGUCAAAAGUUAUUUAUGAAACCUUUUUACAUUCGGGCAACAUUUUUUAGUAUGUAACCUUCUUGAUAAAACUUUUGAACAAAUGAUUUUCUUUGCUAUUAUUUUUUUACUAAAAAUUUUGUCUGCUUUGAAGCACUUAAAUAGCGUCUUUCUUAAUAAUAAAAAUAAUUUAUAAUAAUAAUAAUUAUUAUUAUUAUUAGAAGAAGGAAUAUUAGCACAGGAUGCAUAUUUCUCAGGUAUCCACUGGGACAAUGUUUUCAAAGUCUCAAGUCUUGAGCUCACAAAUUGUUUCCUUGUUAUCCUUGAAGUUUUCAUGGUUCUAUCCUUUCAAAAAUCCAAGAGUUUGCAAGAAUGGCUGUUCCUCCUUUUCUUUCUCCAGUUCGAACAGCAGCAUUUCGGUAUAUGUUGACGUCUCUUUUCUAAUGUUUAUCAUCUAUGUUGACACUUGCAGCUACAACUCCAAUCUUUAAUGGAGACCUUGAGUUCAACAGAACCUCACUACAUUCGAUGUGUGAAGCCCAAUAAUGAAUUGAAGCCUGCUAUUUUUGAGAAUCUGAAUGUCAUCCAGCAGUUGCGGUGUGGUGUGAGUAUAUGUUAAAUCUUUUGCCCAGUGAUUGUUAAUGAGGUCUAAGGUGCAAUUCUUUACUUCUUGUAUUUCAUAUUCUUAGUAUGCCCUCUACCAUUUAUAGGGUGUUCUGGAAGCUAUCAGAAUCAGCUGUGCUGGAUACCCCACUAGGCGAAGUUUCGAUGAAUUUCUUCUGCGAUUUGGUGUUCUUGCUCCAGAAGUUCUGGAUGGAAGGUAAACUAUUGGUUCUCUUUUUCUUCACAGAAUUGACCUGGUAGGAAGAAUAGCAGUGAGAUUGCAUGCAUUUCUGCGAUCCUUUCAUCUUGCAGUUCAAUUAUUUUCUCUAAGCAUCUCUAGUUCAUCUACUUCCUCGUGUCCUAACAAAAGUACAUUUGGCAGCUAUGAUGACAAGGUUGCGUGCCAAAUGAUUCUGGACAAAAUGGGAUUAAAAGGCUAUCAGGUAAAUUUGAACCUCUUCCCCCCUACUGAAAUAAGCUUUGUAGGUAUGCUAUUUGUUCAAUUUUACAGGAGGACAAGCUAUUUACAGUUUCAACAUUAGAAUAAAAUGAGACUUUAUUUGGUGUUUCUGUUAUGUUUCUUUUGUCCUCAUUAUGUUCUCAUUGUGAUGCACCAGCAGCAUCGUCAAAUAUUCUUUAUAUUAAUAUAUGAAAUGUCAUUGGCUUUGCAGAUGGGCAAGACAAAAGUCUUCCUAAGAGCUGGUCAAAUGGCUGAGCUAGAUGCGAGAAGAGCAGAGGUCCUUGGAAAUGCAGCCAGGAUUAUUCAAAGACAGAUUCGAACUUACAUUGCUAGGAAAGAGUUCAUCACAACUCGCCAGGCGGCAAUUCAAAUGCAAUCAUGUUGGCGAGGUAUUCCUUACUCGUGGUUGUUUAUGCUGUGAUUAUCUGCUUAUUAUCCUCUCUUGCAAAUUUGCUAUUCAGCAUGGACAAAGAUAAUAGAAGGCUCUCAGAGAAAAUAAAUAAUGAAUGCACUUUCUCUUGCUGUGUGUGCGCUAUUGAUUCAUUAGGUAUAUUGGCUCGCAAGCUAUAUGAACAAUUACGCCGUCAAGCAGCUGCUCUGAAGAUACAGAAGAACUUCCGCUGUUACGUUGCUUGGAAAUCGUACUCAACAUUGCAGCAUUCUGCUAUCACAUUGCAGACAGGCAUGAGAGCAUUGAGUGCCAGGAAUGAAUUCAGAUAUCGGAAACAAACAAAGGCUGCUAUUAAAAUCCAGGUCCUGUUUGUGCCCAUUAUUCCAUUUCACCAGAGAUGCAAUAGAAGCAGGGAAUGAGAAUAAAUUUUUGAGUAAUUGAAAUAAUAAUUAAUAUAAGAUAUUUUUGUCAUCCAGGCUCAUGUGCGUUGCUACAGGGAUUGGUCUUACUACAAAAGUCUGCAGAGGGCUGCUCUUGUUACUCAAUGUGGUUGGAGAGCACGAGUGGCAAGGAGGGAGCUUCGCAAGCUUAAAAUGGUUUACUCUUGUCCUUGAUGUGAUUUUAUUCGCUAGACAUUAACAUGUUAACAAUUCAUAUUGGAGUGCCUUGAUAACCAGUUACUUAUUUUAUGCAUUAAUUCAGGCCGCAAGGGAAACUGGUGCUCUCAAAGAAGCAAAGGACAAGCUGGAAAAGAAGUGGAAGAACUUACGUGGCGGUUGCAAUUUGAAAAACGAUUACGGGUAUGUACAUCUAUAUUCAAUGUAUUCCCGUUGGAUGGGUACCUUGUGACAAUUGUUCUUGCAUACAGACUGAACUGGAAGAAACGAAAGCCCAGGAAAUUACGAAGUUACAGGAGGCUUUGCAGGCAAUGCAAGUUCAAGUAGAUGAAGCAAAUGCUAAAGUUAUUAAAGAACGGGAAGCAGCAAGAAAAGCCAUUGAAGAAGCUCCUCCUGUGAUUAAGGAAACCCCUGUUAUAGUUCAAGAUACUGAAAAAGUUGAAGCAUUAACAGCUGAGGUUGAACAAUUAAAGGUAGUGAAGCUGUCUUAUAUUACUGUAUUGUGUUGUGGAUAAUCAAUUGAUGCAUUCAUGUAAACCAAGCAUGUCAAAUGUGAUGGAUAAAUGUGUUUUUAUUCAUGAUCAGUGUUCCUUCUGUUAUUGGAAUUAAGCCAAAUGCCUGUCCUUAAUAUGCAUUAUUUACACAAUAAGCUCUUACAAAGCAGUUUGUGGUUGGUUCGCAAAUGUGAAGAAUUCAGACAUAAUAAGUGCUGCGAUACAUAUCUAAAGCCUGGUAAAACAGUGAAAAGCUGGCAUAGUUCUCCUAGCAGAGUCUUUUGGACCAUUAGUAGUGUAUAUCUCUUGCGUUCUUGAACAAGCAUGGCUUAACCUGCAUGUCCUGAUUAAACUUGUCUAUAUAGAUUUGAAGAAAUGUAAAUCUUUUGUAUAUCCACCUUCAGAGGAUGGUCAUACGUGUUCCUCACUUUGUUUUGGCUCACUCAUGGGCUUCAAGCUUCCAGUCAGUAUUAAAUUUUGGAUAACAAUGAUGACCAUUUAUGGCGAUAAUUAGAUUAAGGCCAAGAGUAUUGACAUAGCCAUUUUGCUUGUGCAGGCUUCAUUGAAUUCUGAAAGGCAAGCUGCAGAAGCAGCAAAGAAGGCUUCUGUAGAUGCUGAGGCCAGAAAUUCAGAACAGGCUAAAAAACUUGAAGAUGCAGAACGGAAAGUGGAUCAGCUGCAGGAGUCUCUGCAGAGGUAUGUUAACACGUUUUAAGUUUCAAGCGUGCUAUAGUUGUUCUUGAACCACUGAAUUGAUCAAGUAGGUAGUAGAACAUUUCUAUUACCUUGAUAAAGCAAAUGCUAUAUACCAAUAUAAGAGUGACAGGUAGUCAUUCUGUUCCUCCUUUUUUUAUCCUUCUAGCUUUGUGCCUGUUUAAGAUUUCAAUCGAAAGUUUGAUGCUGCUGUUGAUCCUCUUGUUGUUCAUCAAAUGCAUGUGUUUGGAUUCUCUAUCUCCUUUUGUCGUAGUUUGUUUCUAUUGUCCUCUCUUUUAUUCAUUCCCAUGCUUGGUAACACAUAAUGUGCACUUGCACCCGUCUUUUUGAAUCAGGCAUGCUUAAUCAUGCACAAGCACAUAGGCACUUGUAUCCAGUUUUGCUUUUAUUGCAUAUUAUGGGGAAAAGUUGCAAAUUUCCUCUUUAUUUCUUGUUUCAGGCAUGAAGAGAAGCUCUCGAAUACUGAAUCAGAGAAUCAAGUUCUUCGUCAACAAGCUUUGGCAAUGUCUCCCACUGGAAAAACUAUAUCUGCAAGACCAAAAACAACUAUUAUACAGGUAAUAUCACGCUUCUUGCUUAUUUGAAGUUACAUGCUAUGUUGAGAAAAAUAAAGAUUGCUUGGUGUACAUGCAGAGAACUCCAGAGAAUGGAAAUAUUCCAAAUGGUGAAACCAAGGUUGCACAUGUAAGGAGCAUCAGUACUUUUAUUUGGGUAACAACCAAUGGAAAGGGAUGUUAUUUCUUUCAUAUGUUACAUGUGUCAGGACAUGACUCUUGCUAUAGCCAGUCCAAAAGAGUCUGAAUCUGAGGAAAAACCACAAAAGUUUCUUAAUGAAAAGCAGCAGGUGGGUGCUUUUUGGAUGCAUAAAAUAUUAUGCUUGUAAUUCUUGGUUUUCCUAUUUGAUUUUUUUGGAAUCUUUUCCUGCAAUCCACUAUCCUGCUGCAGGAGAACCAAGAUUGCUCAUCAAGUGCAUCUCUCAAGAUUUGGGAUUUUUCUGGUGGCAAACCAAUUGCUGCUUGUUUGAUUUACAAAUGCCUUCUUCAUUGGAGAUCAUUUGAAGUUGAGAGAACUACAGUGUUUGACAGAAUCAUCCAAACAAUAGCUUCAGCAAUAGAGGUUUGUUGUUAUAAUGGGAUUGCUAAUUUUAUUUUUCUUGUAGCCAUAAAUCAUGAUAAUCUGCUCACUAGCAUUUGCUGAUGAAUGUCAUCAGAAAUCGCUUACAUGAGUUGUAUUAAUUUGAGCAACCUUUGUCCUCUAGGUCUCAGACACACAGUGAUACAUUAACUUACUGGUUGUGUAAUACUUCUACGCUGUUAAUGCUGCUCCAACACACACUCAAAGCCACUGGGGCAGCUAGUUUGACUCCUCAAAGGCGGAGGUCAUCAUCAGCCUCACUUUUUGGGAGGAUGUCUCAAGUAUGGGCCUAAGAUUUGAUUUGCGUGGCCUUUUCUCUUGAUCUUCUGUUUUGAAUUCUGUAAAUUCUUCUUUCUUCCUUAAAUGCAGGGAUUACGGGGAUCUCCACAAAGUGCUGGGCUCUCAUUUCUUAAUGCGCGGGUGCUUGGUAGACUAGAUGACUUGCGUCAAGUUGAGGCUAAAUAUCCUGCUUUGCUGUUCAAGCAGCAGCUUACUGCUUUCCUUGAGAAGAUCUAUGGGAUGAUAAGGGACAAUUUAAAGAAAGAGAUUUCUCCAUUGCUUGGCUUGUGCAUCCAGGUAUUUCAUGUCCUGUUGUUUUACAAAUGUUUAGAUUGCUGCAAGUUGCAUCAGAAAACAAUAAGCAGCUCUUACGAGAGUGUUUUUUUGUUAAUGGAUAAGCAAAUGAUUAGUGAUUUGUUUGUGAUGAUUUAGCAGGGUUAGUGUUCCUAGCAUCCUUACUUGAUUUGGCCAAUAGUAAAGCUCUAGUACUUAUCUUGGAGGUUAACUACCAUUGCUAACCUUCCUAAAGAAGCUCAUCUUCAGGUUUCAAAUAAAAAAUUGAAACCAUUUUUAAUUUAGUACGCCAAUGAUUUCUGGAAGCCCUGCAUCCAUGGUACCCAUAAUAUCUCCCUUAUUUUCUCUUUUUCCAUUUCGUUAGUUUGUGUGACCUUAUGCAAUUCCAGCUCUUCUUCUUCUUCUUUUCUUCUCUCUCUGUUUUCUUAUAUUCUUUUUUUUCUGGAGUUAUAAUGGAAUUGGUAACUUAUGCAGCUUAGUUUUGUUUCCUAUAAAUUUAAAAGUAUUCACUUCAUGGGCAAUGAAUUUUCUACUGCAGGCUCCUAGGACAUCUCGUGCUAGUUUAGUAAAAGGACGCUCUCAAGCUAAUGCUGUUGCUCAACAAGCUUUGAUUGCUCAUUGGCAGAGCAUUGUGAAAAGCCUAAAUAAUUACUUGAACAUAAUGAAAGCAAACUCCGUGAGUUUUUAAAACUUACACUCUAUGGAAAUAUUUCUUUCUGAAUCAAUUUCUUAUUACUUGCUCCUUAUCUUGUACUUUUACAGGUUCCUCCCUUCUUGGUCGCAAGGUUUUCACUCAGAUAUUUUCUUUCAUCAAUGUUCAACUUUUUAACAGGCAAGUUCUUCCCAGUAACAGGACAACUGUAUACGCCAAAUGUUUCAUCUUAUUAAUUAUUGUCAUUACUUACUUUCGUUUAUUUAUGUUUCCAGUCUUCUUUUGCGGCGUGAGUGUUGCUCCUUCAGCAAUGGGGAGUAUGUCAAGGCUGGGCUCGCCGAUUAGAGCAAUGGUGUUGUUCUGCAACUGAAGAAGUAAGGAUUAUUCACGAAACAGGCUUGCUUAUAGGCCAGCAACUUUUUAAUGUGAAACCUCUUAUGACCUCCUGUUUUCAGUUGUAGGCUCCGCAUGGGAUGAACUGAAGCAUAUCAGACAGGCUGUUGGCUUCCUAGUGAGUUCAGGACAGUCAUUACAAAUUGGUUAUGAUGCAUACACGUGGUUGCUAAUCUAUUCUAUUUUCCAAUUAUCUGCAGGUUAUUCAUCAAAAGCCAAAAAGACAUUGCAUGAAAUCACAAAUGAGCUUUGUUCGGUGAGAAACUGUUCUUUUGCUUGUUUUGUCCUAUCCUAUUCUUUCCAAGUUCCUUAAUGAGUUAUUCAUCUUAUACAGAAAUUGAUUGUAGCCCUCCGGAUCUUUUUGUUCUCACUUUAAGGACCUAAUUGUUCUUCUUAUUAUUCUUCAGGAGCUUAGCAUACAGCAGUUGUACAGGAUAAGUACAAUGUACUGGGAUGACAAGUAUGGCACCCACAGCGUUUCUUCAGAUGUAAGUUAGUUCUCACACAAAACAGAAUGAAUUGUCCUUGUACUUUCAUUUGAAUGGGUCUGUUUCCUUUGGCUGUUCCUAAUUUUAGUUCUGGUGUUUAUAAUUCACUUCUAUGCAUCUUCUUUCUUGAAAUUUAGUUAUUUCAAAUAUGAGAGUUAUGAUGACAGAGGACUCUAACAAUGCAGUUAGCAGUUCCUUUUUGUUGGAUGAUGACUCAAGGUACUCAUGUGUUAACGUGUAGGAUUUCACAAACUUCUGUUUUUUUAUGUCAGUUUCAUUUUUGUGUUUGACUCUUUUAACGUACCUCAACCUUCUCUUGAUCACUUGGAAAUGAAACAAAGGUCUGAGGCUGCCGUUCAAGGUAAACUCAAGGGUGUAAUAAACCAAUUUAGGGAGUACUAUGUGGGUAAUUUGAGCAUAUCCAAGAACCUUCAACACACUACUGAAAAAGAAAGAUCAUUAUCUGGAUGUGUUCUUAGAAUAAAAAAAUUCUUUUGAUACUUACCUUUUUCAACAAAGGUUUUUGACCUUGGUUGAGUUUGGAUGUCUAUUUUUGAUGGAUCUGAGAUUGUGCUUGUUCCGAGUACAUUGACUUUACUUUCAUGAACCUAUGAAAAGCAUUAAUUUUUGCUAACACUAAUGCAGCAUCCCAUUCUCUGUGGAUGACAUCUCCAAAUCAAUGCAACCAGUGGAUGUUGCUGACAUUGAGCCUCCGCCACUAAUCCGAGAGAAUUCAGGUUUUGCAUUUUGCAUUAGAGCUCUGGAUGAUGAUUAUCAAGUUUUUAUUCUAAAUCAUCACCUCAUCUCUGGAAGAUUGAAAUCUGCGCAUCAGCUGGUGUGCAGAAACUUGUGCAUAAAUUUUCAUUUUCGGUUGCAUAUUUGUCUUGUAAAAUUUACUCCAUUAGCUCAGGUAACAGUUAAUAUAUGUUAUCUGAGUCAAUUUUUUUGAUUCCCCUCGUGCUUUCCCGACACGAGAGGUAUUAUAGCACAAAGCUAUAGGGGCUAGUACUGUGAUGGCAAUUAGUAAUAUAGAGUCAUGAUUGUUUUUCAGUUGGUGUGUGCUGUUGGGAUUUGAGUGUAAAUUUGAAGCAAUUUUAGGUUUCUUAACUUUUAGUGUGGACUUAGAAUGCAGUUAGGUUGCUACUGUAUUUUGAAUAUCAUGUAAAAAGCUCCAUAAGGUUUUUAUUGGUUUAUAUAUGAAUGACUUGAUUACAUUCUUUUUCUUUUUGACGUCUUAUGAGGUAUGAUACAGGAUUGACGUUAGACUUAGAUUUUUUGAAUGGCCUCUGGUUUUCAAAGGAAUACUUCAGAACUAAAAUUUGGUUUCCUCCGCGACUGACGUUGGCCUACACAGUUGUUCCGCUUACUGUUGGGUGGGGCAAUUCAAUGUUGUGCCUAUUUUUAGCUGAUCUGAACAGUGUCUGAAAAGAUUUCAUUUUGUGCCGAUCUUAACGCCUUUUCUCAAGGUUCCGUUUGGCUCUUUUAAUCUUAGCAUGGUCGUAUCCUUAAUUGAUAUAUUUGCGGUUCUGAACAGUAUAAAGAAAUUUCAUUUUGUGCCCAUCUUUGCUGAUCUUGGUGCCUUUCCUCAAGUUUGCGCUUUGACUCUUUUAGUUUUAACAUUGCCGUAUCCUUCAUUGGAGAAAAGGUGUAUGCAAAUCACAUCAUCAAAUUGUGCAAGUGGAGGAAUAGUAUCCCAUCUUCUGGCGUUUUUGGUUUUCAGAAAGAAAAUUCGAAUCACAAUAGGUCUGUUGCGUUUCCAUUUAUUGGUUUGAGAAUCUGAAUCUGUCACUCGCCGUUUGACCUUGCGAAUAACAGGCGCGUAGUUUUAGAUUUUCACCGAGGGAGAGAGUCAAACUAAUUGCAUUUCCGGAAUUAGAUGUGUAGAAAUAAAUGGUACGAAGUAGUAUAAACUUCUUUAGGUGCGGGUCUGGUAUCUCCGGGGGCCAAAGGCCCUUCACAAAGAAACUAGCGAAGGGGACUUUCUCCCAUACACAUCAUUUCUUAGCGUACACUACUAUUUUGGGGACCUCUGAACACUUCGAAGUUUCGUCAAAGGAUGCAAACUGGAAUGUUCCUAUAUGAAUUGUACCAGAGCUUUUUGAGUAUUGGAGACUUCUGGUGUAAACAUGGGUUGGCAAAUCACGUAUUCAACUUUUGUUUAUGAAACUACUCUCGUUGCAAGUAUCAUUAUUCAUCAUCACAGGGUGUUUAAUUACUUAUUUAGCAAGUGGUUUGGUCUAAUGUAAUGGCCACCGUAGAAGAUUCGCAGCAUGCAUUGGAUGUCUUCAUCUGUGUGUUGCUAAGAUGUACUAUUCAAAUGUAGGACGAUCAAAGUUAUUGUGCAGGAAUUAGAAGUACGCUAGUUAUCCAAUUAUUUUCUCUGUUUUACACUUCAGGUCAUCAUGAAAGCACAAGCUAUCUAUCUAUACAUGGGGAAAGAAUUCCUGUCCCUAAUUUAUACUUAUUUUUUGUUAAGUAAUAGGUGUGCUGCAAGAUCUAUACCUGAUUUAUCCAUUUUUAUUCUCUUUUGAAGCAAGACUAGAAACACACUGCCUUGAGCAUUUGGUUGGCAACAGCCGAAUAUGACUGAACAAUAAGACCAUCAACCAUUUCGACACCUCUGUGACUAACAUGGAUAACCCUCUUGUUAAAUAAUUUCAAAAAACAGAAAAUCAACUGGAACCCGGUUUAUGUUCCGACAUCACUUUCUCUUUACAUCAAAACAUUAAUUCCCACCCUCUGUUCCUAAAUCUCGGUUCUAGUUCUGUUUUUUUUUACUGGAAAGUAAAAGCCCAGCUCAUCAGAUCCGACAUCUUGUCAAUACAUCUCCUCUCAGCUAAACUACAUGUUAUGCCCCUCAUUGAAGAGUGAUCACUUUUAAGGGAUUUGUAUAACACAUUAAUCUACAAAGAAUAUUCCUGAAAAGUUCACAGCUUUCACUUGUAAAAAUGGAGUUUGCAAAUUUAUUUUGUACAUCACUAAGAGGACUCUUGCAUCUCAGCCGAAUUACUUGUUCCCAUCAAGGUUUCAAGUACAAUGGGCUGGUCUUGUUCAGUCUGCAUGUUUGAGGAACACAUUUACCAUAUGAGCUCAUCGAAUUCUCCGGGGCAAUUGACUGGUCUUCGAUAGUCUGCUCCCGUUUGCCCUCUGAUUUCUUCUUCUCUUUAAGUACGUACUGUCUUGCAUUACUUCAAGUAAAAAGUUCCCUCCAUUCCAUACAGUUGCAGAGAGUUUAAGGAUUUGGAAAAAGACAGACAAUUUGUAGGACAAAAAUAUGGGUACUGUAAGUGCCAUUGUUGCCACUGUAAAUAUUCCUUGGAGGACAAUAUACAUAAGCAACCGGUUCUGAUCUCCAAGAAUACCACUUAAACGCCACCAUAUGUUGUUAGCUUUCUGUGCUUUUUUGGAGAGCUCUCUGCAAAAUAGUGAAUGAACAGAACAAAACCAAUAAGGCUAAAGAUAAAGUCAUAGGAAGAAGGAUUAAAUCAAGAGUAACUGGACAUUUCCACUUGUGCAAGAGUGUGUGUGUGUGUGAGAGAGAGAGUAAUGAUGAAGAAUCAGAUAAAAAGCACUAACCUGUAAGAGGUCAUAACUUCAGGGUCCUGUAAAAGUCUCUGCCUACGGAGGACAUCUACAAUGAGAAAAUAAAGAGCCUGCCAGAGACAGUAAGCAACUAAUGGAACAAGAAAUAGCCACGUCCAGAGGUUAUACUUGCUUUCUACAUAAGGCCAUGAAGGUCGGCGAGGAGUCCCCUCAGGGUGCAUGGCUUCAAAAAACACAGGAUCCCACCAUCGAAUUGUGAAGAAAACCAACCCUGAAUUCAGAAUUAUCAAGUAAGCUACAAUUUGCACCGGACAACUGAAUAACAAAUUUACUUGAAACUACACGGGAAAGAACCAUGCCAUCACUUCAGAGGAAAAAAUUUGCACUCCAGCGAACGCAACUUAAAGAAGAUGAUGUAUGUAGGCACAGAAUAAGAGGGUGUUUUGUGCAUAUGCCUUUGUCUCUUAGGUAGCCUUCAGUAAUAUGGGUGCUCUAGGAGGAAAGUCUCUUAGGUAGCCUUCAGUAAUACAGGUGCUCUAGGAGGAAAGCAAACGAUUCUUCUACCGUUAUUAGCAAUUGUGAGGCAUAGCCACACAUGCAGACUUGCAAGUUAAGAAAGGAUGGACGUCCUUUCUGUCAAAGGAUGUUUAUAGUUUACAUGACAAGAUUUUUUAUUAUUCUCACACGAGCUUUAACUAACUAUUUGCAUCAAUAGCUCCAAAAGGAGUGCUUAAUAAGACCACCAUAAACAUGCAAAGAAAGACGUCACCAUAUAGAAAAUUUUCAUCAGGCCACAUGAAAAUGUGACAAAAGUAUCUUGAUGAUGUCAAAAAUUCUAGAGUCUAAAGUUGUUAAAAGACCUAAAAUGUAUUAAACAAUAUAAAGCAAUACUCUUAAGUCAAAACAUAUUUGAAUUGCCAAAACUUUCUACAACUUUCAAUUAUUGCAGCUUAGAUGUCAUACAAGAAUAGACAGGACGCAUGAUACCCCAUAAAACUAUUCCAAUGCAUUCAAAUGCACAAAAUUCUUAUGUUCUUUAUUAUUUAAGAAUAUUGCUUCAGUCAUAGUGAGAUUUGUACAAUUGAAAGAAAGUUUAUAUACCACCAAAACUCCUAGCAAGAAUAACUACGCUGAAAUUAUGGAGCAAGGAAAAUACACAAGUCGCGGCUCGUAGAGCUGAAUUACUGUAAGGUUAAUUCUAUCUCAUAUUAGAUCCAUCUCAACAAAAUUUCCAAGCAUACAUCUGUGGACUGCUAUUGUUUCCCAUUCAGCAGAGACUACAAAGGGCAUUACAAGUAAUUAAAUAAGAAAAAUAACAUCUGCAUAUCCACUGGAAAAGAUUUGAUACCAUAUUUUCUCAAACAUAAACAGUUACAUAAUCAGGAUAAAAGCACAUAUGCAGCGAAUGAAGAAGUCAACAGGCAAGCAAAUGAUAGAAGCAAUCAGAUGUGAUAAAAAUGAAGGCCCACAGCUAAUAACUACAAGUGCUUAAUUCAUUCUCAUCAUCAUUAAACUAGACCUAGCUUUCAAGUCGAAAUACCUGCUAUAAAGGGGGGCUAGACUAGAAAAGAGAGAAGGAUGUCCAACUUACCAGGCAAAAGAUGUAUGAAGACGCUUACAAUUUUGUCGAAAAGAAUUAAAGACUAAGCUGCAUCUCCACACAAUCAGUGCCCAAGCUAGUGGACCCUGCAGUUAUGUGAGAAGUCAAGACAUAAAGAAGCAAAUCUUAAUGCCAUUUAGAUGAAAACAAGGCAUCUCCAGAUUGAUUGCUUACCUCUGCAAAAGAGAAGCAAAUCAUGAAAAACUUCUCAUUUCUAGGAAAACAAAGAAGCAUGACCAAGAAUAGUGUGUUGGCGUAGUAGCAGAAGUCCUGAAUGGCAAAAGAAGUACAUAGUGACACAAGAGAAAGUACAUUUGUAGGAGAUGAAGUCUACACUGAAACAGAAAAAUUCACAGAUAACAUGUACCAUCAGAAUUUCAACUAAACCUAAAGUGAUUUUGUCUAAUUAAGACUCUAGAACCUCUUCGACAAGGAUCUAAAUAACCGAGAUACGCAAAACAAAAAAUAUUUGUGUAGUUAAAUGAGCCAAAACAAGAAGUUGCAAAACAGGAAGAGCUUACCAAGAGAUAAUAAUGCCAUUUCUUGUAUCGAUAAUAAAUCCACCGUAGAGGAACAAAUAUGACAUAGAGCAAACAAUAUGCAUAAGGGACAUCUUGAGGCCCUGCGCCACAAUAGAAAAGAACCGCAAAAGCAAAUUAGCAAACGACAAUCCACUAGGCCUAACUAAUUAUUCGAGGGAUAAAGAUAACUGAAUUGUCAAAUCUUAAGAGUGUAAUACUCACUGGCACCCAACAGAAAGCAGAAUGUUCCAAACCCAAGAACACUCAACAAAUAAGUCACCUGUCAACCCAAAAGCUGCCAAUCAGUUCAACCUAAAAUCGACAUCCCAUGUCACCAAACCAUAAGCAAAGAUGCUAGUAAAAGUAAAUAAACAAAUUAUGAAUCCCGGAAACAAAUAUGAGCUACAAAGUUGUUCUUUUAAUAGCCACUGAGACCAUCUGACAAACAUAUGGUGGGUUUUGGUCGGUCGGUUACUUGAUUACCUUGUUGAUGAAUCUUUCGUGUUCUUCAGCCCGUUUGGCAAUCUUAUCUGCAUGUUUAGACAAGAUCUGCUUGGUUUGAACUGCUUGCUUCGACAAUAUCUCUUUCGUUUUAGCCACUUUCUGCGCAACAAACAAUUCCCAGAUGACAAAGAACUACCCAAAUCGCAUCACAAACUGCAAAACUAAAUCAGAUACGUGGGAAAAAAUUAAUACCUCUGAUCGAUCUCUGAGCCUUUUUCGAAUCAACCCUCCAUUUGAUUCGCCAUUGGAGUCCUCCGCAGAAGAAGAUUCUCCGUUGCUAUACAUUUUCUUGCUCAAAGACUCUCCUGUGUUUUCCCGCAAGUAUGAAAAGAAGAAAAGGUGGUGGUGGUUUUCUGUGCUCCUCUCCUUCGCCUGUAAUUUUUGUGGGUCUGUGUGACGUAUAUAUAAAACUGGAUAGUACUAUAAAAAUGCCUAGCAAUCAAUUAGAGUUUUUUUUGUUUUUUUGGUGUGUGGGAGAAGCAAUCAAUAUGAAUUUGAUGAAGGAAGAAGUUGUUUAUGACUUGAGUUUCCUGUUAAUACAUUACUCCAUUGACGAUUCUAUAUAUCUAUACUCCCAACUGUAAUCGCGGACGCCUGCUAAAUUUUGAGGCCGAAUUUCAUUUUAUGCUAUUUUAACAUUGAGCGAACUAAAAAAAAAAGAAAAAAAUAAGCGUGAUUAAAUAGCCUACUAGUCUUCUAAGGUUAUACUUUGUAUCCUCACUUUCUAGGUGAAAACUUUCUUCUUUUUUUUUUUAAUAAUCAAUUUCUUAUAAGGAACGUACUAUUAUUCAAAAUGACAUGAUUGCAUAUAAUCGAACUUGUAAAGAUUUAAACUUUGCCUUUUUUUUUAUUGGUGGUAUAUGUCAGGAUUCAACUUCUUUUUUUUUUUUUGUAGCAUUUUUGUUUGAAAGUAUAUGGUAGGUUCGAGCCUUAUUAAAACUAGUCGGAUUUAAUUAUGAAUUAAUCUUGUAUGCAUUAAUAAUGUAUACACUGUUGUUACAGUUAGAUACAUGAGACGUAUAUAAAAUUCGAAUUUUAAAUUUAAAUAUAUAUUAGUGUCAUACAUCUAAUAGUGAUAAAAUACACAUUGUCUGUAUGCAUAAGAAUGAGUUAGACAGACAGAGAUUUAUUUGCUAUCCGUACACGUUUCUUUCUGGUUGUGGAAAGUUUGGUUUUAAAUUUUAUUACUAUUAUUAUUAGUUUUUAUAAUUUUCUCUGAGCAAACACUUUGAACAGGAUGUCUUUUGGUAACAUCAACAGAUAGAGUCAAUAAUGUAUUAUUACUCACUUUUUGUAGUUUUAUAGCCAAUAAGUACAAUGAAGUUGUCAUUAGGAUACCAAGGAACAUACUCGAAGCUUCUGUUUCCAAGAUUCCUCAACCUUUUUCUCUUUUUAAUUUGUUUUAAUUCAUUGUUGUUCUUAUUGAUAUUUAUUUCGAUUUCUAAAUAGCUAAUAGUUAAAGUGCAAACAAUGCUUCACACUUUUAGACGAAAGAAUAUUCGAUACUUUUGGAUUCAAAUGUUUAUUGAAAGACGCUGAUAUUUCAUUUAUGCAGAAGCUUUUGAUUGCUUGUUUUUGAAGUUUUUUUUUUGUGAAAAAUAUAUAUUGUAACGAUUUGAUAUAUGUCAGGUAAAAAGGUGACUAAAAAACGUGUUCACAGAAAACGUAAAAUUUUUUUUGAAAGAAAAUGGCUUUCCAAAUGCAGAAAUUUCUAUGUUCACACAACCAAGAAGUAUAAAAGGGAUGGGAUGUUCCAAAAUAUACUGGACCAUCAUAUCAAAAUUCUACAAUGAUCACAAGGGCAAGACUUAAAAUAAGAAAUUGAUGGAAUGUUCAAAGAAAUGGAAAGGUUUAUUAAUCCUAAGAUGUGAUAACCUGAAGGCUGGUCUUUAACAAUUUUAAUUCCAUAAAGAACCAAAUCAUUACAUUCCUAAAGUGUUGUGUGAAGAAAAAGGAGGCAUCCGGGCAUAUAUGCAUGAUAUACACUCACUCCUUUCACUCUUGGCCCUUGCCUUAAAAUAGUUUUCUGAUGAGGCAACUUCUGCAGUUUUCCAAGUUUAAGAUCUGGUGUAUUAGAUUUACCUCGUGACCGAAAAGAAGCAAAAAAAAAAAAAAAAAAAAAAGACAGAGAGAGAAAGUCCCGGGCAAAAAUUCAUCUUUAGCCUUGUCCAAGGAGCAAAAGAUAGAAGUGAGCGCAGGAAGAUUUCUCGAAGAAAAAGAACCCCAAGUACGCAUGGGAUGGGAAUAAAAAAGAAGCCCAGGUACACCUGCGUACGAGUACGGAGCAUCAAAGAAGGUACCCUGGGAAUAACCCAACAAUGUAACGGUUAUCGCAUAAUUAAUAUUGGCAACUAGUCUAUCGAUUGAGCUUUUGGGCUUUUGGAUAUAUGGAAAUAUGGAAAUGGAUCACCUGCUCCUACUACACUUCCCGAGAAAGAUGCCAUAUCCAACUCUACACGUGGCUCCCUUACAAACUCAAGAUUCUAGUUCAAUCUUCCUGAUUAAAGGUUGGCUCGCUUUUCUUUCUUUGUAUGUAUCAAAUUAUAUAUCUAUUUUCAUUUUUUAAAGAUUAGUUAAUUUGUUAUUAUAUUAACAUUCUCAUAUUUAAUGUACACAGUUAUUAGAAAUUUUUUAAUAUAUUAGUUGCCUUCUAAUGGCUCCAAAUUGAAAAGUUUGAUUGUUUAGUAAUUUUAUUCUUGCUCUUCAUUUUAGUCAAACAUGUAACAUUAAUUAGAUUAACUCUUGUAUUGAAAAACUAAAUUACUCUUUAAGUUCCAAGAACAAUAUAGUAAUGAAUGAUCUAAUAUUAAUAAGGGGUAUUUUGAGGAAAGUAUGAACAAAAAAUAAGAGAGCUUUAAGACGGAUGUAAGUUUUUAGAAUGUAAGUUAAAAGAUUUGAUCCCUUGACUUAUAUGUAAGCUUGGAUUUUUUAAAUCGUAAGCCAAAAGAUUUGAUCCCUUAACUCAUAACCAAGUAGAGCCUUAAAACUCUCUUGGUAGCCAACUACUCUAAGCAUAGUUGGUUGAGAGAAAUGACAGUAGUUUGUUUCCAAAGCUUUUGUGCUUGUGAUGAAAACUAGUACUAACUCUUUUUAUUAGUACAAACUUAAUGGUGUUUCAAAAUGUGGUUAAUUUCACUUUGCAUCCAUCAGUUAUUAUUUCUAUUUUGGUUCUUAAAAUUUAAAGUUUGAUACUUUAGUUCUUUAAUUAUAAAAUCUGUCCCAUUUUAGUUCAUGAAUAUAAAAUCUAUUAUACUUUGAUCUCCAGAAUUUAAAAUUUACCCCCACUUUAGUUUGUAAAAUAUAAAAGUUAUAAACUAAAAUAGUGAAAGAUUUUAUGUUAUGGGGAUUAAAGUAUGAUGGGUCUUAUACUUUAGAAACUAAAUUGGAAUAAUUUAUAUAUUUUAAGAAUUAAAGAAUCCUUUUUUAAAAUCUAAAGAUCAAAGUAGGAAUGGGAGUAAAAUUGAAUAGUAUGAAGUGAAAUUAGCCAUUUCAAAAUACCUUACCAACUGUUUUCCAACAAAAGAGCAAGCAUACAUGUGUGAAAGAGUAUGCCUACAAGCAAAAGGAAAGAAGAGUCAUAUGUAAUGUGUGGAAAAUAAAAAAUAUGUGUAAAUGUAUAGAUAGCAUAUGUGAUCAUUAGUGCUAUUUCUAUAUUUAUGUCAAGUGUCCUAUUUAUUUAACUUUGUAUGUGCAUACUAUUUAUUUAAGUUUCUUUUACCUUCAUAUGUAAGUGAUAUUGACACCAGAUUUUACAUCGGGUAGUGGCGUAGAAAAUCCCAAAUUAUCUUAGACGCGACGUAUCGCAUCCAUGAAUGGGUACUAAAAGAAUCUUUUAGUGAGUAGUUACUAGCCCCUUAUAACGUCAACAUCCUGCAGCUGCACCCUUUUUAUCUGCAGAUGGUUGAGCUUCACUUAUUAAUUUGUUUUUUUUUUUUGAAAGUAUUAAUUAGUCAUUAAACUUGCAGAAGAUCUGUGUGAUCCCUCACCCGUCUUUCAAGGACGAGACUUUUAUGCCAUCUGGGCAUCCCACUUAUUAGACAGUGCAUGUCUGCAUGGAGAUGUAAAUAAAGGUAUUUAAUGCAGAUGUCUGCAUGUCUGCAUGGCGGUGUAAAUAAACGGUAUUUAAUUUAACGGAUUCAAUUCAUAGAGUUGCCUACACUACUGCCCAAAAUUCAACAAAUCCAAUGAAAUCCAAAAUUCACAAUUUCCAAACAUUGGACGUUGAAAAUGGUUUCACGCAGUCAGCCAUUUAUUUAUUGCUGUCUCUUUGAGUGGAUUGUGGUGGAUAUAAAGAUGCCAAGGAUAAGGGGAUAGAGUAAAAAAUUACCACCUUUCCCCCUAGCUUCUAGUGGGCAAAGAUGAUGGGGUGCGUAAUUGCUAAAUUAAAUUUGUGCGAAUGUAUCAUAUCACAAAACGUGUUAUAUUACAUAAUUGAUAAAUGCAUAUAGUUAUAUAAUUUAAAUCAUUUGCGAGAAUACAUGUAACGCUCUGAAAAAUAAUUUAUGAAGUUAUAAAAGAGUGGAUUGAUGUAAUUUAACUAUCCACCUGCUUACAUCUGUGCAAAUGAUAUUUAAGAAACCUAAGAUAAUUUUUAUACACUAUUUGCACAUUUCUAGUGCCACUUCCUUUUUUUUUCUUUUUAUAAAAUAAAAUCGAGCCAAAAUAGCCUUAAGGGCUCUUAAAAAAAAAUAGAAUAACGAGAUCAACAUAGAAUUUUCCCGUGUUCGAUGUAAGCUAGACAAGUGGAAAGGAGGCCCAAAAAGACGACAAACAGGCGUCAGUCAGAAAACAAAGCAUGUGGCCCAGAUAGUGAGCCCAGGCUUUCCUAUGCCUUUGAAGUUCGAAGUUGGUGGGCAGCCCAAAUUUUAAGUUUCAAAAACGUCCCUCCAUUCGUCAACACACGCUCCACUCUCCUUUUUGUUUGUUUAGACUUGACAGGGCAGACGCUCCAAUCUCUCCGUCUCAUUCACCAAAUUCCAAUUCUACUUUCAUUCAAUUUUUUAAUCCAAAAGUGAUCCUCGGGGGACUGUAGAAGUAGGAAUGACUUAAAAAAAAAAAAGAGAGAAAGAAAGAAGCACAGGAUAAAAAGCACAAUAACAAAAUAAUCUGUUGCAAGAACGGAUCAUUUUGUCAUAAAAGGUCGUAUGUUUGAAUCUGGUUAUUGACAUGGGAAAUUUAUAGGUGAGUAAUCUAUCAGUACACUUAUAAGUGAUCCAUAAUUCUAGAGCAUGUCCUGACUGAUCAUCGAAAUUGAAUCCACCCAAACUUUUUUCUUACCAAAAGAAAGAGAGAACGAUGAUGCAUGAAUGUGAUAUUCUAUACUUCUCAUUUGUUAAAACAUUUGUUAAUUUUGUUUUCUUGACAUACCGGUUUGCUAGAUUGUUGUCAUAGUUACCGACUAUCUCUACCAUAUCUAAAAGAAGAAAAUGUUUUUAAUAAAUAAUGUAAAAGGAAAUAUCAACAAGUUUUUUGCAGCCCUAAAAUUGAGAGAUAAACCCUGGUUGGAUGCUACAAAAUUUACCAAUAAAAGGGGAAAAUAAAAUUUCAACGCCAUAAAAACUUACUACUAUUAUGUUAUAUCCUGCCCGAAUCGGCAAAUCAUCUCAAACUUUUAGUAUACUAGCAUGUUUUAGCAUUAAGCUAGCUUAACUGUGUGUGUUAAGAAAGAAGAACUUUCAAUCAUAGCUUUCCAUACAUUUUUAGCAUAUUCCGCCAUUGUCCCCUGCAAUCCCUUUCAAAUUGUUAUCUAGCCCUUUCACCCCAUAGUUAAUUAGAUAUUGGGCUGAGAAAAACAUAUGAACAAAAUCAAAAUAAACUAUUUAAACUCAUGAAAAACUGCAACACUGACACAUAUGUGGCAAAAACAAAUCUUCAUGAGAUUUGCUCUUAUAUCAUGAAUGAACUUACAAUUUUGGAAUGACUAAAAUGUAACCCACAAAUUUAUUAUGCAUGAGGAACCUAAUUAAAAUUUUAUUGAUAUAAAAGUCAACUAAUUCAUAAUGUUGUUGUAAUAAAAACUCAAAUUUGUACUUCAGAAAUUCUCUCUUGAAAAAAUUAAUCAAGUUUAAUAGACCUAAGAUUAUGAAUCACCAUGUGUUGAUACUAAGUCUAGAAAAAUAGGGGAAAAAUGGACAAGCAAAAUAAAAAAUGAAAACCAGGAGAAAGGGAGAAAAAAAAGAGACAAAUAGGAAAAAAGUAAUAUGGGAGAACAUUUUUUUUUGUUGAAAUAUUAACAUUGCUACGUUUUUUUGAAACACUUGUUAAUAUUUGAAAUAUAACAUUUUUUUUUAAACAUGGGAGAACAUAUUUUUGAAGUAACAAGGGAGAACAUUUUUUGAACAUUCCAAACAAGACCCUUUUGAAUACAUUUCGUAAUCACCUUGUUACGUAUAUAUAUCAAAUCGCUACAGUAAUUUUCUACAAAAAAAUCUAAAAAAUACAAUUCAAACAAGGCCUUAGUUCCCCAUUUAUAACAUAGGAGAACUAAUAUGAGGUGAAAAAAGAAAUACAAACAAAGUACAGGGAACAAUCAUAAAUAUUUUUAAGUACAAGGUCACCUGCUUGCGGCAAAACAACUUACAAUUUCGUUUACAUUUUUUUGGGGUUUAAACUUUGAAUUGAAAUACGGUCACGCUCCUUCCAAAAAAACAAUACGGUCACGCCAAGGUUGAGAGAGAGAGAGAGAGAGAGAGAGAGAGAGAUUAAAAGAGAUCAGGAGAGGCCUCAGACAACUCAGGCAAGAAGGAGGCAACCCCGCCACCUGUAUCGGUUACUCUACUUGUAAGAUAAAUUAUUCUCUUAGUCAUCCAUUUUUUCUUUCUUCAUAAUUUCUAUUUUUUUUAAGUUUCAAAUUCCACGAAUCUCUUUCGUUCAAUCGUAUUGAUAACCGUCAGACAUGCAUGUAAAGCUCAAAUUUUAUCUCUAACGACGUUAAAACCUAUGAAUUAAUUUAAUUUUUCAUUUUCAUCCCAUCUGGGUCACCCCUUAUAUUGAUGCUGGUAACCUUUGGACCUUCCAUUUCUUGAAUUAUUCUUGUUAGUUUAAUUUUCUUGAAAGUAAUUAUUUGUGGGCUUUUCUGUAAAAAUAUUGGAAUUUUUGGCUUUGGUUUUAUAUUGGUUAUUAUUGUUUAUGUUCAUCAGGGGUUUUGGUGAAAUUUUGAUUUCAUCGUUUUUUCUUGGUUUGAAUUUUGUAGAUUUUGUUGAGUAGAAGAUGUUAUCCAAGGUGGAUGCUAGAAGGAAAGUAGGUGAGGAUUCGGGGGCGGGUAAGUUGUUAAAUGAUAUUGAAACCAUUAGUAAAGCCUUGUAUUUGGAUAAAACUCGGCCUAGAAGUUUGCUUUCCACUGUUAGUAGUCGAUCUAAAUCAGUUGGAAAAAUCCCAUUGCCUGAGCCAAAAUCCAAGAGUAAUAAGGAUGAUAAGAAGGAUACAGUCGACAAGGAUAAGAAGUCUAUUUGGAGUUGGAAGGGUUUAAGGUCUUUAACUAACGUCCGAAGCCGUAGAUUUAACUGUUGUUUUUCUCUUCAAGUACAUUCAAUUGAAGGGUUGCCGGUAUUUUUUGAUGACCUUAGUCUUCUUGUCCAUUGGAAGAGGCGGGAUGGCGAGUUGAUGACUCGUCCUGUUAUGGUUUUUCAAGGGGUAGCUGAGUUUGAGGAACAGUUGACACAUUCGUGCUUGGUAUAUGGUAGUAGGAGUGGUCCUCAUCACUCAGCUAAGUAUGAGGCCAAAUAUUUCUUGUUGUAUGCUUCGGUUUAUGGCUAUCCAGAGCAAGAUUUAGGAAAGCAUCGGGUUGAUCUCACGAGGCUGCUUCCUCUGACACUGGAGGAGUUAGAGGAGGAGAAGAGCUCAGGGAAGUGGACAACUAGUUUUAGAUUAUCAGGUAAGGCUAAAGGCGCACUAUUGAAUGUCAGCUUUGGGUAUGAAGUUAAUGGGGAAAAUAAGAGUAAGGAUGUAUCCGAGUUGCGGAGCUUAAGGCAGCAGAGCAUGAGCAAUUUGAAGCACUUGGAGCUAAAUGAUGGCCAUGAGUUGAACCGAUACGUCGAACGGGUAGCCUUCCUGCAAGGUCUUCAACCUCAGAGAAAUCUGUUGAAGAUAUAAAGGAUCUUCAUGAGGUUUUGCCCAUAUCAAAUUCAGAUUUAUCAGAUUCAAUAUCAGUUCUGUAUCAGAAACUUGAUGAAGAGAAAUUAAAUGUUCCAUUUGCACCUGUUAAACCAGAAGUUAAUGUUUUUCCUGAUCCUGUUGAGCUUGUAAAGCCAGAUACCCAUUCCUCAUCUGAUGCCUGUGUGGAUAAUGAUGAAAAUGAGUUCGAAGUUACUGAAGUCACUAUCACAGAUCAAGGGGCAGAAUUACCCUCUAAUGAACAGGAGAAAGCAAUAGAGGACACUGGGAAGCCUGCUCAUGAUUGUGCGGGAGAGGGUGCUCAAAGCAAUGGUGCUGAGGUAGUGCCUGUGGAAGAAACCCACCAUCAUUCUUCAGUUGGGGGUCAGGAAAGAGAGCUUUUGACAAGUGACUGCAAAUCUAGAGAGACUGAUGUCUCAGCCAAAGAAUCAUUGUUGAAAGAAUUGGAGUCAGCGUUGAGCAAUGUCUCAGAUUUAGGGAAAGAAGGAUUAGAUUCGCAAGACGAAAGUGAAUGUUCAACUCCAGGGAAUCACCUGGAGCUUCAAUCUAGUCAUAGAGAGCUUAGGAAGGGAAAGUCACUCAGUUUGGAUGAUGUUGCUGAAACUGUAGCUAUUGAUUUUCUGGAUAUGCUAGGUGUGCAUAGUCCAGUUGGCUUGAGUUCUGAAAGUGAGCCUGAAUCCCCAAGAGAGCGCGCCUGCUGAGGCAAUUUGAGAAGGAUACUCUAGCCAGUGGGUGUUCCUUAUUUAAUUUUGGUAUCGAUGAGGACGAACCAGAGGUCUGUUAUGAUGCUGCAACCGAGUCAGAGUGGGGUAUGUUUUGCAAGAAUUUUGAUCCCUAUCCGAUGGUACAUACUUCUGAAGAGAUGCCUAAGAUAGAAGGAGAGGCAACGAGAAAUAAAACAAGAGCCUCUGUGUUAGAGGACUUGGAGACAGAAGCUCUAAUGCGUGAGUGGGGCAUGAAUGAAAAAGCCUUUCAACAUUCUCCACCUAAUAGCUCUGGGGGUUUGGAAGUCCAAUUGAUCUGCCUCCUGAAAUUCCUCAUCAGCUUCCUAACCUUGGGGAGGGCUUAGGCCCUUUUGUUGAGACUAAAGAUGGAGGAUUUUUGCGCUCAAUGAAUCCUGUGCUUUUCAGCAAUGCUAAGAGUGGAGGAAGCUUGAUUAUGCAAGUGUCUAGUCCAGUGGUGAUGCCUGCAGAAAUGGGAUCUGGUGUCAUGGACAUACUUCAGCAUCUGGCCUCUGUUGGAAUUGAAAAGCUCUCAAUGCAGGCAAAUAAACUGAUGCCUUUGGAAGAUAUUACUGGAAUGACAAUGCAACAAAUAGCAUGGGAAGCUGCACCAAGUUUGAAUGGACCUGAGAGGUUUGUCACUCAUAUUGAAGUACCUUUGAAGUUUGAAAUGUUUUACUAUAUACAUAAAUAUGCAUGUUUUUUUUUUUUUUUUAAAUUUAAUUCUGAGAAUAUUCAAUGCAAUUGAUCGAUUUUUUUUCCUCCAGUCAAGAUUUGCUGCAGCAAGAAUCUGGAUUUGGACAAAGCAUAUCUGGUGAGCAUGGAAAUAUCAAAGCAAAAACAUCCGGACCAAGGGUUGGUAAGUCUGAGGUAAAUCCUGUUGGCAACCAGAUGGACAUGGAGUAUGUCUCCUUAGAAGAUCUUGCUCCUUUGGCCAUGGAUAAAAUCGAAGCCCUUGCAGUUGAAGGGUUGAGAAUACAAUCUGGCUUGUCAGAUCAGGAUGCUCCGUUAAACAUCAAUGCCCAACCGAUACGUGAAUUUUCGGCCUUUGAGGGGAAGAGGGGCAGUUCUAGUGGGUCCUUAGGUCUGGAGGGAGCUGGUGGGUUACAACUGUUGGACAUUAAAGACAAUGGUGGUGAUGUUGAUGGAUUGAUGGGCUUAUCUCUAACUCUAGAUGAAUGGAUGAAGCUGGACUCUGGUGAGAUUGAUGAUGGGGAUAAUAUCAGUGAGCAAACGUCUAAAUUACUUGCAGCUCACCAUGCCACAGGCUUGGACGUGUUUCGCGGAAGGUCAAAGGCGGACAAGAGAAGGGGAAAGGGUCGAAAUUGUGGUUUGCUGGGGAACAAUUUUACUGUUGCAUUGAUGGUGCAGCUACGUGAUCCUUUAAGGAAUUAUGAGCCAGUUGGUACGCCUAUGCUGGCACUCAUCCAGGUGGAGAGAGUGUUUCUUCCACCAAAACCAAGAAUAUACUGCACAGUUUCCCUAGCAAGGGACACUAGUGAAGAAGAUGAUGAGACUCUGCCUGUCAAAAAAGAGGACAUCAGCGAGGAGCCUAAGGAAGAAAAAGUCCUUGAAGAGGAGCAAAUUCCUCAGUUCAAAAUCACUGAAGUACAUGUUGCAGGUCUAAAGACUGAGCCUGGUAAAAAGAAGCUAUGGGGCUCCAACACCCAACAGCAGUCUGGUUCUCGUUGGUUACUUGCCAAUGGAAUGGGGAAGAAGAAUAAACAUCCACUGAUGAAGUCAAAGGCAGGUGCGAAAUCGUCAUUGCCAGUGCCUUCUCAGGAGACAACUACAGUGCAACCUGGCGAGACUUUGUGGAGCAUCUCUUCUCGAGUUCAUGGCACAGGGGCCAAAUGGAAGGAACUGGCUGCACUUAAUCCUCAUAUUCGUAAUCCCAAUAUCAUUUUUCCAAAUGAAACCAUCAGGCUGCGCUAGAAAGAAGGGAUUUGCAUCUAUGUAAGAAGGACGAAUACAGGACUAAAUCAAAGGAUCGUAUAUCUGGGUGACACAAGUUCAAGCUAUUCUGAACUUGGCAACAUUGUGUAAAUGUGCAGCUGGUGCCAGCUUUUGUUUUGACUUGUGACAGGAGCAAUCAAACACCAGACACACUCUUUGACUGUUGAUGGUAAAAAUUUCCCCUGUAUGUGCUGUGGAUGAGUUUAAUUAACCAAUACAAGUUCCUGCAGAAGUACAGGUGGUUUUGCGUGUGUUUUCACCUCAUUUGUACAUGUAGAAGUGUUGCAAUCAAGAUGUGCAAUGAUAUUGGUCUUUUCUGGGGAAAACGCUCAUCUUUUUCAUCUGGUUGGAAAUAUACAGUUCAGCUCUGUUUUAUUUUGUUUCAUUUGGUGCUGUGUAUCACUGACAUAUUAAGAAUCAGACUGAAAUUACAAUCAAUUUUGACCAAAACUGCACUUUUUGGCUAGAAUUCGGUAUAUAUCUGAUUGUUUAAUUUCGUAUCUUAUCUUCUCUCCCUUUGUUGUUCGUUCCAAAUAACUUGCUUCUCCAGUUUGCCAAUCUAAAUUUUGAAUCGGCAUCCCGCUUCCAAUUUGCAGGCAACAUAAUCAAGUAAAGAAUCAGCUCUCAAAACCCACCGAAAGUAGGCAUAGCAAAGGCACAUUUUCCUGUAUGGACUGACAUUUUUUGCUAGUCCUUUAUGUUCCGUUAAAUCUUAGAAGUCAUAAUUCUUAACAAGGGCCUUACUACUUGUUCAUAAUCGCGCUCUCUGGCUGUUCAGGUGUACAUCUUGAGAUAGGGCUGGAUUAUUUGUGAUUGAGUAUUUUUACAAUGCAGUGUUCUAGCACUGUCCUUCCGCUGAAAGUAAAAGUGUUCUUUAAGAGAAAAUUACAGUUUUGGUCUCAAAUAUUAUGAGUCAUGGAGUUUUUAAAGUUUGGACGAAAGUAAAUAUAAUCUCAAACGUUUCAAUUUCUAAUCAUAUUUAGUCUCACUGACUAAUUUUUAUCAAUUACCACCAAAUCAGGUCACGCGCUAUCACGUGUCGACAACCAAUUGUUUAAAACAUUAAAAAAAUGAAAAAUAUUGUUAGCCAUAAUUUAUAGUAAGAAGGGUUUAAUUACUCACAUGUUGAUUACAGUACGUAAUUACUCUUUACUGUAGAAUACAAAAAUUUUGCUGACAAAAAAAUGGUUGAAGACUAAUUACUCACAUGAUAUAUAAAAAAAAUACUCACGUGAUCGAAAUAUGAGUAAUUAGUCAUCUUUUAUUGCAAAAUUAUAGCUAGCAAUACUUCAUCAAUUUUUUUUUUUUUUUUUUCAAAAAAUUGGUUUCUGACGUGUGACUUGAUUUCGGUAGUAAUUGGAAAAAAUCGAUCAUUAGAACUAGAGAUGCGUAGAAAUUGAAACAUUUAGGACUACAUUUGCUUUCAUUAACCCCGAAUCAACAGCGUUCCAGGUUGACUAUUGACCUAGCCAACUAAUAGAGUCUAUCUUGGAAAACUUUGAUAGUAGAAUAAAUUUCAGCCAUUACUUAGAAAGCAAGAAAAAUGAAGUCAAAGUCAAAGUCAAAAGCUGGUUGGAAUGCAUUUUUAGAAAUACUAGAGGAUAUUUAAGGCCUACCGUGCAAUUUUAAACUUAGUUUAGUCAGCUGUACUGGUCUGAAUCCGGCGAUCACUGGUUGACUUUCCGACUCUUGAACGUUUCUAUAUCGUAUUUUCUUAUGGGCGUAUUCGUAUCACUUCUAGAAGCUCGACUACCUCAAAACUCCAAGAUCGACAAUAACCAACCGGGCUUUCGUCCUUCUUUGCCACCUGAAACUUCAAGGAUGGUUGAACAAAAAUGCCGCAAAACGUUGAAUGAAUUAUUGCAGUUACUACUUUCUCAAUGCCCUCGGAGGAACCUAGUAACUCUUUUGUUCUGCAAAAUGUUGGAGAUUUUCAAUAUGAAAACAUGAGCGCUAUAUCCUCAUGGAAAUCCAAGAAAAUGACAACAUCCCAGUUUAGGCGGGCUGUGAAUUAACUAUUUCAGGUAACAAAACAAGGUUCAGGGAGCAGGCGGGCAUUUUCUCCAGUUGUUGUUCCCUAGAAUCUUUGCCAAACACAGAUUCUCAACAUAUCCAAGAAAUUAAUUACUGGUAUCAUGCUUACAAAAUUGAUGAUCUUAAUCCAUAUUCUCUACACGCUACUGUAUAGACACAGUAAUAUGAUCUAGUUGCUCCAAUCUUGAAUCGGUAUAUUCGAGCCAAAAAAUUACUGGUGGUAGUAUAGCAAGCAAGAUAAGAGGUAUGAUCAAGAGUUCAUUACAUCAUAGUAAUUCUUCAUCAUCCUCCUCAGCCAAAGAUGCUCUUUCCUUCUCCUUGAUGUAGCCAUAUUUUCUGAGAAUCCACAAAUUCAUCCGGGCUACAUUCCCAAGAAAAACAACACCCAUGAGUGACAACCAUGUCAAAACAGAUAUCUCAGUAACUUCUUUCAACAUUCUCUGAACACGCGUAGAUUUAGGUGACAUAUUCCGCAGAGUGAUAAAAUAAGUCCCAACUUGAGCUGUGAUCGCAAUCCACACGGUGAUCAUCUGAAACCACAUAUAUCGCCUUCUUCUGAGAGGUAAACCGCUAACAAGAAGGAGGAUUAUACUCAGAGAUGAAAGGAAAGCAACCGUGUUGAAGAUCAUAAAUAUGCCAUAAUCUUUGGCUGCCUUAUAAGCCAUCACCGAUGUCCCGGCAAUGUGAGAUUCCAGAACAGGAUUGCCCUUGUCAUCGGAUAUAUAAUCAUCCUGCCAAACUCCGCCUGGUGGCGUUAGGCAUGCUUGAAACGCUGUGGUUGCAAGCAAAGAUGCCACCACCAUCAAUGCACUUCUCUUACGACCGAGCCAAUCCGUGUGUUUGUGUUUUGGAGAUGGUUUCUGUGCACUACUGCUUGGCUUGGAGGACAAUUUUUUUGCAAUCUGAGGAAGCGUAUCUUGAAGCCCAUCAUCUGUGAUCAAAAGCAAAUCCUUUGCACCUAAUGCUCCAGCUUUUCUCAGUGAAUUUUCAAUAUCCAUAUCUCUCAAGUCUCUUGGGCUUUGAUUUAGAACAUCCAAAGCUGUGAUACCAUAUUUAUUUAAUGCAUUUACUUCAGCAGGAUACAUAGUGAGCAAAAGAUUUACAAUCUGCAAAAUUAAUUGGAAAAAAUGCUUGCAGUUAACAACUAGAAACCAGACACCCCACACUCUAAUUACUCAUAUUUGCUAGUUUCACAAAAUAAAAAGGCAGAAAGCAGGAACCUAGGAUCAUACAUAUCAGUGACAUCAUAACUAUCAUCAUUCGCAACUAAAAAUGAAUUUCAACUUCCAAAGAAAAAGUUCUCUCUUUUUCCGAGCCAAAGUCCAACAUUUUGUGAAUUGACAAAUGAAAGAGGCCUUUCCUCAGGAUUAAAUAUACAGAACGAAAAACUGCUAGAUCAAUCUUGUAGAGAAAUACUAAGGUUGUGUUUGGAUUGCAUUUUCCGUCAUUUUUCAUGGAAAAAUUACUGUAGCGAUUUGAUAUAUGUGAGGGAAAAAGGUGAUAGGGAAAUGUGAUCACGGAAAACGAUAAUAUUUUCCGACGAAAACCUUCAAUCCAAGCAAGGCCUAAUACUACAUCCAGCAAGUAAAGUUCAGCAAUUUAAAGGAGAGAGGGAAAAAGUACCACAGUUUAAAAGUUUACCUCAAAUUGCUUUUUGGUGACAGCAGUAUGCAAGAUGGUGUUCCCAUCAGAAUCCCUCCAAUUAACCAAUUCGCUAUCUUUCUUAACAGACUCAGUAGCCAGCAACUUCAACACCUCCAACCUAAAGUACUUGACACAAAGGUGCAAUACCGUCUCCCCGCGGUCAGUCAACACUCGGUCAACUCGGGCUUAACUCGGACCAACUCAGCCACUACCGUAACUCUCCCUUUAGCCACAGCAACAUGCAGAGCAGUCCUCCCCUCCAAAUUCCUCACCGAACCCACCUGGGAAUCUGCUUUGAGGAGCUCCUUGACGACCUCAACAUGCCCUUUUGCUGCUGCCAAGUGCAGGGGAGAGCAGCAGGAGGAAUCCAACUCGGAUGCUAACUCGGGCUUCGAGCUCAGCAGUUGUUUGACAAAAUUGACGUGGCCUAAGAUUGAUGCGGUGUGCAAGGGAGUCUCUGAUACGCAGGAAACAAUAGUCUUGUCUAGAAUUAGCGGAUCUUCCCGGAGAAGUUGAAGCAAGGAUUCCACAUUUCCCUCUGCUGCUGCUUCUGAUAGCCUUUUUUCCAUACUUCUUCAGUUUGCGACUUCUGUACAUACUGCGUGAUACUCCCUAUCAUUUAUCAUAUAACAAUCUCCCUGUUUAAAGAUAUAUGCCAUCUUUUUCUGUGGACAUUUUUUUUCCUUUAUUUUGGGGAUAAAUUUGUGUCGACGGAGUCAAGAUUGGAUACUAAAAAAUGGGUUUUGAAUUCUCACAAAUUCUAAUUAACGUUACAUUUACGGAAAUUGGGAAGGUACCUAGUUUGACUGGCUAAGUUUUUAAGGCAGGUGGGGCAGCAGCUGAUCGACUGAAGGCGGAGAAUUAUGCAAAUGAGAAAACUAGCUGUUGCCAAACUGAAGCUUCCGUGCCUGUUUGACUUCAGGUGUAGGGAACUAACGGUUAAAAAAGAAAAAAAAAAAAACUGACGUUUUGUUGCUUUCAUAUUCUCCAUCAGGGUGAUUUAUCCAAAAAAAAUAAAAAUAAAAAUUCAUAAGUAGCUAAAAGAAUCUCAUCGGUUUUUCUAUUUUUUCAUUAUUAUGGAGGUAAAAGCAUUAUAUUGUUUAUUUUCUUCGACGAGUAAUCGCAAAUUUAACCUAUAUUUUGACUGUUUGUUUCCUUGUUGGUGGUCAAUCAUCGAUGGAGUUAUAGUUGCAAGUAAAGCUGUUAAUCGAGCCGAGUAUUUGGCUGUCGAGCUCGACUCGAGUUGAAUUCGAGCCGAGCUCGACUCGAGCUCGUUAGGAAAACGAGUUUUAAAAUGUGUUUGAACUCAGCUCAUUAAAUGUACAUGUGGCUCGAGCUCGACUGUUUAUCACAAACGAGUCGAGUUUCACGAGCUCGAACUCGAGCUCGUGCAAAUUAAAUCUAAAAUUUUUAAUUUUUAUAAUUUUGAUUUCUAAAAUGAUAAAUAUGCCCUUCAUUAACGAGUUCUAACGAGCUACUCGAGUAUCAAACGAGCCGAGUAAGCUCGGCUCGUUAACUAAACGAGCAUGUUUCAAGCUCGAGCUCGACUGUUAACCAAAAUUAACGAGCCGAGCUUGAGCCUAACGAGUCGAGCUCUAACGAGCUUUCGUGCUACUCGAUUGACUUAACAGCUCUAGUUGUAAGGGGAGCCUUGUUUAAUUCUUCUUAUGAAUGCAUCAAAGGAUGGAUGGAUACCAUGGAGAAGGAGAAAAUGAUAAUGGUGGGGUAAAUUUGAUUAAAGGUCUAUCAAACUAUCCACCCUUUCAAGUGUUAUAUUUUGAGAAAUAUAAAAUUAAUUUAAAAAAAUAUAUAUAUAUAUAUAUAUAAAUGUAAAUAAAUACAAUAAUUGUUAAUGUGUAUAUACAUGAUAAAUUGAUUGAAAUUUAUGUCCAUUAACGAGUGCUUAUUGAUCAUCCGUUCAAAAGAUUCAUUGAUUAACCUUAAUCACUAGAUUACAAGUUUAAUGAUGCAUGUUAUUCGUUGUUUGGCACUUUGGUCCGUACUUUGUUUCAAAUAAUUUGCAAUAGCCUUUUUUUUUAAUAAAUUUUACAUGACUAUUAACAAGAGAAUUAGUUUCUGGCUUCUCUUCUGUAUUAUUUUUUCCCUUGUUUAUCUAGUUUGCUUUGGGGAAGUUGAAUUAAAUAUCUGAGACAAAUAACCUUUGAGAGUUUUCACAAGAGGCAGGCCAAGGAAUUUUUUGGUCGAAUCCAAUUAAAUAUUUGAUUUCCAAGACAGAGAAUGAUUAGUGGAUUUUACUGAUUUGGAAUCUCAAAUUACCACCGGAGAAUUAUAGCAGAGUUUUCACAAGGGCAUUGUACUCUGAUCUGUUUUUUUAAGUUGUCGAUCGCAUAUGAAACAAAUUAAUGUUGUGGAAUCAUAAGCAUAAGCACAAUUGAAGAGAUUAUACUACUUUCGACUAGGCAUCAAGAUUCAAAACUGAUUUCGAAUUCAUAUCAGGAUUAAAAUGUGAAGGAAUUAAGGAGUUCGAAAACAAGAGAGAAAGUGUGAGUCUCUAUUAUAAAACUUGCAGAAUCACAACCUGCAAAAUUUCAUAGCAUCACCAUUAAUCAAGGAAGCUUCCCCUAGUUCCCUAAAAUGAUAAAAUCUCUACAUAAUUAAAUCAGGGUCACAUCAAAGGUGUCCAAGAGUUUAAGCUAGAAAAUAUUACCCAGAAACAAGUUUAAACAAGAUUAUGACACUAACACAGAGACAUUUCCGUCACGCUUAGGUAAUGACCAGCCAGCUAGAUGGUUAGCUACAAUCUAAAAUUGGGGCAAUUACAGAACCUGAGACCCAACACCACACCUUCACAUAAAAUAUAUCAAGGACGCGAUCUUUGUUGCUGCAAGAUGGGCAUUUAUACUGCUUGAUAUGCUCAGCCCGCGCAGGAGUGAUCUUGACACACUUGCCAUGGAACCACCUUUCACACACAUCACAACAGAUCCAAAAUUGAUCUGAGGUAUAGUGCUCCCCACAUGCUCCACACAAUGUCUCCCCAUGAUCCUCAUCUUCUUCUUCAUCUACUAAGCCUUCAUCCUCGUCCUUUUCUUGGACCUCUGAGUACUUGCUCUGUGAUUGAAACCAAAUAAUUAACUCGUAUUGGCAAAAACUGCUAUAACAGACAGUAAGACAAAAUCUAUUCGAGAAAAGCUGCUGUCAAAAUCUUACAAUUACUGGGAAAAUGCUUAAUAGAGAAUCCAACCAAUUUUACUAGAAAGAAAGUACAGACCCCGACUCCAACACCCUAUGCCGUAACAAUUGACAGAAUACACCAAAUAAUGAAUAAAACUUGAAAGAUCAUGCUCAAGAGAAAGCUCAAAGCAACUUGCAAGUAAAACACAUUUGAAGCAAAUAAGAGCUGCCUAAAAAUUUCCUCAACCUAGAUAUCAGAGCAAUAGAACCUUUAAGGCAUCAUCUAUGACAUAUGGCAGACUCAGCAUAAUUAAUCCUCCAAGGCUCAUUCUCUCUAAAACUCCUCUAGCCAUUUUGACAUGAUCAGACCACGGAACAUCACAUAAUGAAUAAUCUUCUGAUAGAACCAAAUUAGAUGCUUGUACCGGUUUUGAGUUUGACUUGGAUUUGCUGCUGCUAUGAUUUGAGGCAGAUGAUUUCUCUUGAAGUUCCUUCUUGGCAGCUCCAGUUACAACUUCAAAAAUUGUUGGGAGAUCAUUUAUCAUACCAAAGAGCCGUUUCCUGAAUCACAAAGCCGAAGAAGUUAAUGAAACCGCAUCCAACCAAUACAAAACAUAAACUAAUCAACUUGGUUUCAAUUUGAUGCAUCCACAGAAAUCAACAACAAUUGCUGGAAGUAAACUAGCAAGUCUGGUAUUUAUUUACCAUCGUCUUAACUGCCUACUUCCAGACCACUUUAAACUCUGUUAGAAUGAGCAUAUUUUCACACCAUGUGCGACCUAAAAUACACUAUUGAAAGAAGUAUCACAAUUAUGUUACACAAUGAUGGUCAGGACUAAUAUGUGGCCAAGGUCCAAGAUGUAACCCACUGGUGUAUGAAUGCCUUGCUGAAGACAACGGAGAGGACCAUUCAUCUGUUAAUCUCAGCAUCAAGGAGUUAAAUGUUACAGUUACCCCGCCUUAAGAAUACCCCACUGAAGUGCUAAACAUUAGUUAAAAGUAAUAUUUUUGUCAGUCCUGUUCAAGGGAGUCUUUACUAGGCAUGAGGCUGCCCUUUUUACAUGCUGGCCAGCAGAAAAAAAAAAAAAACCAUAACCUCAGGUUCCACACUAUUUCACAACUGCCUCCAGAUGUAAACGUAGCUCCAAAAAGGUAAAAAACUAAAUAAAUAGUUUGUCAAAUACCAACAACCACCAAAUAACAAAGGCUGAGUUCUGAAUUUAUAGAAAGAAACUUAAAAUUCAGUCUAAUUUCCCAUGCAACAUUAGCACUUCAAGUUUGAUACAAAAUUUAUUGUUUUAGUCACAUUUUAUUUCAAACGAAACUGACUGAGAGCAAAAAAGAAACAAGGAUGCUGAACAGGCAAAAGCGGAAAAGUAUCAUCACUUAGCUUCACAUGUUACCUGUCAGCUUUAUCAAAACCAAAUCUGGCCCCAAAAUAGAAGGCAACAGCAAAUAGCCACGCAUCACUGUGCACAGCAACAAGGGCCAACCAGUCCUUUUCUUGCAUUCCAUCCCUGGCAAAAUUUAUCCCUAAUGCAGGCUCAGGAAGCUCUGGAGGCACCUCUUCAGCAGGCAAAUUAACUUCCCACUGCUCAUUAGGAAAACCAUAAAGGCAAAGAUUUUCCUUCUCUGUAAGGUUUAAGAACUCUCAAAUUAUGCAGCAAUCAAGAGAUAUACUAGCAUCUUCAGUCUUCUUUAUUACUAUAAUGUACAAGGAACUCAUAUUAUAUGACCAAGCAGCUGACAAGUACACUUACACUUAGAGAGAGAGAGAGAGAAGACAAAUACAAAAAAUGUAGGAUAGCACAUCUCUGCUUCCAAGGACAUGAUGAGAAAGAUUACAUGUCAUUAGCUUGUGAAAAUCGUCAAGAUGUCCUCAAGACCAAGCUCAGCUGGUAGGAAAAUUAAAUGGCAACCUUCAACUCUAAAGCCUUUCCCUUUCCCCUUCCCCCUAGUAAGGCUUUUUAUUCUCCCUAAAUUGAUUGAAAAAAAAUAAAAUAAAAUCAACAAGACAACCUUCACUAACUUUUGGCAUACACCACAGCAAGAAAACCAUUUUAUUAGUUAUUCCUUACAGGACAUUAGUCCUCUAAGCAAGAAAAACUAUUAUGAAAAAGUCAAACCAGAAUUAUAUGUCAGAUAAUAGAAACUUGGCAUUACUGUCCAUCAAAAAUUCAAAAGUCAUCCAAUCCAAUUACUCCAAUGGUAUGAAUAGAAUCAAGCAUUCAGAAAAGCCAGGGCACACUUACAAGUGUUCCACUGUUCCUUAAAUUGGAUUUAAGUGUGUCUAGAAUUUCAUAUUAGAUGAAUUAACACUCCAUAUACAUAGAAACGAAAAAUACACCUACAGUAAUCUAACUAGUAUUGCAAUAUGACAUGUUGAAGUAUGAAAGGGGAGGACUUUUCUGAGAACUAAGGCGUUCAAUUAGAAGGCAAAGAAAUGGAAAGAUGAACAUCACAGUAAUCAACUUUCAUCCUCAAAAAAUAAUAAGAUGAGAAGAGCAGUAAACUUCUUUUGCACUCUUUUAGUUCAGUACGAGGAUAAGAUCAAGAAAUAUCAAUAGAGGGCCAAAGUGAACAGUACACACAAGACUAACUUUCUAAUCCUAAGGUAUGACUGGCACCAGUCUAUGACAACCAAACUAAAUAUACGUGUAAGAUGAUAUGACGUACUUAAUCAGUCAUCACCAUCAUCUAUUUCAGUCCUCCGCAAAUAACAAAGCUAUCUUGCUUUCCAGCGCCUUUUCAUAUUCUCUAAAAAGCCAUACCACUACAAGAUAGCUGUAUUUGAAAGGGAACUGAAACCUUUUAGAGUUUCUAAAGCACUUUGUAUGUAACACUAGGUUAAGUGUAAACUAUAAUAUGUCUGGCUAUAGAACUUUAAUUUAAUAAAGAUGAAUUAACAGGUUUUAAAAGACAACAAAUUGGAGAGUCAGAAAGAAAAGUACAAAAUUAUGGUGAGAGCUCUUAUUGGAGCAUAAGUGUCAAACAUUUGAUACAAAUAAAGCGAAAUUACUCAUUAGGCAUCCGAAUGGUAUGCUAAUGACAAUGCAACAGCCAUUUGUUAACGUCCAUUGGACCAAGCAAGAAUUCUAUUAGGCCACAAGACCCUCCUCCUUCCAGAAACAGCCAAUACACAAUCGCUUUGCUCAAUAAACUAUCAAACUUGGAAAAAAGAAGACUUAGAAAAGCAAACUAAUGCUGCUAAUCACGAUGAAAGAAUGCCGGAAAAGAUAACGCAAAUCGUAUCAAAAUUGAAUUCCACAUGGGCCAGAGUUUCACAAUAAAACCAUAGAAUCCAUCAAGCUAUUUAAAAAAAAAAAAAGGCUUUACGCAACAGCGAGGUUCACAAGAGAGAAAGUGCAAUCUGACAAGUAAGAUGAUGAGUAGAAAAAAAAAGUAAUUACUCAGUAGCAUUAAAACACAGAACUCCAACCACAAAGUCAUAGAAGAGCAGAAAUACAAAGAAAUGGAAAAGAAACAAGCAAACAAAAAAUUAAUGGGUAAAAUGGAGAAACAGAAGACUGUAAUUUUCUGAUCAAAAUGAAGGCAGAAAUAAAGAGAAUGCAACUGCAGAGCGAGUAAUGUCAACAACCAGGACAAAAUUACUACUGUAUGCAAGCCCGUGUACCAGGAAAAACGAAAUGAAAGGGAGCAUUAAUUAGUACUACAAGACACGUAGGAAUAAUAAACGUUGCAAGAUAAGAAAAGAAGAGAAAAGCAAAACUAACCAGGAUCGCAAAGCUGGUAAAAAACUUCAACCUCUGCCAAAAAUGCCAACAAAACCACGUUAUGAUGCGAAAAUCCAAAACCCUAGUGCUUCAAAAUGCAAUUGGAAACGAAGCAACGAAAACUUCGAACCACAGAAGAAAGAAACAAAAAAAAAAAAAAAAGGCUCGCAAGUCGCAAGGACAUAAACAGGGGAAGAAGUGAAUGGGAAAUUGCAGAAGAAGUACCUUUAGUGAGAGCUUUGAUCAUGCCAGCACGACGCCCUUUGAAAUCUCUGAAAACUUCUUCCACUGUUCGAGGAUUAUAGCCUCCUCCUCCUCCGUCCAUUAGAGCUGGCUUUUAGUUUUUUACACGCAGUCAGUCCCACACACACUCACAGAGAAUGUAUGAAGCCCAAGAGUACUACUUGUUUUUUUCCUUUUUUUUUUUUUUUUUUUGGCUGCUUCUAUCUGACUCUUGCAGUAAACAACACGGAAAAGAAUAAAUAAAUAAUUACCAAAGGGAUAUAUUUAUUUAUGGAGUUGAUGAGUCUGAAAAAGGAGGAGUCUAAUCUGGAGUGGCCCAAAUAGGGGCCAGCGGGAGGGUUAUGUUUGGAAUUUUAAAUUAUUUCUUAGCGGCCCUGUGUCGCUUUCUCGUUCCCGGGAGCAGUUUUCAUCAUGGACCAUGGUCCCUCUCGCUCGCUCACUUGGAUUUCAUUUCACUCUUUAUUUUCUUACUACCAGUAAGUAAAAGAAUUGCGAAGGAGUUGGCUUUUUUAACUUUUUCCCUUUUUUUUUUUUUUGGUUGGGGAGGAGAGGUUCUGUGACCGUGGGAAGUCCUUUUGGGUACUUUUUUUGGGUGCUGACGGGGCAACCCGCCAAAUCCUCCGAGUUGUGAUCUGAGUUGGUGUUUGUGAGUUGUGAUUUUGGGAGUAUUUGAGGUCCGCGAUCGAUGGCAGCAUAUCACAGGUGCAAGUGAAGUGCCACGGAGAGAGAGAGAGAGGGGUCGGGGACUCGGGUGAUACUACUCAUAGCUUGCAGCUGCAGGGAUGGGAAUUGGUGGGAGAAAUGCUAUCCUGCAACCCGACUGCAUCAGGGUACUGAUGCUGAUGAUGGUGGACGGAUGGGCAUCCAACGGCGGGGGACUUGAUAGGGAGUAGGGGUUGCAGUUGUUUGUUGGGCACAGGACCACAGGGGAGUUGGGGGUACACGUGGCGGGAAUAGGUUUGGGUGGUGAAUUGGCAUCAUGGAUCAGGGGCUCUGCACAAAUGGAAGCUAAUGUAGAAGCCGUACAAGUAGUGGAAGGAGGGGUAGCAGAGCACAGCAGAGAGAGAGUACAAGUUGCUGGGAAGGGAAAAAUAUAUAUAUAUAUAUAUAUGGGGGACCUGUGUUGCUGUAUUGAAUGUUGAGUGGUGGGAAGGGAUUGGCCCGUCUCAAGAAGGGGAGAUGAGACGUUGUAGAGGUGUUGGGUUGGCAACUGCCUGGUCCGGAACCGGAACCAACAACUUCUUGGUCUCUGGGUGUCAAUGGAGCGGAGGAGGACAAAAUCAAGGAAGGACCGACUUGAGGGCGAGCAGGCAGAGCAGGAUCAUCAACAGAGCAGGUACACACACACCCACCCCACAAAAAUCCAUCCACCCAUCCACAUUUUGCACUGAUUAAGUUGAUGUUUUGCGCAAGCAGCUGCAGCCACGGACUCGAAUCACAAUAGUGCUCUGGAAAGAGAUAGACUAAUAAACUUAGCAGGAACGAAAAGUUUCAAGUCUACAAAUUUGCUCCACGUCAUUUAUUUUUCGAGGCCUUCUGCCCAAUUUAUUUAUUUAUUUAUUUUUGGGUACUCCCAACUCUUCUAAAUCAACUGUUGGCCGUCGGGCACGCUCGAAGCCAUGACCAUCAUUUUUUAUAUUUUUUAUUGGGUCUGGUUAUUGUAGACUGCGCUUUGACUUAGGAAGGUCGAAGCCCAUAAUUCCCCCAGACACAGCAUUCCGCGAGGGCCCGCGUUAUUCAUCGCACAGGAGAUGCACAUUCAACUUCCCGCCAACACGCGCUUAAUCAUCUUCUCAUAUAUAUUCCUUUAGCUAACGAGUUCCCCAGAUCCAUCUCCACCAUAACCCAAUACUAUUAGACAGCCAAAGAAGAAGACAUAGGAAAAGGGGGAAGGAGCAAAUUCGGCCAUUUCUAUUACAACUAAAUCUGAUAAUAUGUAUCAGCUGACUACUCUUAUGGCGGCAUCUAAGGUAAACUACUAGCUGAGGGCUGAGGCGUGAGACCUGACCUCCUACACAAGAAAAAAGAAUGAAUCUGACCUAUUGCCUCCGGCCAUUUCUAAUCACAAUUAAAUCUCUUAUGAAUGGCCAAAAAUACUGAUGAUAAAGCAAAAUCACCUUAUAGCACACACAGACGCCCCCAAACCUAUAUUAUGCAGUAUGUAAGGCUGCAUUCAGUAUCUUGGCGUGGAAUCCACGAGAUGGAUAAACGAAUCAUAUCCUCUAGAAGCCCCAUCAUCCGAAUAAACACAUAUUAACAGCAACUAUAAUCAGGGCAAGCAAGCCUAAUAUAACAGUGGAACUUGAGACCUCGGAUUCAUUGGUAACUAACAGUAUGGACUACUCGUGCCAUGGUUCACAAUAAGAGUUGUGAUACAAGCAAUUUUACUGAUAAACUCCAAGUGUAAUUCUGAGAUUCUUCUAGAUUCUUAUUCACACAAGGACAAUCAGUCAGACUUUUCUUGCAAGAGCAAUUUGUCAGUGUCAAUAUGUAUAUCUACCAAGGCCGUCCACAGUUUCGCAUAAUUUGUAAUUGGUGUGCCCAAAAUUGUGUCCACAAGACAAAAAACUUGGGGGACACAUCAACACUGGUCUUGCAAUCACAAUGAGCUAGCGGUCACUGCAAUACCAAAGAAAGGUACAGAACUUGAAUGUCACAGCAGCCUGAACUCGUGGACUACGCCUCAAAUAACUGCACCCCAGCAGGUCACCUUGGAUCAAAACCUAAGGUGCAUAGCAGGGGGGGGGAAAAUGAAUAGUUACUAUCUGAAAAGUGCUUGGCACAUCAUUGUUUGGAAUUUGCUUUGCAUAAUGAAGCACAAAGUCAUCACACGGUCCUCCCGAAACUUGGGAGAAUUUAGUCUUGAAAUAAUGGAACUUAGAGAACAUGAAAUGUAACUCACCUGUGCGAAGAUUCACCAAACCUCUUCUCUGGGACAGUCUGUUCCAAAAAAUCCUCAAUGGUUUUCCAAUAUCGAUCACCCCCUGCCAACCAUGUAUCCAUAUGCAUGCCAGUUGGAAAUUCCACAAAUAAGCAUCGAUUGUUGCGUGCAGCUGCUUUAGCAUACAGCAACUGCAUGUGUGAUGGAGGAACCAUUUCAUCUUGCAAUCCUGAGAUAAAGAGAAUGGGCUGUUUGACCUGCAGCAAAGAGUUCAAACACAAGAGGUGCAAAUAAAUUGUCAUUAGACGACGACAAAAUCACAGCAUCGAAUAAACACAAAACAUGUCACUGCCUCACUUCCAUUUUAUUAGGCUAGACUUAAUUAGGAUGUUCAAUAUCAAAUAACCAAGUCUUGCCCUAAAAUAACACAAGACCUUUCAUAUUGUUGAUUCAACAAAUACACUAUAAAGAUCCCUGUUACAACUUUUCAGAAACAUGAAAUGGAAACCCAAAAUCACUCUGAGUGCAGAGUAAAAGCUACAAUACAUUGUUUUUGCUUUUGGGUGGGGGGGGGGCGGUGGGGGUGGGAAGGGUUGGAGCUACAAUACCCUGAAAUCUCACCUCACCAACCACAUCAAUAGUCCUCCAUGGAGAGCGGACAAGAAAAUUGAGAGGUCUGGGGUGCUUUGAAUCACUCCCUCCAAUAAACCAUUUUAGGACGGGUAGAAGAACUCCCGCCAUAUCAAGGAUAGAUGUGAAAGUAUUUUCCAGAAUUAGCCCAGCCACCUGAGCACAAUCACAUUAAGAAAAAUGUGUCUCAACCAUAAAUGAGUAUACUUUCAACAACAUAACUAACUAAAAAGCCGAUUAAAAUGACAAGAAGGCAGCCAAACUCAGACAAAUCUGUACUUUAUGCAUAACUGAAGCAAGAAAUUUAUGGUCCAACAUGGUCAAAAGAAAAUGUGACAAGCAUAGAAUAGAAAUGCUUACUAAUAGCAAUUUCAAAUGCACAGAUUUCCUGGGAUACAGAUUAUGAUUGACAGGACUGUUAACUAGCAAGGAAGGGAAAACUAUAUAUUACCAAGAAAUAGAUUAAUCAAGUCACGACAGAGAAAUAGUUACUUCAUUGGAUAAUAUAUUUGUAACAGGAAGAAGCCUUCAAAAAAAUACAUUCAAGUUUUAGAGAGAGGAAGAUAGUGUAUUUCGUAAAUUUGCCUCAGAGCAACUGAUUGAUCUUCUCGCACAGUAAUAUGCAAAAUAACUGCAAGGUCCUAAACAGCCCUUGCCCCAUAAGGAAACGAGAGUCUACAAUAAAAUUUCUACAAGUCAGCUUCUCACAGAAGCUGUAGCACAUACAUUACUUUCUCCAAACAACUUGAACAGAUUCUCUUGUUCAAUUAUAGAUAAAGAAAGCUUCUAAAAACUUCAGCAGACUUUUCAGGAGGAGGACUCAAAAAACUCCUAUUAAUGUUUCUAUGUGGUGACUCAAAGAAAAUUAGGCUUGUCGGAUGUCUCUAUAACCCCAUAGGUGGUAAUUCAAGACAAUCAAGAACAUGAUACCGGAAUUUCGUCCUGCAAGGACAGGACCUUCCAUAAGGAACUAGUGUCCUAAGCUACUGAUCAAGUAAACAAAAGCUCACCCAUUAGAAGGCUUCCAGUUAGAUUUCACAAAUUUCUUAAAGAAAAUUUCCAUGAGAGCAGAUAUUCUACAACUGCAUAAACAGAUGAGCUGAAAAUAUUUGAUGACACAAGUUAAAAGGCAUUUAAAAUAAGAAAGCUAUCACAAAAAAGACAUACCAGGAUCUGUUGCAAUACACAACUGGGAAAACAAAAUUUUUGUUUAAUAUGUACCUUGUCAGGAUUGUUCUUGGCAAGUACUGCUCCAACAGCGCCACCAAGUGACCUUCCAAAGACAACAAUCCUAGAUGUGUCAAUAUCUGUCCUUUCAACCAGAUGAUCCAAAGCAGCCUACAAAGAAGCAGAAGCCACAAGAAAAGAUCUCAUAUCAUCUAUGGGGUGCAUCAAAGAAACAUAUAGACAGAAAAACAAACCUGAGCAUCCAUUGUAAUUCCAUGCUGGGAAGGAUAUCCAUCACUGGCUCCAUAACUACAAUCCAUAUAGAACAGUUUACAUCAAUUUACAAGACAUAAUUAUGUCCCCAUGAACACUGCCAGAUGGUACACACAAAAAAAAUGUAGAUACCCUCGGUAAGACAGCAUGAAAACGUUGCAUUGCAGACGUUGUAGCAUAAUGCGAACCAUCUCAAGACGGUGGGCAAUAUCUAUAACUAGUAAAGUCCUCCAAAAGAUUGAUCAUGAAAUCACUUUUUGAGAUAAACAAAAAGCGGUAAGAAAUCAAAGACAUCAUAAUUAAGCAACAGAACACAAAAGGAUACUUCCUGCAUUUUCUUGGAAGAAGAGGAUAGUUGGACCUGCAAUUGACACAAAUACUUCAUCAGCUUGAAAGCUAAUUUGAACCUUCAAAAGAACACAAGUUUACCACUUAUGAAGCAUAAAAAGUAAAUAAAACUGAAUCAUGGAAGACUACAAGGCAAGUGAAAACUUAAAAAUCAUCUUGCAGCAGUCAUCAGUUAGUUUUUGCAACAGCUACAUGAGAAAACAGAAGUAUCACCAAAACUAAGCCGAAAUAAAGUCUACAUAAUUUCCCUCCUGCAUUUCUUCUACGUCUUAAAAUAACCUAUGAAGCUCAUAAUCUAAAGCAUACAAAAGGUUCCAUGGUCAAAAGAUGAGAAAGUUUCAUUUACAAUCCAACAAACUUUAAAGUAAAGCCGUCCAGUUUAUAAGAUGCACAAAUAUCCGAAUAAAUGAAAUUUAAUGCCACACAACCAAUUGAGAAACCAACUCUUAAACAGUGCAAUACCUAACUUAACUACUCUGUGAAUGCAUGUAACCGUAUAAUGAAAUCAGAAACCAACUCUUUCAUUUCAGAAGACCUUACUUAACUACAUCGCUCAAGCUCAAAAAUAGUUCCUAUUCACAGCAAUAUUACACGCCAAUCACUUUCUUACACAAAAUUAACAAGUGAGAACAAAUUAACAGCUACGAAUAUCUGUAUACAAUUAGCCCUAAGUUCUCUGACUCCGGCAAUCGCCAAUCCUAAACAAGCACCCAGCCCUAAUUCCCAAAGCAAUUAAGCAACAAUAUUAAGAAUUACAACAAGCAUAAGACGUAAAGAGGAGCACCUCGGGAUUCGGGAGGAGCUUGAUGAACCAAGCGUGGAGGCGAACGCCGUCAGAAGAUCUAAGCCAAACGUCGUCGUAGAGGAGGCGGAGGCGGGCGGGGUGAUGGGGUAGGAUUUGGUAAGGCCAGGGAGGACGGGGACGUAGACAAGCUUCUCCUGGAAAGCCACCAGUAACGCCAUCCCGGCGACCACUAUUCCACCCACUCCGUACAGCAGUACGCUCAUGUACGACACCAUCUUCUUCUCUCUCUCUAUCUCCCCGUUUUCUCUCUCUCUCUCUCUCUAUAUAUAUACACGUAUACUUAAAUGGAGAGUCUGACUGUGUUUGUAUCUAAAUCUUUGUACGUAUGUACCGUAUAUGAGAUGAUGAAGUGAGGAACACUCUCUUUUUCACAGUUUUUCUUGUCUACUGACUACUGAGUGAUGCUGCUUGGGCGUGUGCUGCUGAGGGGACGAAACCGAAGAGACCGGCGUUGCGGUUGUGGUGGAGCUAAACGACAGCGUUUUUUGUUUCUUGUUACUAGCCUUUCUAUUUCUUUCCUAUACUAUGUUGAUUUUUUUUUUAUUUUGCGUCUCUUCUCUUUUUUAUUUGACAUUAGUUUUCUUUUUUUCAAAUCUUUAUUUAUAAGCAAAUAAAAAAUUUCUCCAAUAAAAAUUUUAGGAUGACUGUUGUCUAAUUUACAAAAUUAAAGAAGCUAUGUACAUUUUUUUUAUAAAUCAAUUUCAUCUAUUUUCCAAAUUAAGAUAUGUUUUAUUCUCUUUCCUUAUAAUUAGACAAUUCAAAGUCAAUUACCCAUUUUUAUAGUCACACACUAGGGGAAAAAGCCCGCACAACGCGCGGAGUUUAGUGCUUAUAAUUAGAGAUGGUUAAUAAUUAUUAUUUGGUAUUUUGUAGUAUAAGAAUUGAAGUAUGAUAAUUUUAUUAUGUAAUAUUAAACAGAAAAAUCAUUAGUCAAAAUAUAUAAUAUGCAAUGAAACAUAAUUAUAAGAUACGAUCAACACUUUGCAUCUAACCUAAUAGAAUAAAAAACCUACUUAUAUCCGCUCAUGCACUUUAGGAAUAUUAAAAUCUGUUGUUUAGCUUGAAUUUAAUCUUGAUAUGAGGGCAAUCUACCACAUUAUCUUGUCAUACAAGUGAGAUUUGGACAAUUACAUACUUAAAAAAUCAUUGCUGGUGGAAUUUCGGUUCUUGCAAGCCAAAUUCUUGAUUUUAUAUUGAUUUCAAGGAUAUAUCAUCACGAAACCUCCACAUUGACCAAUCAAUCAAUUAUGAUUUAUUGUAUGAUUUAGAGCAUAUAGAAAGAAUCUCCUUCUCAAUAAGGGUUACAAUCACGAAACAUCAGUUUUUGAGCUAAUUGCAAAGAUAUGCAACACCUAACACGCUAAUUUAGAGAAAUAAUAACCUCAAAAAGUUACUAAAGCAUCUUAAUCCACUCAAUUCAAGAAAACAAUUAAAAGUAAUGAAAUACAUACUUUAGAUUUGCAGCCAAAUAGUUUUAAGUAGAUAGUUAAACAUAUUGGCAAAUCAAAUGAAGUGAAAAUUUGCCUAGAUGGAAUCAUCAAUAAAAUAGUAAACGAUUUGAAAAUUACCAUAACUAAUAGUUAAAACAACAAAAGAAGUAGCUACAAUCUAUAAAUGGAAAAUUUUAUGAUGAUAAACUUAUUUUAAAUCACAAAUAACAAUUAACAAAUGUGAUCUCCUCCCUAUUAAGCUUGUCUAACAUGGAUAAUUGAAUUAAAAUACUAAAAACUUAUUGCAGAUACAACUUGCAAGAUUACAGAUUUCUUCAACCAAAAAGUAGAUUGGCUAAAGAAAACACACCUAUUGAGAAACAAAUAGGUUGCAUGAUUGUGAUGGAACAAAACUAUAAGUAAAUGAAAUGAAUUUGAAUAGAUGGGGGUUGCCAUGGUAAUCGUCAAGAAACCAAACUUCUCUACUAAUUGACAUUAAUUAUGUAAUCGUCAAGAAACUAUUUGUGUUUGGAUUGCAUUUUCCGUGAUUUUUCAUGAAAAAAUUACUGUAGCGAUUUGAUGUAUGUGAGGGAAAAAGGUAAUAGGGGAAUGUAAUCACGAAAAACGACGUAAUUUUUCGACGGAAACCAGCAAUCCAAACAAGGCCGUUUGCAAAUAACCAUUAUUCAGAUAACUAGAAUUCCAAUAAGUAUUUUUUAGUUCACUCCGAAACAAAUGAUUGUUGUCAAUCUCAAAAAUUUGAUUUUCAAUAUCAAAAUAUAUGGAAAAAUUGUCUCCAUUACUAUUCUUAACUAAAAAAGUGUCAUCGGAGAUGAAAUUCCGAAUGUCUUUAACGACGAAUAAAUGAUCAACCUUAUUGUUACUAGAAUCGUCACGACCCCCCCAACUCUGAAUGUUUUUAGUCCUAUCUUUUAUAUCGGGCUCAUCACCUUCACUGGCAUUUUCAACAGAACCAAGACUUUCCGUUGAUUUAUUUAGCUCACACCGGCAUUCAAACUCCUUCGAAAGGCUUUAGAAAAUUAAAAGACUUGAAUAUUAAUACAAUUAAAUGAUUAGAAGGGCUUUUAUGUAAUUUCACUAAAACACAAGUUAAAUUUAAUUGUACCCAAUGUUGGAUCGGGUAUCGAACACUGUCACAUGUCAAACUUACCCCUAACUUUGAAUGUCUGAAAGGAUAUCUAAAUAAUUAUAACAAAACCAAAUUAACUACAAUGACUCAUAUUCAAUGCUUUAAUUGCACUUCAAACACUCUCGCAUUCCCAAAACAGCCCCACCCUUGCAGUUGAAAUCCAAAGAUCAUCUUUACCCUAAACUCAUUCUUAUAUAAUAUAAGGAUAAAGAUUCACAUACCAAUUAUUGGAAUUUUUUUUUUGGUUGUUUUACUCUAAUGAAUUUUUUUUUUAGGAUCUUUUCUUUGGCUUUUUUAAAAAAAUAUUCAAUUGUAAGUGUCUUCCCUAAUACACACACACAAAUUUCAUGCGAAACUUUACCACUAUCAAUUAAAGUGGUCAAAAUCAAAUCACAAGUCUAAAUUCAAUGUUUAAAAGGAGUAGAAAGUUUGAAAAUAAAAACUUUACAUAAUACUAGAAGGAUAUUUUUAUCUUUUAAGGCGUUAAGUAACAAAAUAUAAAGAAUAGAGGUUGAAGUGAAAAUCAAGAUAUACUUUAGGGUGAUAACUUGUGAUUUACCCUUUAAAUAACUACACAGCACUUCCCGAUAUGGAACCAGCCAACCCAUAAAGUUUACCCCAUAAAAUAAUCCAAGAAUAUUAGCACAAAAUUCAAUUUUCAAUACCUAAAGAACCAAACGGCAGGCAUUUCCACUGCAUCAUCUCACUUUAAUCUAGGGGUACAGAUUCUUGAUAGAAUGCUUGACAUUCUUACGAAAGCGACAUGAAAAAAGAAGAAGAAGAAGAAGCAGAAGAAGAUUAGAUCCAGAGUUAAGCAUUUAACAAACUGAACCAUGGUUAAAUAAAUGACAAAGGAAUCUCCUUAUCAUGAGCCAUGACAUAGGGUUUCGACUGGCAGGUGCAUGGUAUGUGUCAAACGGACUCAAACUGGUGAAGUAUUCUUAGUAUACUCUACACGGUACUCUUAUGUCCAUCAUGUAAAAUAAGCUAAAACUUGAAUGUAACAAAGCCAAGGAUGAAUUGCCAAGUCCGGUGCUUUUUGCUGCGCUUUUCACCGGGUAGUCGGAACAUGGAGCGGAGUUCCAUUCUGCAUGAAGCCUCCCGACGACAUCGAACCAGCGAUUUGACCAGAAAGGCUGAUGUAGCUGUCGGCAUGCUGCUGGAAAAUGAUAUCAUCAGGAGUGUAUCCAUGGCAGAAGAGCUGGUACUAGUUGAAGCAUAAUGCCUGCUGUCGUUGGACCUUUCAGCUUCCAUCUCCAGCGCAUCGGUCUCUUGACAAGAAUGGAUGGAUGCGGAAAAGGAGCCAGUGGAGAGAGUUGACUCGGAUUGCUGCUGCUGUUUCUUUGUGCUGAGGAACCUUCCACCAGAACCUCUAACCCUAUUCAUUGCAUGCUGAUGACGGGACUCGUGAAGAUAUGGCUGUAUUUAAUUGAUUUAGAAAGCAUUACCUCACGUGCACAAUGAUGUUUACAUACGAAGUUAAACUAUUAAACUUUAGUAGUGAGUUUAUUGACAAAAGCGAGACCCAAAGAACAAGGACAAGUUCUCAUCGUUCUUUGUAGAAUAAAAAGUCCUUCAAAUCAUCCGAUAAAUUAAAUAGGGCAAGCUAUGAAACAACGUUCCAAGUGGGCAGCUCAAAAACCUCCCACAAAAGUCACAAACUAGGGGGAGGGGGAGGAUUCUAUCAUUUUCAUCAGUUUCUUCUCUAAUCUUUAUGCUAACACAGCGCGUAUCUUUGAUGAAGACGCAAAUCGUUUUACAUAUUUUCUUCCGUCACCAUGCUUAAUAUGCUUAGUACAGUUUAUUGAAUCACAGAAUAAGCAAAUAACUAAAGAAACAUACUAAUACUGACUAGGAUGGAAGAAAAGCAGACAUUGCACUCACUUUUCUACCUUUCACCAUCUUGUUUUGAGCCUCAAGCUUGGCACGCACCUGUCUCCGUCUGAGUAUACCAUGAUACUGUUUUGCAUUCACAUAUAUUGGACCAUCUUGGGCAAGAUCAGGAGGCAGUGGGACGCGAGCAGGUGCUAUCCCCAUCAUUUGCGGCUGAAUCUAAUGAAAUUCCACAAGCAAUGGCAUUAUAAAGAUCAUGAAGGUCAUAUACUAAAAUGAAGGACUUGCCUCUUCACUUAAUACUUUAAAAAUUCAGAUACAUGAAGCCUAAAGUUCCAUUUUGGAAAGUCAAAAAUUAAGAAAUAGACUCCUAUUUUAUAGAUUCUCUGAACUGUAGUUCAUGCUCAGAAAUACACGAAGAAAAGCACACUGCAUUCAUCCUUAUCUGUGUAGUUUUAACAUUAAAUCAUCGAAUUGCAGGUUAUAUUUGAUUCUGCAAAUCUAUGAAAACAUUGAAUGGUGUACUUACCAUGGCUUGAGGCCCAUAAGCCGAAUAUAAGCUGCUGAAGUAGGAAUCCGAGUAAAUACAUGGAAUUUUGUGCCUAAAAUAAGAGACGAAUUCAUCAGGUGAAAAGUAAAAGUUGUUAAUUGUUGGCCACUAAGAUGACUCUGAAGUGACUGCAGCAACUUACAGCUGAUUGGGGGAAUUCAAUUUGCGAAGGAUUGGCUGAAGAUUCCAAAUUACUCGGAAAGAAAGCAGGUUUUGGUUGUUCUUCUACAUGCUUCCCAAAGCUUUCAUUUUGCGCUGGAUCAAUUUGAAUAGCUUUAAUUAGCCAAGGAGGACCUUCUAGAACAAAUUAGGACAAGAUAUCAUCCACUAUGAUGUUUGCUUUUCUAGUAUGACCAUACAUGAUAACAGUUCACCCAAAAUAACAGCAAUUGCAUGUUAUAACCAAAUAGAAAAACAGAAAAUGUAGAAGAUGUAGAUGAAAUUUAAUGUCCUGGGUCAGUUAAAUCAUAAAGUUAGCGUUCUGUGUUGCAGGGACAGUUCCACCUCAUACUGAGCUUGACAUCUAUACAGAUCUAUCAGAGUAGAUGUGGCUCAUCCGAAGUUAUUAACAAUUGCAGCAUAAUCAAUCGAGGAGUAUUAUAUAUCAUCAAAGGUCUAAGAUUUAUAUUACUUCCAAAAUUUCACAAAAGUUGUAGCACCAGUAGUAGAUAUAGCAGCAGAAUUUAUACUUGGUAACAAAUAAGUAAUUUUCUGUUUUCCAUUUCCCUAGAGGAUAAGUAGCAAACAGCAGAAGUUUCAAAUGUAAAAAGGCAACUAUUCAAGAGAAUCAGGACGCUAAUGCACCAUUACCAGAUUCUGAUGAAAUACAUUGAUCUUGAGAAUUUGACUUUCCCAUAGUAGUCGCUCCACGUUGAGACUGGCUGCUUGACUCCAUUGAGUGAGAGCUUUGGUCUUCUUCUAUCUGUUGGCCUAGAUGCUUUGCCUCCUCAAAGCAUAGAGAUGGAGUUUCUACUCUCAAACUGAGAUUUUUAGAUGAUGUCUGAGACAACUGUUGUUCCUGUAAAUUCCACCAUGGUGAACUGACAAAAUGGAGCAUUGAACAAGUAGAAUCUUGUCCUAAAACUUUACUGUGAAUGUUCUCAACUCGUAUAGCCAUUUACUCAUUGAAGCAUUCUAAACUCUGCAGAACCCAAAAUGCCCAAAAUCAAUUGAGACUGAGAGUUUCUACUUGACUUCAUCUGCCCAAGGAAAACACGAGAGAUGAUGAAAAAGUUGUUCCAAACAUCUCCAAUUAAUAUGAAAUGAGUAUGAUCAAUGUGCCCAGUAUGUCCAAUAAACAACUAACAGAUUAUUAAAUCAAUCAUCAGCAGCUUGGGUAUGUUUGGAAGGUUAAAGAAGAAAUAAACCAGGAAACGAAAUAAAAAUGUAACAGAUUACACAGAUGCAACACUUUCAGGGGGUUGGUGAGCUUUCUGGAUACAAAGUUAGUAUCCAACUAUCCGAAACACGGAUCUAACUAAUCACCUCCUCCUCGUAUGCUGAACUUUACAUGGUAUAAUAAAUGAGGACAUUCCAGGACCAUCAUCAGUCAAAAAUACGAUGACAUUUUACAACAUUUAUUUGCUUCUGAUCCUGGAGCCCAUGUCAAGACCAACACUCGUAACCGGGCAAAAUCAACUUUCUUACAUGCAAAUCCUCUAUCCCCUAAACUUAUGUCAAACAGAGAAGUUUGGCUUCAUUCUUUGGAACAAAAAAUUAUUGAAAUGUAUUGUCUACUGAAACGUAAAUGAAUAUAGAAGUCAAUAAAAGAAAAAUUGUCCCCAAGAAUGCUUAAACGCAUCAACUCAGCAAAAAAAAAAUUUUUUAUGAGAAUAAACGGAAGAAACACUUUGGCAUGCCUCAAAGAAAAACAAAGCAAAAAAGAAAGGGGGAAAUGGAAGAGCCAUAUCCCAGAAAAAGGAAGGCGAUAUUCUCUUCUUAGCCAUAUCUGCCUCUCAAUCACCACCAGUACCAGAGACCACCAUUCUGUUAACAGACUAUGCAGUAGAGAAUUAUUGGUCAAGAUUAGAUCAACAACCAAAUAGUUGUAUGAUGAAAAGUUAAUAAGAAAUUACCCUUUGCUGAAUCCACAGUUUUUAAAAGACUGAUCCGGCAAAACCCAGAAAAUAUAAAAGAAAAAGUACACAAACUCCAGUGAAACAAAUAAUUCUAUCCAGUAACAGAACCACAAGCAAUGCCCUCCCGUUCCCUCAAACUACAUGCAUCCCAAAAGCAUCUGUCAGUAAAGCCAUCUCCCUUCCCCGCCACCCCUUUCCAGCAACCCACCAAAAAAAAAAAUAUAAUAAUAAAAAUAAAUAAAAAGAGAAAGAGGGAGGCAUCCAAGACAUGCAAGCGAAAUAAACACAACAUAAUGACAAUACGUACAGCAAGCAAUUAAAUAAUUAAUAAUAAGAAAAUAUGAGGCAAUAAUAAAAGUUGCAGAACCCUAAUUAUGAUAAGAAAGUAAAGAAAAAUUUUCAGAUGUGUUUAUUAAAUGUAUAUAUACCCAUGCAUUAUGCAUAUAGAUGAGAGAAAAGGAAAGGAAGGAAAGACGGAUGGAUACCUUCGGGAUCUGCUAUAACUAGAAGAAGCAAGAAACACAGUUGCUGGGAUCAAAUUGGGUAUGUUCCCUUUCCUCACUUCAAAGUUCAAACUCUCUCUUCCUAUUUAUCUCUCUCGCGUCUUGAAGAAUCUUGUUGUAUAUUCUACCCCCCCCUGGGGCCAAGAAAUAAAAAUAUUUACAGUAAUUCUUACGCUAGAAAGCAAUGAAAAAAAAAAAGAAAAAAAAGAAGAAGAACCCAAAAAGCUACUAGUAUUAAUUUAACUAGCUAGUAGCACAAUACUCAUCUAAUUGAUUGGUAACGUUGAUGAGACGGAGGUAUCAUUGAAAUAUAGCUUUCUUCUUCUUCGUCGUGCAGCUAGCUUGCAAAUAUACAGCUGCGAACAUCUUAGGAUUCCCAAAUUAUGAUGCGAUUCUUAUAAUAUGUGGACAAAAAUGAUGCUUUGUGAUAUUUUUUGUGUUCCUGUGGUCUCAAAUCGUUGAUUCCGAAUCUUUUGUACUACAAGUAUAAUACCAGCUGCCAAAAAAGUAUUUGUUGCGAGAUUUUUG
RNAcentral lists this long non-coding RNA (112796 nucleotides) under Coffea arabica (coffee). Its description in RNAcentral is "long non-coding RNA (CARA_LNC004506)". The record is from RNAcentral. Lineage: Eukaryota; Viridiplantae; Streptophyta; Magnoliopsida; Gentianales; Rubiaceae.